GAAUUAUUAUAAAGAUACAAGGUAGCCAAGUUGGUCAAGUUACCUAAAGAACAAGGGAUUGAGCCACUGAGUUUGUUAAUGCUCAAGUUCAUAUCAGAAAGAGACUUCAAGUUUCCUAUUCCACCUGGAAUUGAGCCAGAAAGUGAAUUGUUAUAAAGAUACAAGGUAGCCAAGUUGGUCAAGUUACUUAGAGAAUGCGGGAUUAAGUCUUCCAAAUAAUUUGAGUACAAAGCAAGGUUGUUUAGAGAACUUAAUCUGCCUAUUUCAAGAGGAAUGGAGCCACUUAGCUGAUUUUUGAACAAGUGAAGGGUCUUAAGAUAACUUAGGUGGCCAAUUUGUGGUGGUAUGGCACCAGAAAACGAAUUGGAUGAUAAAUCAAGAUACUUGAGUUUUGAAAUGUUACCAAUUUGAGGCGGGAUAUUUCCAAAGAGUUGAUUGCUCCAAAGAUCAAGAUACACAAGACGAGGAAACGAGGAGAAUGAGAAAUCAUGAAGCGUACCUUUUAAUCCUAUACUUGUGAGGUUAAUACUAUUGACUCUUCCACCAUGGUUGCAAUGAAUUCCAACCCAAGCACACGGCCCUGUUUUGAUGACGUUGUUAAGGGUCCAUGAAGAUAGGGGAGAUUCAUUAUUAUGAUUUUGAAGGCUAGUUUUCCAUCUGAGAAGUGCGUGGGCUUCUUCCAUAUAAUAAGAAGAAACAGUCAGUUGAAAAUUUAAAGCACAAAAUAGGAUUAAAAAAACCAGUGAGAAAAUUACUAAAUCGUUUCUUAAGUUUGGUAACACCAUUGCGUAGUGGGAGAUCGACUAAGACUCGAUAAUUAUAAAAAGAGUAGAGAACAACUGAAGAUAAGAACAACAAGAAUUAAAGAUUAGCUAGACAAGGUAGAUAGAAAUAAACAUCUAGGAAUGAUGGAUGUACAAAGAAACACACUGGAAGGCAAAUUUAUAGUAACUAUAUAUAUUCAAGAGAGCAAAUGAGGUAAUAGAAUCAAUUAGGUGAGGCAACAAGUCAAUGCGUCAACCUCUCUAAAGUAUACUAGUUGUUGCUAGGGAAAAAAAUUGGUUUUCAUUAAUUUUAUUAGUUAUCUAUCAAUUGAAGGCCUUAUUAAUGCUUUGUGUGUGUGUGUGUGUUAGUUUUCUAAUCUGAGACUUUAAAAUAAGGAAAAGUUUGAAAAACCUUUAAGGUCUCACAGUUUUAAAAUUUUUCCAAACUUUCCCACACUUUAAACAUCUGGAUUAAAAACUUUAUGUGUAAUUAAUGAAGACUAAAUAGUACAUUCUGUCCAAUCUACCAAGAUGUCAUCUAAAAAACCAAUGCACGAGGAUUGACGAAGAAAUUAAAUACUAGUUAUGUAUGUUAAACUAAUUCUAUUGUAACAAGUGAGUGACAUGUUAAAGAAAAAAAAAUUGAGUAGUGCUACACAUUCUUAAGUUUUUGUUUUUAUUUUAAAAAAUUAUGUCAAAUAAUGUAGCAUUUAUCAAUUGGCUGAUAAGAUUAUACAAUUAAUUCACUUAGUUUUUAUAAAGAAUUAUCAUCUACUUAAAGAAUGAUAUAUUAUUUAAGAUGAAAUUUAGAUUAUCUAUCAUUAUUGAAAAAAAUUCUAUAUCAUCCAAAAUUGAAUCAAAAAGUGAAUUUUUACAAAAAUACCAAAUAGUUAAGUUGGUCAAAUUAGUUAAAUGAUGUGGGAUUAAGGCAUUGAGUUUAUCCAUCCAUGCCGCUACGUGAAGUGUUUGAAUCCUAAAACUGGGAUAUCUCAUUGAGUUUAGAUGCAUGGUUGAUUCGCCAAGCUUCUCUAUACGAUUCAAAAUACUUGAUAUUUAAGGAAAAAAAAAAAAAACUCGGUAGAUAUUAAAGGUACAAAUCAAUUAAUUUACUUAUAAGAAUUCUAUCUGAAGCCGUAUCGGUCAAUGACGUCGCCGAUAAUAAUUACACUGACCAUUUGCCUCUGCUCCUUUCUCAUACAGAUGAAAAAAUGUAAAACAUCAAAUCUUUUAAUCUUUCAUUUUUGGUUUUAUUAUUGCAUAAUUUCAUGAAAUUUUUUCGGAAAGCUUAAAAUGUUUUGCUUUAUAGAUUCAGAAAGCUUAAUGAUCAGAGCACAGGAUCCUUUGAUAUUUAUUGAUCUAAAAUUUUUGGCUUAAUGUUCAUAAGAAUAUAUUUUAAUUUGUUAGAUUUCUAUUUGAAGCUGGUUCAGCUAUUCAGGCAGACCAGUUAGUUUAAUUAGCUGAUUUUAUUGUUAAAUCUUUACUCUUCUUUCAAUUCAAUUUCUGUUCUAAAUAAAGGGAAAAUUAAACAAGACUUAAAUUAAGAUAUUUGUAAAAUCAUAACAUUUUUUAUUUACAUUUCAUUAAUAAAUUUUACUUUGAUAUACUUUAAAAUUAAUUUAAGUCUUGUUUAAAUAAAUAUUCUAAUUGUUUUAUGUUUAUAAUUUAUUAAAUGAAUAAAUAAAUAUCAUGAUUUUAAUAAAUACAAUUAUAAAUAUCAUGAUUUUAUAAAUGAUCAAUAAAAAAAUUUAUGACAUUAAUAUUUCAUUUAUGAAAUCAUAAUUUAAUUAAUAGUUAAUGGAGAUAUGUUUUAUAUGUGAAUGAAAUAUUUUUCAUAUUUAUACACAAAAAUAAAGUUAUGAACGAAAUAUUUUUUAUGAUAAAUUAAAAAUUGCAUUUUCGUUCAAUGGAGUUCAAGUGCAAUAAUAAUAUUAGUAGUUUAAAUAAAAUUAGAUGUAAUUGUUAUUUCAGGAUUGUAAUUUUAAUUUUCAUUAAUCAUUACUAUGAUCUAUGGAAUUAAAUUUAUGCAUUGUUGUGUUAUGAUUGGUUAUUGUGAAAUUAAAUAUAUAGUUUUGAAAUUGUGAUAAACUGAUAAUAAAAUAUUAAUUGCUCUCUUAAUAAAAAUUAUUAUUAUUAUUAUUAUUAUUAUGGAUAAGAAGAUAAUUGGUCCAUAUCUGUUGCCCAAUUAGAUUUUAUAUAGCUUAACUCGGCCCUUGAAUUUUAGUAAUUGAAUGUUCGGUCAAAUCGGCACUUGAAUUUUAUAUGUGUUUAGAACCAACGAAAACCUACAAAGAAUAUGAACCGUCACGGUAUUACAAAAUGCCAACAUAUCAUCUCUGAAAAUUUAAUGCACGACGAUUGACGAAGGGGAAAAAAAAAAAGGAAAGAGAAGAAAGGAUUGCGUCUUCAAUCAGUUAAGGAGGUCAAUAGAGUCGACUCUGAAAAGUUUUUCCACAAAGAUUAAUGGGCAAAAUUGACCCCUGCUUUUUUGAAUGGAUCCUGACUAGCGAAAUUGUUUGCUGGGCAUUUAUUUGUUUCUCAAAAGAUAUGUCUGUCAGUAAAUAGAAAAAUUAAAGCAACACACCGUGCCUUCCUAUACCCUUUCGUUAUAAUAAUUAAUAUGCACUUUGAUGAAGAUGAUAAAUAUAUAAAUAGUAAAUAUUUAUAAUUAACUUAAAAAAAUGAAAUCAAUUAACUAGUGAACGCAUGAAGUAAUGCGAAAUUAAUGGAAGCCACACAUGCAAAGUUGCAAACUACUUAUCCACCAUGAGGUUGAAAAAAUCAAUGUGCAUGGCAGCAUGUGUAUAUAAUACGAUAAUACAAUGGAUAAGAAGAUAAUUGGACCAUAUCUGUUGCCCAAUUAGAUUUUAUAUAGCUUAACUCGGCCCUUGAAUUUUAGUAAUUGAAUGUUCGGUCAAAUCGGCACUUGAAUUUUAUAUGUGUUUAGAACCAACGAAAACCUACAAAGAAUAUGAACCGUCACGGUAUUACAAAAUGCCAACAUAUCAUCUCUGAAAAUUUAAUGCACGACGAUUGACGAAUCGGGAAAAAAAAAAGGAAAGAGAAGAAAGGAUUGCGUCUCCAAUCAGCUAAGGAGGUCAAUAGAGUCGACUCUGAAAAGUUUUUCCACAAAGAUUAAUGGGCAAAAUUGACCCCUGCUUUUUUGAAUGGAUCCUGACUAGCGAAAUUGUUUGCUGGGCAUUUAUUUGUUUCUCAAAAGACAUGUCUGUCAGUAAAUAGAAAAAUUAAAGCAAUACACUGUGCCUUCCUAUACCCUUUCGUUAUAAUAAUUAGGGGUGGGCACGGUUCGGUUCGGUUAGGAUAGAAAUUAAGUAGAACCGAUUUAAAUCGGUUAUUUUAUAAAAAGUACCGAAUAAGAAUCGAACUCAAACGGAUCUUUUCAGAUCGGUUCGGUUUGGUUCGGUUUUUUCGGUUCUGGACCUAUUAGGCCUAUUUUGAAUUUUUAAAUUUUUAACCCAUUGGACCUCAUAAAUGUAAUAAUUUUUUUCAACAAUUAGUUCAUCCUAAUUUCAUUACAAAUAUUAACAAUAAAUACAAAGUAUUCAAAACACAUUUUAUCACUAAUAUCUUACUAACUACUAAUAAGGUACUCACAAAAUAUAAAAUAUUAAAAUUUCAAAAUACAUAACCAAACUCCAAUACUCCAUCUACAUAAACAUAAUCAUAAUGUUGUAAAGACAAAUAAAAAUAACAACAAUUACAACUUACAACACAAAAUAAAAAGAAAAUUUAGAAACAAACGCCAACAACAUUCUCCCAUCUUCAUCAAUAUCAACAUCAACUUUAGGCAUUUUCCAACUCAAUAUUUGGAUCUACAAAAAAAAUUAAACACAUGUCGAUUUGAAUAAAAUCUAAAAUUAAUUCGGUUUUUUGGUUCAGCUGAGUGAACCGAAUACCGAACCGACAUUUCGGUUUUUUUUUACAAAUGAUAUAUUUCGAUUUUUUUAAAAUAAAAACCGAUCCGAAUUAGAAAAAACCGCCGGUUCGGUUCAGUACUUUUAAGACCACGGUUUUUUUUGCCCACCCCUAAUAAUAAUUAAUAUGUACUUUGAUGAAGAUGAUAAAUAUAUAAAUAGUAAAUAUUUAGCAAACUUUGGAUCUAAUUAUAUUGAGAUAUAUUGUCAAAGGCAAACUCAGGAUCUUAAAGUACACCAGACUAAAUUAAAAGUUAAACUUUUAAAAUGGGUAUGAAAUUUCAUAAGUAGAAAAAUGAGAAAAAAAAAAUGCACCAGACAAAAUGAGUAAAAUAUUCUUAUGGACUGACUGAAUAAAUAUAUCAAACUUUAAGGACAAAUUUAUCCUUCACGGAAAGAGCAAAAUAAAUUAAUUUAUCCACCACAAAGAGUAAGUUAUUAAGUUAAGAUAAAAUACGAGGAAAAAACAUACUCGCAUGACAAAAUAUACUGAAUUAGAAUGUGUGUUUUACUUAUCUUUUAGUUUAUCUUGUAACUUAAUAACUUAAAGAAUCUCUUGUUAGAUAAUAACUCUAAUUUAGAUAUUGUAAAAAAUUAAGUGACUGACAAGUUAUGUACAUAAAACAACAAACAAACUUAUGAUGUAAAAUACAUAAACCAUAACAGGUUUAUGCAGUGACAAAAUACAAUGCAUUAGGGUAUGUAUUUUACUUAUCUUUUAUUUUAUCUCUUAACUUAAUAACUUAAAGUAGAGAUGGUAAAAUCUGGAUCCGGAUCUACAUUGAAGUUUUGAUAUCUAGAUAAACAAAAAAUAUGCAGAUUCGGAUGUGGGUAAAUCCGCAUAGAUUGCGGGUAGAUUUUUCGGAUAAUCAGAUCUGCAUAAUAGUAAAUUCAAAUAUAAUUUUAAAUUCAACAAUUUACCUAAUAAUAUCAAUAAAAUCUAAUUAUAAUCCAACAAUUUAAUAUCAAUUCAACAUAAAUAACAUACAACAAUACCAUAAAUCCACAAAUAAAAAUUUCACAAUAUAAAUCAAACAUAGAAAAAAAAAAUCUAAGGCAAACCAAUUGAUUACAAUAUUCUCUUCUUCUUCUUCUUCUUAUUAUUAUUAGUUUCUUAACAUAUUUUUCAAAGUCAAGGAAGAUUAUAGAGUUAAUUAUGCUUAUACAUAUUAAAUAAAUAAUUUUUAUGCUUAUACAUAUUAAAUAAAUAAUUUAACUUAUAUAUUUUAAUUGAAAUCUAAUUAAAAAUAAUGCAGAUCUGGAUAUCCGAUUUUCUGGAUUCACUUGCAUCCAGAUCCAAACAGAUCUUAGAUUUGAGACUCCGUAUAUGCAUUUUUUAAUAUAUAGAUAUGGAUUUUUUCAAUUCCGGAUUUGGAUCUUCUGGAUCUUUGCGGAUGCGGGCUGAACCCCGAUUUUUUUGUCAUCCCUAACUUAAAAUAUCUCUUAUUAGAUAAUGAUUCCAAUUUACAUUAUGUAAAAGAUUAACUGAUUGACAAGUUAUGCACAUAAAACAACAAACAAACUUGUGACGUAAAUUACAUAAACCAUGACAGGCUAUAUAUUUGUAUCGAAAACUUAUAAAUAAUGAAAAAGAAUUGCAUACUGUAAAAUAAAUCUAAAAAUUAUUAAAAAAAGAUAAAACAGUACUUAUUUUCUUAUUCAAUUUUUUUAAUUUGUUUGUUAUUUAAAAAAUUGGUUGGUAAAUCAAUGUAUUCCUUUUCAUAGUUGGAUAAAAAAAUUAUACAUCAAUGAAAUAUUUUUUGUUACGUUUAAGCUUAAUUUUAAGAAACUAAAACCACAAUUAGAGAUUGCGUCUUCAAUCAAUUAUCCAGAAAAUGAGAAGGAUGGAUUUUAUAGUUCUACCCAUCAGUUAAGGAGGUCAAUGAAGUCAACACUCAAAAGUUUUUCCACAAAGAUUAAUGGACAAAAUUGACCUUUGGCUUUUUGGAUCUUGAGCGACUAACCAAUUUGUUUACUGGGCAUUAUCCCUCCGAAGAUAAUGUCUGUAUCAGUAAAUAGAAAAGUCGAUCAAUUCCAAAUCAAAGCAACAAACUGUGCUUUUAAAUACCCAUUUGUCAUAAUAAUGUGCACUUUGAAUAAGAGGGUGGCAAUAAUAUUGUUUUGUCAAAUCAGCCAUUGAAUUUAUAUGCUUCGUUCUUCAACGAAAAUCUACAAAGAAUAUGAACCGUCACGGUAUUACAAAAUGCCAACAUAUCAAUUCUAAAAAUCUAAUGCACGACGAUUGACGAACUGAAAAAAGAAAAAAGGAUGGCGUCUUUAAUCAGUUAAGGAGGUCAAAAGAGGCAACUCUCAAAGUUUUUCCACAAAGAUUAAUGGGCAAAAUUGACCUCUGCGUUUUUGGGUCCUGACUAACAAAAUUGUUUGCUGGGCACUUGUUUCCCUGUGUUAGUAAAUAGAAAAAAUCAAAGCAACAGUCAGUGCCUUCCUAUACCCUUUUUGUUAUAGUGAUAACUUUGAUGAAGAUGGUAAAUAUAUAAAUAGUAAACAUUUAGCAAACUUUGGAUCUAAUUAAAUUGAGAUAUAUAGUCGAAGGGGAACUCAGGAUCUUAAAGUACACCAGGCUAAAUUAAAAGUUAAACUUUAAAAUGAGUAUCAAAAUUUCAUAACUGGAAAAUGAAAAAAAAAUGCACCUAAUAAAAUGAGUAAAAUGUUAAUACCGUUUUCGUUAUUUUCAGUAGAUAAUAAUUUAUUAAUUUAAAGCAAAAGAAAAGAUUGUACAAGAAAAAAAAAACUCUUAAUGAACUAGAGUUCGCAAAAUUAUAUUCAUAAUAAUUGGCUAAUAUUCUCUACACCAUUGGUCUAGAUUGUGGAUUCUCAUCUAAACAUGCAAAUUGAAAUAUUUUUGAAAUAAUUAUUGUAAGCCAAUGUUUAACAUAAUACUCUAUGCUUAUGCUUCAAAAGAUAAUUAUAGGCUAUACGUCACUUGAGUUAACUAUAUAGGACUUAAACAACCCUUAAACUCUUGAGUUAAGCCUGUAGGCAUUUUAUAGAAAAUUAAAUGUUGGAUUUUUAAUCCAAUGUUGUUCGAUCCUUAAUCCAACGUUGGGCUUGUAGUAAGUAAUUAUGUAUUGCAGACUAUCAUAUAAGGUUAAGCCCAAUUAAAAAUGAUCUACUAAGGUUUUUAGUAAUCUGAGCUUUAAUGUAUCUAAUAAAAUGUAGGCCUUUAACAUAUAGAUACUUAGGAUAAUUUCUAUUUCUAUGAUAGGUAUAAAUAAAAAUACCUAAAGAUAACAGGAAACAUUUUCUAUAUAAGUGGUUAUGGUCCCCAAGUCACAUGAAACAAUCCUAUUCUCUUCCGACAUCCCAUCAUCAGAGAGAGUGGAGAGGGAAAGUUGAAAGGGUUCUCUGGGAUAACGUGUUGAUAUGAAAGACGAACCACACAAAUCUAAAACGCAAUUGAGCGUUAUAGAUUUAGGUACACUUCUGCAUAUUCUGUUAUUAAUUCUUAGUGAUAUAACAUAAAUGCUACUGGAUUAUAGGUGAUGGUUUUCACCAAAAUAAUUUAUUGUUCUAACAUUAAUGACUUUUUAACGGCAAGAAAUUUUUAAUGGAUUUUGAAACAUAAGGGAGAAAAUGAUAUAUAAUUUUAACAAAUAAUACGAGAAUUUUGACCAUUUUCUCAUUUAAUUUACCUCAAAUUUGCAAGAUUGAGGAAGUUCAUGACAAAUAGUCAUGUACAUACGCUUGUUGGAGGGGGGCAAUUUUUUCCAUCGUUCUUGUAAUCCCAUCCUAAAUUCAAAGUUACUAUAUUGCAGAUCUACUUUCAAUUCCAUGCUCCCAAGCUUAAAAUUCUAAUUCAUCUAAAGAGGAUGAUUUUUUGUACAGUCUGGUGGAUACAACCAGCAGUGCAAGAGGUUGUGAUUGACAGUUUUUUAGAUGCUAAUCAUACUCCAAAUAAUCUAGCUUCAUGGAAGGAAAGGGUGGCUGAUGAUUUGUUUCAAGCCCUUGACAACCCUCUGACUCAUCUUGAUCAGCAUAUGUUGAGUGGCCAAAGGCCUGAUUUUGUUAAAGACUAUGAAACAUUUGACUAAAGAAAUGUGACUUCAAAAUAUAGUGAAGCCAUUACUAGAAAAAUGGUCUUUACUGACAUUAGAAUAGUAUUAGUAAUUACUUUUAGUGACACUUGUUAAUUGUGUCAGUAAUCUAGCAGGCAAAAACAUAGUGACACUUUUUUGUGGUGUCAAUGAUUACUAUUACUACUGUAUUACAAGUUUUAUGAUACUAUGAUAUUAGUAGUUACUAUUAAUUAUUGUGUGUCAGUAGUUCGUUUCACUAUAGUAUCAUGAAUAUUAUGACACUAUGGCGAUGGUGUUUACUAACAAUAAUUACAUGUCAAUAGUUUGUUUUACACCACGAAUAUGACAUGAUAGAAUGAAUAAAUACAAAUAUUUUAUUGUCAGUAAUUAGUAUUGCUAUAAUAUCACUAGUAUUAUGUCACAUUGGAGUUGUUAAUUUUUUAUACAUUUUUUUAGUGUCGAUGACUUUUAGUUGAAUUUAUCUCUUGGCAUUUCUAUUGUUACUUUAUUGUUUUCAUUGUUCUUUUAGUUUUGCCAAUCAAACGAUGGUAUUCAAAGAAAAUAUUAAAAUUAAAUUGAAGUACUAAACUGAAUAAUUAAAUAUAAGUAUACAAUAUUCCCAAUAAAAUUUAAAUAAGUAUCAAAUGAAACACAAAUACAAAUAACUUAAAUAUAGUUUGAAAAAUCGCAAAUAUAGUUCGAAAACAACAUAAUGAUAGUUUGCAGAAAUCAAUCAAUUAUCCUCAAUACAUUUACUCUUUGACCUUUGCCUUCUCCUUCAUCUUUCCCGCCUACAAGUAUAAUAAAUGGAAUCAAUUAGCUAGUAUGCUACAUAAAUCAAUUGUUGGAUAUUUACAAGCAAAAAUAUAUUUAUAAUUUACCUGAUUAUUGUAUGCUACAAUUAACUUUACAACAUACAUGGUCUACUCAUCGCGAAGUAGCAAAAUAUCAUAUGUAGUGUAUUUAUCACAGCCAUUGAACUUCAAAAAUAAAGCAACAAAAUAUAUACAUAUUUUUUGAAUUUUGUCCUAAAAUAAAACAACAAAAUAAAUACAUAUAUUUUUAAAUCUGUUGUGAUUAACAUAAAAGAAAGGCCUAAGAAGCUGAUAAUUUAUAAUAAUUAUUUUGCUUCACUCAAUAUUCCUUUACCACUCAACAUUGGGCUUCAUAUGCUUUAUGUUUCUACAUGCAACAACUCCAGUCGUUACGGUUUGCACUAAAGUGCCUAAGUGAAUAGUAGAACACACUGAAAAUUGGCAUUAAUUUUGCCAAACAACAUCUUGAAUGCAUUCAACAAAAUAUUGAUGGGUUAUGUUCAACUAAUGCAUCUACCUACUCCAUUUAAAACUACAUUAGGAUAAAAUCUAGAUAUAUAUGGUGUUGUAACUUUUACCUAUAACAAAUAUGUCAAAUAAAGUGUAUGUGAUUAUCCUAAACAUAUAAGGUACUUCCUCUCGUCCCUAGCAAAAGAUAUGAUUAUAUUGCUAUUUCCAAGCAUCAAGCAGGAAACAAUUCAGCAAACAAUUCAUCUUCACAAUUCACAUAAAUAACAAGAAGUAUUUUAUAAACAAUGGCAAUAUUAAACAUUGUUCUUCAGAAAAUUCAUCCUACAAUGCACUCUUCAACAAUAGAUUAAAAAACGUUGUAGAAGAACUUACAUUGUUUUCAAGAAUAUACAAAUCUCAAACAAUAUCUUAGUUGUACUUCAUCACAUAAUAACCACAUUCAAAGGUUCCAGGUUGUUUCAGAACCUAAAAAAUAAAAAAUUGGUUUCAAAUAAACUGAUGAAAGUAACAAUGAAAGUUACAACUUUGUUUCAUUAAUACCUUCAUAGAGACCCGUUGCACAAUCUUCUUUUUGGUAGUCCUCACUUGAUGCAUUGUUUCCCAAUAUAAGCAUUCAAUAAUGUAUGUCAAUAAAAUUAAUCCACAACAUUAAAAAAUAAACAAAAAUUAAGUAAACCAAUCAAGCUUAUUCACCAUCAUCAUCAGGAUUAUUACCUUGUGCGUCAAGAUAAUAUAUUUUGCGCCUCACUAUAUCAAUUACUACUAGCACCCAGUGGCCACUAAACAAAAAAAUAAAUAAAUAAAAUGGACAAAAAAUAAAUGAACUAUACCUAGGUUAUAUUGGAAUACAAUGAUCUGGGUUAUUUGUAUCUUAUCUAAAAGGUCUGAAAUAUAGGAACACUAAUUUAGAUAACUUGUUUGAGUUGAAUGUAACUUAGCUAUCCAUCCAAAUUGAAUUGGAAUAACAUCACCACCAUUAUCCAUCUCCUCAUACAAUUGUCUAUUAAAAAAAGAAACUUGUAUGACAUAAAUAUAACAGAUAAAUUAAUGACAGUUUGGAAAAUCAGAAAACAUAAUAAAAACAUAAAUCAAGUUUUUUUUUCCUUACUUCAUCCAUAUCUCAAUAAGAAAAUUUGAGAGCUUUGUAAACUCAAUGAAUUUAUUGCAAAUAUGUUUGUCCAAUCUACUCUUCUAGUAGACACCAAAAGUUUUCAGAUCAUGUGCAAUCAUAAUCGAUCGUGGUGGGGGAGCUCGCAAUCAUCAAGGAAAAUAUGUUCAUUUGUGAACUCUUGUUCUCCUUUCUUGCUUUCAUAGCUCCACAGUUAUUCUUUCUCAGAAUAAGUUUCCUAGGUGUCACUGGUUUCAUAAUAACGGGUUCCUUUAUUGUUCUUUUCUCUUCAUAUAGAUAUACCUCAUCAUUUGUAGGAGACUUUAGGCCAUCAACUUUUUUCUUUGAAAGAGUCAAUCUUAAAGAUCUUCUUAGGGUAAUUUUUAAAGUGGCUUCACAAUCUACUUAGGGUGGAUUCUACGCAAGAGCUGGCAGGGGAAGUGUGUUGAUGUUUUUGUUAGAUUUUAAACAAACAGUCAGGUCAUUGGUCAAUGUCUUUGGAGUAACUUUGGUCACUGACUUUGGAGUAGCUUUGAGGUUAUUGGUCACUGACUUUAGAGUAACUUUGGUGGGGAAUAGACGAUCCAUCUCUAUCUUAACACUGCAACCACCUUUGGAGUUAGGAAAAUUGAAAUUGCUAACUUCGGUGUUGUAGCAUGUAUUUAUCCUUGCAUUCAUUUGAUCUAAUUGAGGUUGUAUAAAUUAGAGACUCUCUUGAUACAUUCUUCGUUCUCGCGUCAACUCAGUAGAAUCAGGAAUAUUGAAAUACAUGGAUGGGGUGAUCAAUUAACCCAAUAUUUGCACCCAACUUCUAUUAGGCUUCUUCUGAAGGGCUUCACCUAGGAUAUCAUUUGGUCCUUGGGAUUGGAAUGUUCCCUGCUGAGCCAGGCUUCUUAGCUCACUCUAUAAAUUAAAUACAAAAAGAUUUGAUCAAAAUUAGGAAUUAAAAAAAAUAAGUUAAAUGAUGACAGCCAAAAUGUACAUCUCAUUACUAGCAUUUUUCGAAAGAAAUAAAGCAACCUCAUUUGUUAAUUUAGAGGCACUUGGAUUAUUAUUCACUAACAGUCAUCAAUAACAAACAGAAAACCAGAAUUAAUUGCAAGCCUUAAAUCAAACAAACUUUAUAAAUUAUGAUCUUAUCCUCAACGCUCGGUUGCCUAUUACAAACAAGAAACACUACGUUUGCAAAAAAGUCAAUAAAUUCUAUCCAAUCAAAUUCUAAGAAAGCUUAAGGCAUUAAUAAGCAAAGAAAAUUCAAUAUAAAUUAAAAAAUGCCAAAUAAAGUUAUGUAUUGCUGUCUCUUUUUAUUUUUUCAGGUGCCCGUAACACAUUGCACCACAUGGUUUAAAUCACAAAACAAUGUCAGUCUAGCCUAUGGUUGCGGUAGCUGAUUUAUUAUUAUAAAUAACUUUUAGUGGUAUAUACGAUAAUUUCAAUUUAAUGAAAAUGAGAUAUCUGUUUAACAUGGUUUAUGUGAUAAAAAGUCAUAUAGAAUUAUAGAUUUAUCUUAUAUAGUCGAAUUAUAAAAUAAUUUAGGCAGCUUUCAGUUUCAGGCAAUUUGCAUUUGUGAACACUUUUUAAUUUCAAGCGAUUCUUAAAGGCACAAUAGUAUUCUCUCAGCCACUUGCUGCACUUUAGGGGUAUAACUUUUAUUCUUUUUUGUGAGCCAAUAACCAGGCUUUACUGCGAUCAAUCUUAUGCUCAGAAACUCCAAGGUCCAACUUCUGCAACAAUUCGAUAAAAAGUAAAAUGAAAUUUGCUUUGAAUCACCUUAUUAUUUUUCUUAAAAAUAUUCUAAGUUUUUAUAGAGUGGUUAUUAUGCUUGCUUUUUUAUGCAACAACCUAGCAUAUCUUGUGUUGCCUAAAUGAUGAUUGUACACAUUAUUCAUUCUUCUAUCCUUUGUUACCUUACUUUUUUCGUGCACAAAUUAGAUAUUGAUUAAAAUGGUUACAAGCACUCAAUAAUGUUAUCCAACUAACAAAAUUUUAAACAUAUUGGAAAGUCUUUGGACAAAACCUUAUCAAUAAAGCUUUUCUAAUCUCGUACUCAAAUGGAGGCUUUUUCAGUGAAUUUAAGUUGUUUGUAUUGGGCAGAAUAUAAUCGUUUGCCAACUCCCAUCAAUUUGAACACUUGGGUUUUGGCCUUAAGACCCAAUUUGAACUUUUUCUGAAUAUAAUUCUAUAAUGUCUCUUUGAUGUCCAGUGGUACUUUCCUCCAAUCAUCACAUAUGAUUAGAACUCUUUCUUAUACAAUCACCUUGAUGUAAUUCCUCAAAUCGUUUCUCUUCUUUCCAGCCAGAACUCUAUAUCAAUUGUAUAUAACCUCAAUCUCGUCACUAACUCCUUUCUGUAAGUCUUUCUUCUUUGUAAGGUUUCGUCUUAGUCUUCCUUCGAGAUCUGGAUCAUAUGUCGGCUUCUUACUUUCUGCCAUGUCUCUAACAAACCUGCAAAUAUAUAAAGUAGAUAAAUGCAUCAGAUAUCAAUAUAAUAAUAAAAACAAGUUAGUUGCUUACUUACGGGAAGUAGUGCUAACAAGGUAUAAUAAUUGAAUUGUUCAUUUUCCUCAAUAUUUACAUGAAACGAUUUAGCAUUUGAUCUUAUACAAAUUCCUCAUCGCCUAUAUCCAACUUACAUUUUGGAAGAUUGUUGGAUAAUGGUUCAUACACAUCCAUAUCAUCACACCCAGCCCCAUUUGAAUAAUUACAUUUUUCACUCACUGAACAAAUAAUUUAUUUACCAUUAUCUAGUUGGUUUUUCAUACAAGACACUUGCUUUGUAUAACUAGCUAGAAUAAAACAAUCAGAUUUGUAACCUAUCCGAUCUAAAUUAACUAUAGUGAAUCCUAACUCAUCAAUUGUUAAUCCCUCUAUCAUCUAUCUAAUCACACUUGAAAAGUACUUUCUUAACCCCUAGAUAAUCAAGUUGUCAGAUUUCAUCGACAACCUCGUAAAAAGGCGUAUCCCUAUAAUCAUGAUUUUGAUCUUUUGAGCUUGAAAUCUAUAAAGCUUUAGCAACAACAUGAACACCAUUGUUGUGUUACAUGGUUGCUUUCUCGAUUUCUUGUAACAAAAUUAAAACCAUUAAUAUAGUAGCCUUUAUAAGUAACCACGCUUGAGCGCAAUUUGUUUGCCAACCACCAUUCUAUUUCGUCAACUGCUACAUUAUUUACUUUAUCAGUAGUUACUUAUUGUUUCAAAUUAUAAAAUCACAGUAAUAAGUUAAAUGAGAAAAGUUUGUUUACCUUUACUUGGGUACUUUUAUUAGAUUUAAUGAAGCUAAUCUAACCUUUUGUUUUAGCCAAUCAACAAAUGUACGAAAGUGUUUGGUUGGCAACCAUAAAGGCCUUUUUAAUUGUCGAGAGUGUUUUGAUUGCAAUAAGGCCAAAUGAUCCUAAAAUUAUACCAGAAGAGUUAAUAAAAUUUUAAUAAAGUUAAUAUAAAUCAACAAAAGUUUUCAGUCUAUAUAUGGUUGAAUCUGGGGGUGUACACCAAAACACAUCGGUGCACGUGCGCCAAUGUAGGGACAUCAACCACCUUAAUAUUUACAUCUUCAAAUGGCCUUUUGAUUAUAAAAUCAAUUUGACAACCAGUAGGCAAUCUAAUUCAUUCAUAAUUUAAAAGGUACUUAACACAAAAUUCAAAUGAUUCCUAAGUAUUGUAGCACUCUACAAUGCAACCUUCAAGAUAGUUUUGGUUGCAAACACAACCCUUUAAAGGUUUCAUUUCUCUCUCAAAUGGAUACAUUCAUCAAAGGUAAACUGGGCCAUAUAACCUAACUUCUUCCGCUAAAUGGACCAUUAUAUCAAAGAAGGCAGGUAAGAAGUAGUGUUCUAAGUUGUAUAAGAUGAUUUUAAGUUACUUUUGCAAUUGUUUUAGAGGAUCUGACUCUACUACCUUAGAACACAAAGAAUUAAAAAAGAGUCACAAUCGGAUUAUGACAGAUAUGACAUUUUAAGGAAAAUAAUUCUAAAUUGCCAAUGGUAGAAGUUGUUGCAUCAAAAUAUGAAAAAUAAGACUUAAGCCUGUGAAGACGAUAAUCAUCCAUUGAAACAAGGUUUCUAAAGUUAGAACAAUAACCAUCAGGAACUUUAACACCUUGCAAGGUUUCACAUAAUAAUUUUUUUUCUUUCUUACUAAAAGUAUAUAGGGCAGGCAACAAGACUUUGUUUUGUUCAUCAAGAGCUAAUGUAAUAAAUGCUUUGAUGUUUUUUUUUUCUCUAAGCUCUGGGUGUGAGAUCUUUUUAGCAUUAAUUCCAUCUUUUGUUUUCCCUGGUUGAUAAAUUAAUGUGCCAUAAAUGCUCUCGCAUACAUUUUUCUCAAUGUGCAUCACAUCUAGUUAAUGGCGAACUAACAAGUGUUUCCAAUAUUCUAAAUCAAAGAAUAUUGAUUUUUUUUUAUAACAACUAAGCUACAUCUUUAUUACCCUCACCCUCAUACUCACCCUUACCCUCAUCCUUACUAUUACCCUUACCUUUACCAUCACCCUUACCCUUAUCCAUACUAUUACCCUCACCCUUACCAUCACCCUUAGCUUCACCAAGUUUUCACUUUUUUUAGACCUUUUUCCUAAACUUGGUGUCAAUGUCAGCCACCGAGUUUAAAAUCUCCACACCAGACAAAGGCCUAGGAGAGUUUUUAAGAAUCUGUAUGUGCCAUGUAUAUGGCAUUUUUUGAUUAUGCGGCAGCCAACAUGCAUAUAUAUUUAUCCCACAAACUGAAUAACCACAAUAUCCUUUAACAGUAUACUCGGGCAGGUUCCCUGUGAAGCCUGAUUAGUUAAUUCUGUUAUGUGACUAAGUGGCGUGCUGAGUCAGCUUAUAUAUGGGGCCAGAGUUAGUUAAUUCGUUACUGCUAACAGCUGGACAACAGAGCUAUAUAUACAUAGGCUCAGGGCUGAUCAACAGUGGGGUUAAAGUCACGAUUUUGAGAAGCCUAGGAUGAGAGAUAGAAAAUUCUCUGUAGGAGAGAUUUAAUCUUUGUCAUCAAUACUCUCAUUAUAAACACUUUGUUCAAUAAAAACUUCAAGCCCAGAGGGGUUUAUUUGGUCGUGGAUGUAGGUACUUUGGUACUGAACCACGUUAUAUUGUGUUCAUUGUUUCUGGUUCAUCUUCUUCUUGUUGUUGUUCUCUGGUUAUUUCUUGUGUUUGAUCUGGUUAGCUUUCUUGAUUAAAGAUUGUUGAUCUUGAAUCAUUUGGGUUCUAUAAGCUUAGGUUAUUUGAUUAAUUAGAGUGGAUCUUUAAGGAAUUCCACAACAAACUGGUAUCAGAGCAUUAAAAGAUCUCAGCUCUUGUUCACAAAUGGCUAGUACAAGAUUCGAUGUAGAAAAAUUUAAUGGAGAAAAUGACUUCUACCUAUGGAGUCUCAAGAUGCGUGCAAUCUUGAUCCAACAGGGGCUUGACAGUGCUCUUGAUAAUGAAGAAGAUCAGAUUGGCAAAAAGGAGAGAUCAGAAGGCUCCUCAAGCUUGGGUGGAGACAUAAGGUCUAUUAACAACAAAGCUCACAGCACCAUAAUCUUGCAUCUGUCUGAUGAAGUGCUGAGAGAGGUUGCUAAAGAAAAAUCUGCAUCUGGACUCUGGUCGAAACUUGAAGAACUAUUCUUGAAGAAGUCUUUGGCCAAGAGACUCUAUAUGAAAAGGAAGCUGUAUACAUUCUCAAUGAAGGAGGGAACAGCCAUGAAAGACCAUCUCGACGAAUUCAACAAGCUAAUCCUGGAUCUUGAGAAUGUUAAUGUGAACCUUGAAGAUGAAGACAGAGCUCUUAUCUUGUUAAGCUCACUGCCAGAUUCAUAUGAGCACUUUGUUGACACAUUACUGUAUGGGAGACAGACCCUUACAUUAAAAGAUGUGAAGAAUGCUCUAGAAUCAAAAGAAUUAAAGAAAAGAGCUGAGGGAAAAGAUCAGGGCCUUGGUGAAGGUCUGAUGGCCAAAUCAAAACCUGAAAGAAGAAGAAUCAUGACAAGAAAAGUAACAAUCAAAAGGAUAAAGCUGACAAGAAAAAGAAGAAGAGGAAGUGCUAUUUCUGUCAGAAGGAAGGGCAUUACAUAAAGGAUUGUUUCGAGAAGAAGAAACUUGAAAAGAUCCAGAAAGAUUCAUUAGGGAAGGCAGCCAUUGCAUCAGAAGAUGAAGGGGAUUCAGAAGGGGCAGAUGUUCUCAUAGCUGCAGAAAAACAACCCACUAAAGAAUGGAUCUUGGACUCAGGUUGCUCCUUCCACAUGAGCCCAAACAAGCAACUCUUCAAGACUUUUGAGAAAGUUGAUACAGGUAAGGUUUUAUUGGGAAAUAACUUGGCCUGUAAGGUUGCUGGAAUUGGAACUGUUACCAUAACUAUGCAUGAUGGAGUAGAUAGAGAGCUAAAGAAUGUAAGAUAUGUUCCAGAGCUUAGAAGGAAUCUAAUAUCCUUAGGAACAGUUGACCAGUUAGGCUAUAGCAUUAAGGCAGAGAAUGGUGAACUCCAAGUUACAAAAAAUAGCAUGGUUAUAAUGAAGGGAAUAAGAAGAAAUGGGUUAUAUGUCCUAAUAAGCUCCCCUUCCUCUCCAGGAGUUAUAGCCUCUGUUAGUGGUGAUAAAACAAAGUUAUGGCACAUGAGAUUGGCUCACAUGAGUGAAAAGGGGUUAAGGGAAUUAGGCAAACAAGGUCUAAUUGGUUCUGGUCAGAUUUCAUCUCUGGAGUUCUGUGAAAAAUGUGUGUUUGGAAAGGCAACUCGACAGAGGUUUGGGACUGGGAAGCAAGAAACCAAGAAUUCAAUGGAUUACAUACAUUCAGAUAUAUGGGGUCCAUCCCAAGUGCCAUCACAUGGUGGAGCUAGGUACUUCAUGACACUGAUUGAUGACUAUACCAGGAAGGUUUGGGUUUAUAUCUUAAAGCAUAAGAGUGAAGCUCUGCUGAAGUUUAAGGAAUGGCUGACCUUAAUUGAAAAUCAAACAGACAGGAAGAUAAAGAGAUUAAGGACUGACAAUGGGCUGGAGUAUUGUAGUAAGGAUUUUGAUGAGUUUUGCAGAGAGAAAGGAAUUGCAAGGCACAAGACUGUUAGACACACACCCCAGCAAAAUGGGCUUGCUGAGAGGAUGAAUAGAACAUUAGUGGAAAAAGUAAGAUGUAUGUUGUUUAGUGCAAACCUCUCAAAACAUUUUUGGGCUGAAGCUGUCACCACUGCAGCAUACUUGAUAAAUAGAAGUCCCUCAUCAGCACUCAACUUCAGAACUCCACAAGAGGUUUGGUCUGGAAAACCUCCUGAUCUAAGCAAUCUGAGAAUCUUUGGCUCACCAGCUUAUGCUCAUAUCAACCAAGGAAAGCUUGAACCUAGGGCAAUUAAGGGUAUCUUUAUUGGUUACCCUGAAGGUGUUAAGGGAUACAGAAUAUGGUGCAUUGAUGGGAAACCUUCAAGGAUUAUAGUAAGCAGAGAUGUUGUAUUUGAUGAGGGUUCCAUGCUGCAGCAAAAGGUUGAAACUGAACUGACAAUUUCUGAGCAACCAGCAAACCAUAAGCCUAAUCUAGAGGUGGAGCUCACUGAUGAUCAUAAGGACACUGAUGAAGAGUCUAAGUCUUAUGACAGCAAAUCUAGAUCCUCAGAAAUGAAUAACUACCAGAUGGCAAGAGACAGAGAAAGGAGGGUUAUAAAAUUGCCUAAGAAAUAUGGCAUAGCAGACUUGAUAUCCUAUGCAUUGAAUGUUGCUGAAGAAGUUAUUGGGGAAGAGCCCAGCAGCUAUAAGCAAGCCAUGAACAGCAGGGAUAAAACAAAGUGGCUAUCAGCAAUGGAAGAAGAAAUAUCCUCAUUAAAGAAAAACAACACCUGGAUUUUGGUGAGAAAACCAGAAGAUAGGAAGCUGGUUGGAUGCAAGUGGAUCUUCAAACUUAAAGAUGGAGCUACAAGUGAAGAACCUCCUAGAUAUAAAGCUAGGCUGGUGGCAAAGGGCUUCACACAAAGAGAGGGGGUGGAUUACAGUGAAGUUUUUUCACCAGUGGUGAAAUAUAGCUCAAUAAGAGUGUUACUUGCAAUAACAACUUACCAUGAUUUGGAGCUGGACCAAAUGGAUGUCAAAACAGCCUUCCUACAUGGCAAUCUUGAAGAAUAGAUAUAUAUGGAACAGUCAGAAGGUUUCAUACAAAGGGAGUCUGAAGACAUGGUAUGUUUACUUAAAAAGAGCUUGUAUGGUUUAAAACAAUCCCCCAGGCAGUGGUACUUGAGGUUUGACCAAUUUAUGAUUGCUCAUGGUUACUUGAGAAGUCAAUAUGACAGCUGUGUAUACUGCAAAUUCCUUCCCUCUGGAGAUGGGAUAUAUUUGCUUCUCUAUGUGGAUGACAUGCUCAUUGCAUGCAAGCACAGAGAAGAAAUAGAAAAACUUAAAACUGAGCUAAGGGCUGAAUUUGAGAUGAAGGACCUUGGCUCUGCCAGCAAGAUUCUAGGAAUGCAGGUAAAAAGAGAUAGAGCUGCUAAGACUCUACUUCUUUCACAAGCUGGUUACAUCAAAAGAGUGCUCAGCAGGUUUGACAUGGUUACCUCUAAAGCUGUCUCCACCCCUUUAGGCACUCACUUCAAGCUGUCAAAGCAGCAAGAGCCAUCUGAUGAUGCAGAGACUGAGUAUAUGAAGAAAAUACCUUACUCUAGUGUGGUUGGAAGCAUUAUGUAUGCUAUGGUGUGCUCUAGACCUGAUAUUGCUUAUGGGGUAGGAGUAGUCAGCAGAUUCAUGGGGAACCCAGGAAAAAUGCAUUGGAGUGCUGCUAAGUGGAUACUUAGGUAUCUGUGUGGAUCAUCUGAUUCUGGUAUUUUGUUUAGUAGAGAUAACAAAGUCACAAGUAAAGUCAUAGGCUAUGUGGACUCAGACUUUGCUGGUGACUUAGACAAGAGAAGGUCUACUACUGGUUUUGUUUUCACCAUGUGUGGAGGAGCUGUAAGUUGGAAAGCAUCAUUGCAGUCAGUUGUUGCCUUAUCAACUACUGAAGCCGAAUACAUUGCACUUACUGAAGCUGUUAAAGAAGCUAAGUGGAUCAGAGGGAUAUAUCUGAAAUGGGGUUGACUCAGGAUACAAUUCCAAUCUGUUGUGACAGCUCAAGUGCAAUUCAGUUAAGCAAAAACUCCAAAUACCAUGAGAGGACAAAGCAUGUAGAUGUGAGGUUACAUUUCAUAAGAGAAGAAAUUGAAAGAGGGGUAGUGGAUGUUGUAAAGAUCUCUACUGAAGUCAAUCCAGCAGAUGCACUGACAAAACCAAUACCAACAGUCAAGUUCAGAAACUCUCUGAGCUUGAUUGGAGUUACAAGCUUGUAAGUCAAGCAUAUUAACUAUCUAAACCAGGUCUGGGUGAAGCUGGUACAGAAUCAACUAAGGUGGAGAUUUGUGAAGCCUGAUUAGUUAAUUCUGUUAUGUGACUAAGUGGCGUGCUGAGUCAGCUUAUAUGUGGGGCCAGAGUUAGUUAAUUCGUUACUGCUAACAGCUGGACAACAGAGCUAUAUAUACAUAGGCUCAGGGCUGAUCAACAGUGGGGUUAAAGUCACGAUUUUGAGAAGCCUAGGAUGAGAGAUAGAAAAUUCUCUGUAGGAGAGAUUUAAUCUUUGUCAUCAAUACUUUCAUUAUAAACACUUUGUUCAAUAAAAACUUCAAGCCCAGAGGGGUUUAUUUGGUCGUGGAUGUAGGUACUUUGGUACUGAACCACGUUAUAUUGUGUUCAUUGUUUCUGGUUCAUCUUCUUCUUGUUCUUGUUCUCUGGUUAUUUCUUGUGUUUGAUCUGGUUAGCUUUCUUGAUUAAAGAUUGUUGAUCUUGAAUCAUUUGGGUUCUAUAAGCUUAGGUUAUUUGAUUAAUUAGAGUGGAUCUUUAAGGAAUUCCACAACAUUCCCAUAUGCUGGGAAGUCACUAAUUGUCUACAUCAACACAACCCAUAAAUUAAAAGUUUGUUUCUUAUAUGCAUCAAACACAUCGACACUUGCAUCUCAUAGAGUUUUCAAGUUCUCAAUCAAUGGUGCUAGGUACACAUUUAUAUUAUUUCUAGGCUGUUUAGGGCUAGAUAUCAAUAGAGACAACAUUAUAAACUUCCUCUUCAUACAUAGUCAUAGAGGACGAUUAUAUGUUAUCAAUGUAAUAGGCCAACAACUAUUAGUUGUGCUAAGUGUGUUAUGUGAGUUAAUCCUAUCAAAUGAUAAAGCCAACCGAAGAUUUCUCGACUUUUGGGCAAAAUUAGGUCAUUUCUUGUCAACUAGCUACCAAGUCGAUGAAUCUGCUGUGUAGUAAAGCUUACCAUCCUUAAUUCUUUUAUUUUCAUGCCAUGUUAGGUUCUCAGUAGUUUUUGGUAAUUGAAACAUUCUUUUGAACCUAGGAACUAUAGGAAAAUACCAUAAUAACCUUUUAAGGACCUCCUUUCUAAUUUUUUUUUUUAUCUAUCUUUUCUUUUUUGCCACCUAGAUGCUCCACAGCUUGUGCAUUCACUAGGAUUUUUUAACUCAUUCCCAUAAAGAAUGUAAUCAUUUAGACAUACAUAUAUUUUAUCAUAAUCUAAGCCUAAGUGCUUCAAUGUUCUUUUGGCCUCAUACAUAGACUUAGGCAUACUAUUAUCAUUCAACAAUAUCUCAUUCAACACUUUUAAUAAAGCUAAAAUCUCACUAUCAGACCAGCCAUAAACUCCUUUUAUAUUGUAUAGUUUCAUUAAACCCGAUAGCUUUGAAUGUUUUAAACCUAGAUAUAAGGGCCUUUCAGCAUCUUCAAGCAUAUCCUUAAAAGGACUAGUAUCUUUAUAAUAAAGCUUGAAAGCAUCAUGAACCAUGUCACCUAAACUACUAUAAUCCGGACAUUUAAAACACUGAUUUUUUGGUGGUCUUGGCACUUUUCAGAAGUAGGUUUUGGGUCUACUCACCAUGCCAAUUCUAAACUAAAUAUUUUUCUAAAACCUUUUUUAAAUAGAUGUAGCCUCACUUGUUCAGGAGUCAAAACUCCGUAUUACAACAAGAUGUACAAGGACAUCUAAUCGACAUUCUAUUUUCAUAAUAAAAAAUGGUAGACUCCCAAAAAUCAUCAACCCCAUCUUAAUACUCAUCGGACAAUCUUUCACAGAAAAUCCAAGUUUUUUCCAUAACAUGUAUUUUUAAGUUUCAUUUAUUAGAUGUUGUUAGAUUGAUAAGUUUAAUUAAAUUUCACAAAUAACUUCAAAAUUUUAAGUUUAAAUUAAAAUUACAAAUUGCAAAAUAAAUCUAAGUUCUGUUUGUUUAAAGUCACUUAAAUACACAAAACAUAUAUGUACACAUUCGGUAAGCCAACAGAACAUACAUGUACACAUUCAGCAAGCCAAUAGAACAUACAUGUAUACGUUCAGUAAGCUAACAAAACAUUCCAUAAACAUUUUUCAAAACUUCACUUUCAUAUUAGAAUAAACAAAAGUAUAUGUAUAUCAAAUAAACAAACAAUAUAAUUCCAAAAGAAUCUAUGCAACAAAAAUGAAACUAAAACCAUGCAUGUAAAUAUUUAGAACAUGUCAAUACAAGUAAAACUCAAAACAUACUAAUAAUAGAACUGGAAAGAAGUGAGUGAUUUGUAAGACUUACCAAAUAAAGAUAGUUGUAAAAUCAAUUAAAAACUUUGGUACGAUAGCUCAGCUUCAAUUUCCUUCAAAUCUUUGCUAUGUUUUCUUAGGUCCCAAAUUACGAACAAUCAAGUUUACAGAAAAAAAAAACCAAAAAAAAAAAAGAAUUUAAAGACCCAUUCUAUAGUUAAACUGCAACCAAACAACAUGCAUGAGCAAAUAUAAACUAUAAAAUCAAAUAAAUGGUACCUUUAGAAAGGAAUUUAUCGGAGGGGAGAGAGAGAACCAAAUCGUGAUACGAAGUAGUUGCUUUGCUUGGGGCUUGGUUGGGAUUGACAGUGCGGUUUGAUUAGAAUGUGCAGUAUCAACCAUGGGGGAUAGUAUUUUAAGGUUUUGUUUGCUUAGCUUUGAUAGAGAAGAAGAGUCCAAAGGUGAAGAAUGAUGAGUGAAUGACUUAGAAAAAAAAUGGCUUCAACUUUGGUCUUGGGGUUAGGAUAAAAUGGUGCGUUUAAGUUAUCUUUUAGUUUUUUUUUUUAAAGUGAAACGAUACCAUUUCUAAUUAGAAAUAAUAAAUUAACUCAAAAUUUUCAACCAAAACCCGCUAAAAUUUUCACUUAGCCGCGCUCAAUACAUUUCAAAAUAUUAUAUUACAAAACCUUUUUUUUUUAUUUUUUUACUGAUACAGUAGUAUAAGUAACAAAAAGUCACAAUGGUUUUUAUUUUAAACUUAAUAGCUUCGAUUUUCAAGGUCUUCGGUUUGAAUAUUAACCUGGAACAAGAUGAGAAUUUAGAAUUUAUUUCUUUUUACCGAUACUUUAGUGUCACUAAUAAAAAUUUCAAUGGUCUUUUUCUUAAACUUAAACGUUUCAAUAUUGGAGGUCCUCAGUUUGAGUUCUAUCUUAAAUAUGAUUAGAGUUACUUUGCUUUUAUUAAUGAUCCAUAUGUAUGAAAAUACUGAUGUUUUUUUAAUAAAGUGUCACAAGACAAGUGUCAGUAAAUACCAUUUUUCUAAUAGUGAGCUAAUUUUUGAGGAAGCAUGCAACCACCUUCAGUGGAUUACUUGUUUGAUUUUUCGGUUGUGGAUUUAAGAAUAAGCUCCUUAAUGCCAGCUGGAAUAAUUUGCUUGCUGAUGGAUAACACAUGGGUGAAGGUAGUUCAAUGACUAUGAAUGCUCCUUAUGUUUGGUUUCUAUAUUCAGGGAUAUUAAAUGGCAUUUCAUUCUCUGGGAUGGGUACCGAGCCAGGGGAAGAUGAUUAUCAAAGGCAUUAAUUACUUCUUUUGUUAGCAUAAGACUGCUCUAUUUGUUUUCUUAAUUGGUAUUUUCGUGGGUUAUGGAUAUCAGUUCUAUUUCAGGACUAAAAUUUAUCUCAUUGGCUUGUUUCUCUCACAUAUUUCUCACCACUUUAUCCACAAUCUAAAUCAAAUGUUAAUUGCUAAAUAAAUCUCUAAUAAAAGUUUUCAAAAUCUUAAAUUAUCACACAAAAUCAAAUUUAAUAUCAUUAUCAACAACACAUUACUUAUUCACAAAAUCUAACAAAAUCCUAGAACAAAACCCAUCAUUGAUUGGGGUGGUGAUGAACUGAUAGUGAUGAUAAAUAACUACAAAAAUAUAGCUAGUUAAAUAUUGUGAUGUCUAUAGCUUAGUUUUAAAAUAUAGUUAGUUACCGCAUCUAACCAAAAUAAUAUGGACGUUUGCACGUAUACAUGUAUAUAAUUUUUAAAUAAUGAUCAAAUUUCCAUGUUGUUUCAAUAAUAUAAUCAGUCCUCCCCUUAGUUUUCGAAACUCAUCAAAACUUGUUUCAAUAAUAUAAUCAUUAAUUGCUCCCAUCAAGACUAGUGAUCAAAGUUCCCUCAAUUUUCAAAACUCAUUAAGACCCUCAUGUCAUUAAAUAAGUUAAUUAAAUGUUAGUCGCACGCUAAUCAUCAUAUUGUCCGAUGGAAUUGGGCUGUGUUGUAUUCACAUAUGAUUCAAAUGAUUAAUUUAUUAAUUUGGUGUGCCGACUUAAAAUCCAUUUGCUAGAUUUCUUGGUCUUAUUAUAGAUUUGUAUCAUGAAUGACAAUAUCACUUUGUUGAAGAACUUUGGAUAAUCAAGCACUCAAUAAACACUAUUUUAUUUCUUUAACAACACCCCUUGGCCACAACUUUUAUUUUUCACUCUUUAUAACUUAGAAGCUUUCUUACUUCACUUGAUGCUUAAACUGAAUACAUGAGGGGUAUUUAUACAUGGUACAAAUGAAUCACAACCAUUCAUUUAUUCAAAUACAAAACAAAUCAUAACCAUUCAUUAAAAUCUAUCACUCAUCUACUUCACCAACUACACCAACCACACCUACCAUAAGAAACUUUUAUGAAAUGGGCUUGGGUUUCUUCAAAUUGGAUCAAGUUUAUGAUCCAACACACUUAACUUCACGAUUUUUCAUUACUCUCACUCUAGUUGUAUUUCUCUUUUCUCGUAAUUUAGUCUAUAAUGGCUAACCAGUUAAUUUAUUUUGUAUAUUGAUCAAAUACAACUUGGUAAUAAUUUUUUCAUACAAAUUAAUACUUUUUUUAACUAAAUAUUCGCUAGGAUCCUAUUCGAACCAUUAAGCCGUUGUUCUCACCAAAUCCAGGUCAAAUCUUAUUAAAACAAAUAAUUUUUUUUUUUUUUUUUUUUGGGGGGGAGAAUGGGCUAUGUUUGGGUUUAAGUGUGUUUUCCUAACAUUUGGGUAGGAGGUGUAGUUGAGGUGAUCCAGGAGGUAAGAGGAGGUGACUUGGGAGGUUAGCUACGUGGGAGGUUAGCUAUGGUGAUUUGGGAGGUGAACAAAUGCAUUCUGAUUUUGGAAUAAUAAGAAGACCUCUGUAAAGUUAAUUCAAAGAGUUGACAUAGGAAGUUCAAGAGAGUUUAGGGAAUAGCUUUGGUAAACUUGAGGAUAGCUCCAGAGAGCUUAUCCGAGGACCCAAGUAGAGCUCGUGGGAUAACUUAUGUGAGCUCAUAUAUAAAGUGUGAUUUGGGCAUUAGAACCAUAAUUAUAAGAAGAAAAUAAACAUAAACAAUAAAGAACUGAGUUUCGGCUCCGUUUGGUGUAACUUUUCAAGUAUAACUUAUUUAAGAAUAGUUUUUACACAAAAGAUUUGAGUCCCAAUUGAUGAGACAUUCAUUUAUUGGAUAGUGGCUAAGUAAUUUGAUAAAUUAUAAAAUCCAUCAUUUAAUAGAUGAAUGACACAUAAUAUUAGGAUUGAAGUUGAAAUUUAAAUAUUAGAAUUCCUAACAUUAUUAUAUUUCAGAUAUACAUAUCUUUAUGGCCAUUGUAAAUUAGAUAUGUAGAAGCGUUCGUCUUUUGGCGCUAGCUCUUGUUAUCAAGUUUGUUGACGUGGCACUGAAGUGGGACCCAUCUGCUUAGUUGGUUUAGGAUGUAAAUUUAACUCAACUAACUUUGACUAAGUUGGACUAAAACUGUGUAUAAUGUGAAUAGUUAACGAGUGAAUGUAGGCUCAUUUUUAAAUUAAACUUGUAAUCCAAUCUUAAAUUAAUCUGAGGUUAUUUCUCUCGUAGUGGAAGCAAGAUUAAAUGGAUAUGGUUAAUUUGGGGUAGGGGAGGGGUGGGUGCAAUGUAAGUAUGUAACUAAAAAUUAGAAAGAAAAAGAGAGAGAGAGCACAGUGCUCAUUCUUGUUUCAUGAAGUAGUUAACUUUGUCUUAGACCUGAUUUAUAAUUAUUUUUUUACUUAUUUAAGAGCAUGUUCCUCCAGUGCUAUGUCUUUAUUAAGGAGUAAAGCUUAUUACGUCUCUCUCUAAUUGAUUGUAUCUUUUCUAUUCUUUCUUAGUAAAAUCCCUUGCUUUGGCAAGUUUCAUAUAAUUAAAAAAAAAAUGCUCUGAAUUUGCUUUACUUUCUUCUGAUUCUUUAGACUCAUUUGUUUGUGAUCUUGAUUAGGUUUGAUACAUUGGUCAAUGACCAACUGAUUUUGGGGUUUGAUUGAAUAAGUUUGUCCUGAUUCCUUCAGAAAUACAAACGUUAAGCUUGGAUCCUCUAUUGGUAAUUGUGAACUUCGGAAUUUAUUGAAGAAUAUUUUAAUACGUGUACAUUCUAAUUCACGUAAGGUCAAAAUCCUUUUUCUUUAUUAUUAUUGUUCAUUAACUAAUAAUGAUAUAUUCGUAUUUAUAAUUGUAAGAGUUUAAAUUAGCUGAGAAUGUUUCCUCAAAAAAAAAAAAAAAAUUAGCUGAGAAUGUUCUACUGCCAAUUAAUGAAUACAUAAGGCGCCAUUCAAAGAUUUUGUACUUUAUAUAUGAUUCUACAUUGUAACCACUUUAAUCUGAUAAUAAUUAAACCACAAUUGUAUGAUACGAGGAUGACUUUAUUCAUAAAAUGAAAAAGAUACAUGAAGUUUAGAAACCUUAUCCCUCGUCAUAUGGAAAAAGUUGGGAAACGAAAAAUAUGGGAUAGACCAAUUACUUGGAAAAAUAAACAAUUCCUACGCCGGACUAAAUCUUUAACAAUUGAGACACUUUCUGCAUGGUUGGUCUAGAUGCUGGCCUCUCAUGUAAGCAUGGUAUGGAAACUUCCAUGGUUGAAAUCAAUUUAUCCUAAACAUUGCGCGAUGGAGUUGGAAGUCGAGGGUCCAACAUUUCAUCAAGGGCUAUGUUCAAAUUCGAAGAUAAUGAAGAGCAAAUUGAGGAAAUAAAAUCACUUCCAAUGCUAACACUCCAAAGCUUCAUCCUCACCCUCUUCAUAUGAAUCCUGCAGUGAAGCACAAAUGUGGAACAUUAUUAUUGUAAAUAAAAAGUGCGGCUAGAUACUGCAUAUGAACUAAUUUGCGAAAGAACAUAUUUGAGUAAAUAAAAAAGGAGAACAAAGGUGAUGACUAGUAAAAGCCCAAUUUCUAGAGCUUGGUCCACAAAAGAAAUGCCACUUAAAUUAUGAAGUGACAUGUACAACACAUAGCAUCACGACCAAGGGACAAUGGAAUUUUACAAAACAACAAAUAAAAGAUGAAACGGUUUUAUUCCAAAAGUUACAUAACUUUUAGAAAAUCCAGUGUAGCUACAUUAUCAAAACAUUCAAAUCUAGGAUAUGCAUAAUCGCAUAGUUUUGACAAGUGUGAGAUGUCAACAUGGCCUCAAAGAAUACUUGCAUCGAGUUCAAUAUUAUACCAGAUUCAACAAAGCAAGGAAAUAUAGACCAGCAUCUAUAAAGAAACAAAAACUGAAAUAUGGUUCCUUGACACUCCAGCACCCCUUCCCUAUUAUGUAUUAACAAAUUGGUUCUUGAAAAAUGGAGAUCAUACCGGUCACAAUUAAGUACCUUCAGAUCACCGGAAUCAACACCAUAUCCAAAGAUAGCUUUUCUACGAUGCUGUCCCUCAUUAAAUUCAACAUGUUCCACAAAGUUAUCUUCAUCAGAAUCACUCACACUUUUUAAUAUUUCACCCUUUUUAAUAUCUGCAUCUUCAUCUGAGGACUUUGAAUCAUCCAUUUCCACAGCGACAUGUUUUUCACCAAGCCCACCGGCAUUCACUUCCUCAGUUUGAUACUGCUUGUCAUGAGUAUACUCUGUAUCAUCAUCCAUAUCUUUUGCAUUGUUGGUAGUAUCUGAUGAGAUAUUAGGCUUCCGGCUGAAAACAGAAAUGAAGCUCUUUUCUAACUUCUCAUCAAUUGAAUAUUUGGUAUUUUCAAGCGACUUUACCAUCAUCUCACCAACAUCUUGAACCUUUCCUGGUAACAGCAAGGAAACAGUAUUUAAGCCCAAAGAUUGGGGAUAAUGUGGGGAUAAAUUUGCCUCUUUAUCCUGCCAAUUGUAUAAGUCAAAACAAUAUAUCAUCAAGAAUACAAGAGCUAUUUCCAUUUUAUAUUAUUCAAAACAAGAUCCACAAAACGUACUAAAGGUAAAGAUUAAAGCUUUUUAUGUAUUAACCGAAAAAAAAAGAAGAAGAAACAAAAUAGUAAACCUCUGCAGUUUAAUUUUCCAUUUUCAUCAUCCACAUUAGGAAAUUGAACAAAGUGGUCAUUGAUGUUUAUAUAGACAGCAUCCUUGUCAUAAAGGAGAUCCCCAAGGCCAGACAUGGGUGCAUAAAAAUGUUUUUCCUUAUCACGCAGUCCCUUCUUUUUGGCAGCAGAAGGUAAAGGACAUGGAUCAGCUAACCCUGUAACCCCAGCUAAACUGUAGUCACCAACACCAACAAUGUGCACCUGGUUCAAGAAAGAACAUUAAAUUACAAAUGUUUAAUUGAUUGGAUAAGGGCAAGAUAGAUGAACAUUUAAUCGAAGGCAUUUGCCAAAUACAAACCAAGACAUAAUAGCGCCAUAUUUUUAAGCGUAAAGACUGAAAAUGGAAAUUUCUUCUUAAAGGUUAAUAAUCUUAAUCCAUAAGCCUCAAAUGACCUUCAGGGCUGUCAUGCUAACUAACGUGCCAUGUAAAUUGCAACUCCGUCACAGAAAAAAGAAAAUUCUUAUUAGUCAGCUUUUGUCCUAAUGUUUCUUAAAGUUUCACUUUCAAUGUACUUCCAAUCAGGCACUGGUAAGCCAACGGCACAAAGCUCCACGUUACAGAAAAAUUUUUGCAAAUUGCUAAUUGAUCACUUUUUCCAAAGCUGAAUUUUACAUCUUACAUUUUACAUAUAAAACCUGCAUUCGUGAAGCCAAAUGAGGUUGAGAUUUGCUUAUUAUGAAAUAAGACCUCUCUAAGUUAUGCUUCAUCAGUUCUUUUCCAUCACAACUUCCAUCCAAUUGUCGCCAGAAUGGUAAACAAGUCCUUGCCUAAUGGCCACAUAGAUGAAAAAUAAGUCCCAAAACCACCUAAGCUUAAAGUCACAUAUGUCCUAAAAUCAUUAAAUUUUCAGAAACAUCAUAUGCAACAUUAACCUUAUUGUUGCGGACCGCCCAAUUCGCUAGCCCAAUUGCCCACAAUUUCGGACUAGAGAGCCAACACAAGGCCAAGAGUGCUAGCUUGGCCCAAUUCCGGAACAUUCUAGGCAACUCUAGCACAUGGGCUUGUAAAUACUCUAGAAUUCUCUAUACAAUUCCAGCACAUGUAAAUAGCUAGGAAGUUGUAGAAUUCUCUAGAAUCUCUAGAGCUUGUUAAGCCUCCCCUAUAAAUAUGGGAUGGCAUUAGGCAUUUGCAUCCAACAAACACUACAACAAGCAUUGUAAGCAACUCAAGCAUUGUAAUCUCUCUUUGUGCAAUACAACUUUCCUUAUUCGGCUCAAUUGCUCUCUUCUCUAGUUCGAGAAGCUCUAGGCUUACUUAGCAACAUUCGGCAAAGUUGUCUAAGUGCCGCACGGGUUAGCUGCGCAAAAUACUCAUCCCGUGACAAGUGGUAUCAGAGCUAAGGAUUGCACGCACGCAAGUUAGCUCACGAGCAAUGGCCAACCCUUCGAACGUAGCACAAGAGGGUGUUGUUGGUGUGGAUGUUCCACCGGAACCAAGCCGUGGCCGAGAGGGAGAACGCGCCCAAGGCAAGACUCGCGGCAAGUCCAAGGCCCCAUCCGUGGAUGCGUUGGAGCCUCGUGUGACUACUCUUGAAAUCGCUUUGUCCGCCGCUCAAGAUAGCCUCGAAGGUUUGGAGGAAAGAGUGGACGGUCUCGAGGGGGAAUACGCCGAGUUCACGGUGGCAACGAAAGCCCUCAUCCAAGAGCAAGCGAACACUCUCCGAGGUGAGUUUCGUUCUUUCCAUGAUGAGUUGCUAAAACUUCGUAGUUUUGUUCAGGACGAACUACGCGUUGUCCGUGCGGAAGUGGAUGAAUUCCGCUCGGAUUGGGCAUGGCACAAGCGCACACUCUCCGCAAGUCCAGCUUCCGCAAACUCGAGUGAUGCGCACCGCAUUGACGUGCCAAAACCCGACACAUACGAUGGCACACGCAAUACCACAAUCGUGGACAAUUUCCUCUUUGGGCUUGAUCAAUACUUCGAUGCCAUCGAAAGUGGGCACUGCACCCACUUAUCUUAGAGGCGCCGCACAACUAUGGUGGCGUCGCAAGCAUGGCGAGGUGGGUAAGGGCAUUUGCACCAUCGACACUUGGGCCGACUUCAAGCAAGAACUCCGAAAGUAGUUCGCCCCAAGCAAUGCGGAGAAGGAAGCGCGAGCGCGCUUACGUCGCCUCAAGCAAUCGGGUAGCAUUCGGGACUACAUCAACGAGUUCACUACCCUUAUGUUGGAGAUAAGUGACAUGUCCGACAAGGAUUCGCUCUUCUACUUCCAAGAUGGCCUCAAGGAUUGGGCCAAGACCGAGCUUGAUAGGCGUGGUGUUCACACACUUGACGACGCCAUCGCCGUUGCGGAAUCGCUCACCGAAUACUCUACCCAAUCCAAGGACAAAAAGGCCAACCAAGGCAAAGGUGGGGGAGAGAGUCGCAAGGACAAAGGCAACAACCGCAAAGAUUAGGGGCAGAAAAAGCCGCCUAGCAACAAGAGCGGGCAAGGAAAAUCGGAGGGCAAGAAGGAGGCGCCAAAGCCGCGAAGCCCAUGCUUCAUAUGCAAUGGUCCUCAUUGGGUACGCGACUAUCCGGAGAAAAGGUCGCUCAACGCUCUUGCUGUCCAACUCAAGAGCAACCCCACAAUGUCCACGGAGGAACCCCAACUCAGCAUGGGUUCUCUCCAACGCCUCGGCGCACUUAAUCGCCAACAGCCCGCACUCGUCAAGAAAGGGCUCAUGUAUGUAAGCGCAAAAGUAAACGGUCAGUCCGUUCGCGCGCUGCUAGACACGGGAGCAACGCACAAUUUCGUGUCCGUAGACGAGGCCAAGCGCUUAGGCCUCAAGGCCACCAAGGAAGGAGGCACGAUGAAGGCGGUAAACUCACCCGCCAAGCCAAUUGCGGGAAUCGCACAAGGCGUGUACAUCACGCUUGGUACGUGGAGCAGAAAGCUUGACUUCUCCAUCGUACCCAUGGACGAUUUCAAGAUGGUCCUCGGCAUGGAAUUCUUCGACCAAGUCCAUGCCUUCCCACUGCCCGCUACAAACUCCCUAAGCAUCCUCGACGGGAGCAAAGCAUGCAUGGUACCCACGGAGCGAGGCAAGUCCGAGGAGAAGACACUCUCCGCCAUGCAAUUCAAAAGGGCUUUUAAGAAGGACCCAAGCUUCUUGGUCUCCAUCCGGGAACUAAACGAGGAAGGAAAUAGCGGAACGUCGACAAGCCAAGUCCCUCCGCGGAUUCAAGUCGUCCUCAAUGAGUACAAGGACGUGAUGCCUCCAGAACUUCCGAAGAAGCUCCCACCUCGACGAGAGGUAGAUCAUGCAAUCCUUGGCGCCCUACCGCAUGGCGCCACCCGAAUUAGAGGAGUUGCGGAGACAACUCAAAGACUUGCUGGACGCAGGUUACAUUCGCCCCUCAAAGGCCCCAUUCGGUGCAUCGGUCCUCUUCCAAAAGAAAAAGGAUGGAUCGCUGCGGAUGUGCAUCGACUAUAGAGCGCUCAACAAGAUCACCAUCAAGAACAAGUAUCUGAUUCCAUUGAUUGCGGACUUGUUCGACCAGCUUGGCAAAGCGCGGUACUUCACCAAACUCGACUUGCACUCCGGGUACUACCAAGUGCGCAUCGUCAAGGGAGAUGAACCAAAGACAGCGUGCACAACAAGGUACGAGUCUUUCGAAUUCCUUGUGAUGCCUUUUGGCCUUACUAAUGCACCCGCCACAUUUUGCACACUCAUGAAUAAGGUACUCCAACCAUUCCUCAACCGCUUUGUGGUCGUGUACUUGGAUGACAUCGUGGUGUAUAGCACCACACUCGAGGAGCAUGCCCAACAUUUGCAACAAAUCCUCCAAGUACUUCGAGACAAUGAACUCUUCCUCAAAUUGGAGAAGUGCUCGUUUUCCCAACAAGAGGUGGAGUUCCUUGGCCACAAGAUUGCGGGCGGGAAGAUCAUGAUGGAGAACGCCAAAGUAAAGGCCAUCCUCGAUUGGGAGCCUCCCUCGAAAGUGCUCGAGCUUCGCUCAUUCCUUGGGCUGGUGAAUUACUACCGCCGCUUCAUCAAGGGCUACUCAGCCAAGGCGGCACCCUUGACGGAUAUGCUCAAGAAAAACAGAACGUGGCAUUGGUCCGAAGGAUGCCAACGCGCAUUCGAGGAGUUGAAGAAGGCAAUUUCGGAAGAACCAGUCCUCGCUCUUCCGGACCACACAAAGCCCUUCGAAGUCCAAACGGAUGCCUUGGAUUUCGCCAUAGGAGGAGUCCUCAUGCAAGAAGGCCACCCUAUAGCGUUCGAGAGUCGAAAGCUAAACGAUACGAAACGCCGCUACACGGUGCAAGAGAAGGAGAUGACCGCAAUCAUACAUUGCUUGCAAGUGUGGCGACAUUACUUGCUUGGCUCACACUUCACGAUCAUGACGGACAACGUGGCGACAAGCUACUUCCAAACUCAAAAUAAGUUGAGUCCGAAGCAAGCACGGUGGCAAGAUUUCCUUGCGGAAUUCGACUAUCGACUCGAGUACAAACCGGGUAAAGCCAAUGUCGUUGCGGACGAUCUAAGCCGCAAGGCCGAAUUGGCGACACUUAGCGUGAGCCAACCGAAGUCCGACCUUGUCAGACGCAUCAAGGAAGGCGUCUAACAAGAUCCGCUAGCAAAGGAUUUGCUGGAGAAGGUGCUCGAAGGCAAGACAAGGCGAUUUUGGCAAGAUGAAGGCAUCCUCCUCACCAAGGGAGAUCGAAUGUUCGUGCCAAGGUGGGGAAACUUGUAAAAGGAAGUAAUCAAGGAGUGCCACGACUCCAAGUGGGCUGGUCACCCAGGAAUUGAGCGCACCACCGCACUAGUCCAAGCCUCAUAUUUUUUGCCGCACAUGAGGGACGACAUCGAGGCAUAUGUGCGAACUUGUCUUGUGUGCCAACAAGACAAGGUGGAUCAUCAACUCCCAGCGGGAUUAUUGGAGCCGCUGCCGCUAGCAACAAGGCCAUGGGAAAGUGUCUCCAUGGACUUCAUCACAUCGCUGCCUAAGUCCGAGGGUUGCGGAAGCAUCAUGGUCGUUGUAGACCGAUACAGCAAGUAUGCCACAUUCAUUGCCGCACCCGUCGACUGCAAAGCGGACGAGGCAGCCCGCCUAUUCGUCAAGCACAUUGUGAAGCUUUGGGGAGUUCCAAAGAGCAUUGUGAGCGACCGAGAUCCUCGGUUCACUGGGCGUUUUUGGACGGAGCUCUUCAAGAUGUUGGGGACCGAUCUCAAGUUCUCAACAAGCUUCCACCCACAAACGGAUGGGCAGACCGAGCGCAUCAAUGGCCUCCUCGAGAUGUACUUGAGGCAUUAUGUGAGCGCUCAUCAGCGGGAUUGGGCGAAACUACUCGACAUCGCCCAAUUUUCUUAUAACUUGCAGCGAAGUGAGGCUACGGGCAAGAGUCCGUUCGAGAUCAUUAUGGGAUUCCAACCAAUGACUCCCAACGCCAUAGUCUCAACUUAUGGAGGGAAAAGCCCCGCGGCGCACAAGCUCGCCCGCGAAUGGCAUGAGGAAACGGACAUCACGCGAGCCUACCUCGACAAAGCCACGAGGAAAAUGAAGAAAUGGGCGGAUAUAAGGAGACGGCAUGUUGAGUACAAGGAAGGUGAUCAAGUCAUGAUCAAGCUCCUACCCCAACAAUUCAAGACAUUGCGGAAAGUCCACAAGGGGUUAGUGAGACGCUAUGAGGGACCCUUCCGAGUUGUUCGACGUGUGGGCAACGUCUCGUAUCAACUUCAACUUCCACCAAGACUCAAGAUCCAUCCGGUCUUCCAUGUGAGUCUUCUCAAGCCAUAUCAUGAAGACAUGGGAGACCCAAGUCGCGGAGAAUCGAGGCGCGCGCCAACCGCCGUUGUCACCGCGUUCGACAAAGAUGUGGACUACAUCAUUGCGGACCGUGUGGUUUCAAGGAGAGGCGUGCGAGCACAUAGCGAGUACUUGGUGAAGUGGAAAAACCUCCCCAAGAGCGAAGCCACUUGGGAACGUGAAGAAGAUUUGUGGCAAUUCGCUGAGCACAUCCAGAGGUUCAAGCACGAGAGCGCGACGAGGACGCCGCGAGCUUAGGUGGGGGAGGAUGUUGCGGACCGCCCAAUUCGCUAGCCCAAUUGCCCACAAUUUCGGACUAGAGAGCCAACACAAGGCCAAGAGUGCUAGCUUGGCCCAAUUCCGGAACAUUCUAGGCAACUCUAGCACAUGAGCUUGUAAAUACUCUAGAAUUCUCUAUACAAUUCCAGCACAUGUAAAUAGCUAGGAAGUUGUAGAAUUCUCUAGAAUCUCUAGAGCUUGUUAAGCCUCCCCUAUAAAUAUGGGAUGGCAUUAGGCAUUUGCAUCCAACAAACACUAAAACAAGCAUUGUAAGAACUCAAGCAUUGUAAUCUCUCUUUGUGCAAUACAACUUUCCUUAUUCGGCUCAAUUGCUCUCUUCUCUAGUUCGAGAAGCUCUAGGCUUACUUAGCAACAUUCGGCAAAGUUGUCUGAGUGCCGCACGGGUUAGCUGCGCAAAAUACUCAUCCCAUGACAUUAUGCUGAGAAAUGAACCUCCUUCUCACCUUUAAUUGUAUAAAAAGGGAAAAAAUAAAAUAAAAUAAACCCUUAAGCAUAUUCUGAAAAGGAAAAAAUUCCAAUGGCAAUUGUGAGGUUAAGUGCUUUACAAUGCAUAAAGUUAGUUCCCUUUUUCAGAUUACAACCUCGCAGAUAACCAUAAAUUAUGAUGUUUCUGUCACAUUUAUUAUUCAUGUGCACUCUUUCUGGAGGAGUAACAUCUUCGAAACGAUCAACCACAACAUAAGGAUGGGAAGUUCUCCAGUGCAAAGAAGGAAACUUCAUAACAGAGAUAAACUUUGUAAGAUUGCAAAUAUCUGUUUUUGUGUACCUAAUGAAUUAGGGAAAGAAAAAAAGAAACAAUAACCUCAAAAAGAAUUCUAUGAUUUGAAACUACUAAUUUAACUACAAUAUUGGGUGAUAUGUCCAUAACACAACAUACUAUAUAUAAUCCUUACUUCCCAUGAAUGAGACCAGAUAAUUUAAAUAGUUUUGCUCCAUGGUAUGUUUCUGUCCAGAAGCGAUGCUUGAGAUGCUGCUUCAUUUUUCUUAGUUUAUUCUUAUCUUUGUAACUUAUCAAGGUGAGUAAGAACUCCCAUAAACUUUGGCAAUCCAUGAUUUUGCAUUAAAUUAAGGAAUUCAAAAGUUUCUUGUAAGAAACAAAACCCAGUUACCAAAACUCAAAAUUGUUUUAACUACAUUAUUAUUAAAUAUAUGCUUUACUCCUUAACCACAGGAAAACAGAAAAUCAUACAAAACCAGUAACAUAAAACUAAGUUAUGGAGAUCACAAAAAAGAAAAAAGAGCAGCUGCAGCUCCAUCAACACAAAUGCAGUGAAGUCCAAACCAAAUAGAACUGUUCCAAAUGAAAUCUCACCAUUUCAAAACCUUGACUUGCAUCAAUGAGUAGUGCCAAGUUAGCAAUCUUUGCGCAAUCAAUCAUGCUAUUGAUAUCAUUCGGGCACUCGACAAAUUGUAACCGCAUUUUCUUGCCUAACACAUUUCAUCAAAUCCCUCUCAAUGAACUCUAUUAUAUUUCAAAUCUAACAAUGAAAUUACAUAAACUAGAUCAAACCUAACCUGAUACAACAGUAACCAGUCCACGAACCUCAUAAACUUUAUGCUUAGUGUAAUGCUUAAUAAGACACUUUAUUAACAAAGACUUUCCAACCUGCCACCACCAUUUCAUAAGUUAAAAUCACCAUCUAAAAAUUCCAAAAUUAUUACUGAAUUAAAGCGUCAAUAAAUCAAAAUUAUUUUUUAAACAAAAUUAAUAAUUCAAUACCUGGGGCGGUCCCUGAACUACAACAACAUAUGGUGGUGGUUCACCAUAAGAGCGGUCUAUAGUCGGAAUGUGAAGCUGACAUUGCUCUUUCUCGGUCGCUCGCAUCUGUGAUCGCUUGGCUUUCACAGAUGAAGUAAAACCAAAAGCCUAUUAGAUGAUAAUAACAAUAAAUGAUAAUUAAAAUCAGCAAAAGCAAAGGAAUAAUAUUGCUUAUUUAAAUUAAUGAAAGAAGAAAAAAAGUAAACUGCAAAUUAAGGACCUUUUAUGGUUUGGUUUCUUAUUGUCUUGUUUAUUUAUAUCAGAUUUGGGCUUCUUUUUCGCCGAAGAGCCCGAUUGGCGAGUCCUGUAAGCCUUGUCCGGCUGCAGUUCCAUGGCUCCGCUGUUUGCUGCCGUAUUCACAUAAGUUAACUGCCUCGAGGCGAGUGAAUGAGAGGAGUGCUUGCUCGGCGGUUGCUACUUCUUGUAAGUUAAAAACUCUUUCUCCGCAGGUCCGCUAAAUUUAUAGCCGAUAUCCGUGUCACCAACGGAGAGACCAGUUAAUUCUGAUGGCGCUAACAGAGAUGUUAAUUCAGAUCGGCAAUGGCAAUGUAGAAGCGGAUGGAUGCCUACAGAGAGCAGGAGUAAGCAAGGUGCUAGGUUCAAAGGCGAUGAACGUUGCUAUUUGAAUUUUUUCUCCAGAGUAAGGGUGAUAAUAAUUCUACCUCAUUUUUUUUUAUAACACCCCACUUAUUAUUUUUAUUGUUGUAACUAUAAUUUUAUCCUCAAAUAACUGUACAAUAAUACUAAGGGCCAAUUUAGGAUUGCGGUUGAAAUUUACUAAGUUGCUUAUUUCAUAAUUUUUUAUGAAAAUAGUGUUUGAUAAAUUUUGUAAAAACAGUUUAUUUCAUAAUUUUAUGCAUUUUGUCAGUAGUUUUUAAAAGUAGGUAAGGAGUUGCUUUUCAUAAGCAGCAUAUUUAAUAAACUACUAUACUUUUUUAAAAUUUCUACUAUAACCCUAUAUUUUAAUAAAAAGACAAUUGUAUCUUACUUAUCCAUAAACCUUAAUAUAUAAAUCAUUAGAUAUCAUAUUACCGUUAGGGGUGGGCAUUUUCGGGUUCGGAUCAACCCGAUCAGGUUGGUCGGGUUGGAUAAAAAACCAUCUGAUCGGAUCGGGUUAAAAAGUCGGGUGGAGUUCGAAUCGGAUCAAAUUUGGGUUAAUUCGGGUUCGGAUUAAAUUCGGGUCAAUUCGGGUCGGGUGAAAUCAGAUUAAAUAGGGUUCAGGUCAAUUCGGGUUUAAGUAAUUUGGAGCUAAUUUUCUUUGCCUUUGCCCUUUAAUAUGAAUCCCACCUAAAAAUUCAUCAUAAACAUUUAACAAAUACCAAUUUGUUGUAGAGAUUAGAGAAUUUUUAAUUUAUCCAAGGGCUAAAACAUCAAGACAAACCCACCCCAAUCCCUUAAUCCACAUGAAAAAUAAUAAAAAUAGUAAUGAUAAUAAUAAUGUUGACCAAUGAAAUUUCAAUUCAAAUACCCUCUUGUCACAUUGCUAACUAAGACAUUUCUCUCCCACCUUCCUUGUCCUCCCUCAUUCAUCCAUCCAUUCAUUUCAACCAACAAAAAAAGAAAACUGCUAUAGAAUUAAAUUCAAAUGAUUCAAAAUUAAGAAUUAACACAAAGCAUAAAAUUAAAAUUAACACAAAGUUUAAAUUUAAUAAUCUCCUUCCAAAGCGCAAUGUCCAAUUCUAAAAUCUAAACAUUAAUCUUUAGAACACAAAGUCACAAAAUUAAACAUAAUUCAAUUGUUUCCUUUUUCCAAAACACAAAUGACAAAGUUCCAAAAUCCAAAACACAACAAAGUUAAAUGUAAAUCUAGAUCAACUUCCUCCACAGCUUCACCGUUCCUCGCAAGCACUUUGACAACUUUUAACUUCAAUUUCUUCUACUCCAAGUUGAAGAAUUGUAGCAUAUAUCCCCUAGAGAAAAUUUGAAAAAAUAAUGUAUGAUAACCGUUUAACUACUUUCUUUAAGCCGCAUUGCAAAUAAAGGGACAUUAAACACAAACACAUAUGCCCAAUUCAUGUGUGUACUUGAUUGAAUAUAAGAAGAAAAAAAAUUAGUCAAUCGUGGCUUAUUUCAUGGCAUUCAUCACCAAGUAAAUUUAACAAUAAUCCUAAUUCCUAAGUAAUACCAUUCCGCCAACUUCAAUGUGUCUAAAAUAAAUAAAACAAUUAUAAUAUUACAAUUUGACUUAAAACUUAAAAGUUAAAACUAUAACAACUAUUGUCUAUUAUUAUAGUGUAAAUUACAACCUAAACAUAUAAUAUGAAAUUAUAAAUAAUAAUAUCUAUUAAGAAUUACCUUUCAAAUAUCCAUAACACCCAUAUCAGCGCUCACUGUUUCUACCGUUGAAGCUUGUGAUCUUACAAACUCUUUAAAAUGUCAAAAAAAAAUUGAAAUUAGUAAGUAACUUAAGUACAUGUACAUGCUAUUUAUAAAGUUAUAAUACAUCUUAACUUUAUAAAGUAUGAGAAAAAUAAUACCUUCUUGUAGCUCCAUAUGGAAUAUCUGCUCUUUAAUAUCUUCCUGAAGGUUAUAGAUAGGAUUAGCAAAAAGUUUAGCUUGUAACCAAUUUUCAGUACAUAUCAAUGUCUCAAUCAUACAAGGGGUCAAAGAACUCUGAUAUUCAUCAAUGACGCGACACCCAGUGCUAAAGGCAGAUUUAGAUGCCAUUGUGGAAACAGGAACAACGAGGACAUCCCUUGCAAUUUUCUCUAAUAUCGGAUACUUCGAUCCAUUAACCUUCCACCAAAGCAAAACAUUGAGCUUAAGAUUGCUCGGAUCCUCAACUGGGUCACUCAAAUGUUGUUCCACCUCAUAUACUACUCUCUUGCCCUCAUUCUGAACAAACUCUUUCUGAGCAUACCCAAGGAAAGGGCGAGAAACUCGGAAAAUGUCAUCACCAUCACCACUAGGAACCUCGGCUAAACCAACCUCAAUUGUAAAAUAAGGAGAAUAACUUGUACCACCAUAGUUGCCGCUAGGAACACUCUCACUACACAUCGAUGGUGUGGAACUAGAGCACAUUGCACUAUAUGCAUCAUAAAGCUCAUUUAACAAAUCUUUCACUGCUUUGAUCAUUUCUUCAACUUUCUAACCAUCAUUGGCAAAAAUGAUCUCAAAAAUAUGUGUGACAAAGUCCAUUUUAGCUCGCGGAUUAAGAAUAGAGGCAACAAUCAACAUUUUAUUUAUCUUCCCUGAAGACUCCCAAUAUUUAUUAAAUUUUUCCCUCAUAUUAUAAGCCAUAGCCACCACCCAAGGAUCUUUACUUGCCUCUAAUGCAGUCAAUGAGCUCUCAAUUAAGCCAAUGGUAUCAUAACAAAGAUUAGAAGUCACACUCAAAGAGGCAGAAAAUAACAAUGUGGCAUCAUAAAAUACAUUCAAAAACUUCACAAUUCGUUCUGCACUCUCCCAAUCCUCAGGUCCAGGCGGGCCCACCCUCUUAGCGUUAUUUUCUUUCUCGAGAAAGUAUGCCUCAUACGGUUUAUCCACCUUUGCCAUUCUAUCAAAUGCUGCUUGAAACUUCUAUGCAGUCAUCAACAUUAAAUAUGUGGAAUUCCACCUAGUAGGACAAUCCAAAACAACCAUUCCAUUUGGACAUUUCACCUGUUGAGCACACUAUUUAAAUGCAUGUAGCCUCGUAGUGGAGGAUCUCACAUACUUCACAGCAUUCCCAAUGGUGGCAACACUAGCAUGCAAUUCAUUCAACCCCGAAACAACAAUCAAAUUUAAAAUAUGUGCACAACAACUCACAUGCAUAUACUGACCCGCCAAUACAAUUGCAUCAUUAUUCCUCCAAGCAAGCAAUUGCAUAGUCACAUAAUUAAUAGCAAUAGUCACAUAAUUAAUAGCAACAUCAUUUGUAGUGGCAUUAUCAACGGUUAUUGCAAACAACCUCUCUAUCCCCCAAUCUUGUAAACAAGCUACAAUCUUUUUACCGAUCGUUUUCCUUCUAUGAUCUUCAAUCACAUUGAAGCUAAUAAUCCUUAUGUUCAAACACCAGUCACUAUCAAUAAAAUGAACUGUGAUCACCAUGUAACUCAUGUUUUGAACGGAAGUCCAAAAAUCUGUGGUAAGAGACACUCGCUGUUUGUUGUUGCAAAUCAAACUCUUCAACAUUGUCUUUUCUUCCAAAAAUAAAUCCAUAACAUCCCUACCAAUAAUUCUCCGAGAUGGCAUAACAAACUGCGGAAUGGCUACACUACAGAAAUGCCUGAACCCUUUGUUAUCCACAAAACUAAGCGGCAACUCACCCAUAAUGAUAAUUUUGGUAACUGCCCUUCUAUAAGCGUCUUGACUCCACCCUUUAGCCAAAACCAUAUUACUUGCAUUUCCUUCCCCACCCUCAGUUGUCAAGUUUUGUUAACUUCCCUCUUGUUGUUCUCGGAAUGUCUUGUAUGCAGGGCAAGUCAGUAUAUGAUUUCUCAUAUUUGUAAUCACAUCACGCCUUGAAUGACAUUGAUAUUGUCUACCACAAUAGUUGCACUUGCAUUUUUUUGGAUUGUCCUCAAGUAAAGUAAAAUGAUUCCACAUCGCAGAUCUUUUCUUCAUCGCUGGUCUUUUCCGCUUUGCCUUUUGAGUUCCUUCCAUUUGAACACUUUGAUUGUCAUCAUCACUUAUCGAAUUCGAUCUUGAGUGUCCAGACAUCUAAACAUACAAAUAAAUAAUUAUUAAUCAUUAAUUCAUAAAUUAAAACACAAAAAGACUAUUAAAAAAAUCUACUUAAUAGUUAGUAUUACAAAUUGAUUCAAAUAAUUGUUAAUUUAAUUUUAUGAAACUUUUUGAAAUCGAUAUUUCCAAUUUUCCACCAUAAUGUUUAUAUAUGAUCAAGAAUUCAAGAUGCAUAUUCCAUAAAAGAAAACCAAGAAAUUAAUGUAAUUAUUUAAUUUAUAAUAUCUAAUUAUCCAUUGGCCAAAAUAAUAUAAUAUUAAUUACAUAUCUGUAUCUUAAAUUCUUAAUUCUUAUUAUAAACCCCUAAGUUUAUGCCCACAUUAUAUGUACUCAACCACUUAAUAAUUACUUAUUGGUUAUCAUGCAAUUAAUUAAAUUGAUUAAUUAUUUGUUGAAGUUGAAACUUGAAACUACUGCAAUUAAAUUGGUUAAUUUUUGGUUGAAGUUAAAACUAUUGUACAAGUACACAACUAUACAUAUCAUAUGACAUAUAUAAUUAUAAUUUAUAUUGUAACAUAAUAUUUAAUUUUAAUUUUUAAUCUACCAUUAUUAUUCAUACAAAAAAAUCAAUUAUCAAUAAGUAACAGAAAAUUAAAGCCCGAUUAUUUUCAUUUUAUUGUUAAAAUUUAACAAUGAUAAGUGCAUAUUUUUCAUAUAUUUUGCUUUUAAUUUCUCCAUCUUUUUCUUGUUUUGAUCUUAAAUAUUCUAGUUAUUUUAGUUAAUUUUUAAUUUAAUAGGGAAUUAAUUAAUAUACAUAUUUUACCUUUUAUUAUUAUAUAUUUGCUAGUCAUUUUUAUUUCUUAUUUUUAAUUAAUUGUAUUAUUUUAUUGAAUAGGGAAUUAAUUGGAGAUUGUGGAUAAAAAGGGCAUGAAGAAGUUCAAAUUGAGAAGGAAUAAAGAUUAAAUUGGAAGACAAAAAUACAGUCAAGAAUUGAUAGAACCGAGUGGAAGAAAUCAAAGCAAUUAAUCCAAUUGAGAAAUGUUGAAUAAUUAAAAGAUUUAAUUUUUCCAAUUGGCAAUUGGAGUGCACGUGCAUGGCAUUGCAAAAGUGGAAAGCAAUUUAAAUGGGCCCACAAUUGACUUUCAAAAGUUGGAAUUAAUGGCUUUUGGUGGCGUUAAAUUGGAAAAGGAUUUCAAUUAGAAUUGAAAAAGGAUUUCUUUAUUCUUGUUGGAGAAGAAUUCGGUCAACUAGCAUUAUAAAAGGGGAGCCGCUGGAUGGAAACAGAGGAGUGCAGACGCAAUUCGGGCAGAGGAAAAUCAGCAGCCGCAAGGAGAAGAAAAAAAUCAGCAGCUGGAAUUAAGUUAAAGCAAAGGCAGCCGCUUGAAUUAAUCUCCAUGAUUGGUUUUUGUCAAUUCUCUUAUUCCCAAUUUAAUUAUGUUAGGCUAAAUUUUUAUUUGGUUGAGGGUGAAUUCAAAACCCUAAACAUGCUAUGCAAUUAAAUUUAAAUUCUAUCAUUCAAUUUAUUUAAUUGAGAUUGUUUAUGUUCUUCUAUAAUUAAUGUUCAUGGUUUAUUCUUGUUUUAUUUGAGUGGCCAACUAGAUAGGACUUGAAUAAAUUUUAUUGCUAGAUUAAAAUUCUUGAUCCGUAAUUGUCUUGAUAUUUUAAUCAUUAGUAGCAGGUUGGAAUUAGUGAUUUCAAUUGAAGAACAUAACCUAGGUUAAAUAAUCCGAGCUUGUGUGUUUAUUGCCUAGAUCAACCUAAUAUCUUUCUUUGUUUAAUGCUUCCAUUAUCUUAAAUUUAAAGAGCUUGUUUUAAAUUAUUUAAUGGUUAGAAAUUAGGUGAAGAGCUUGUUUUGCCUAACAACACACUAAGGAAAGAUUGAGACUAACAGAGCUUAUUGUUGUCUACGGUUGAUAGUUUCAAUAUAAAUUGAUAAUAGAAUUGAUAUAUUAUGUGCAUGUUUGGUGGUGGCGAAUGAUCCUUUAAUCAAAGUUUUCUUUAUUAUUAUUUCUUUCUGCUUUAAUUAGAGUUUUUAUUAAAUUCUUGUUCGUAGUUUUAAUUUCUUUAUUUCUUACUAUUUAGUUAAAAAUUCAUAAACCCCCUUUUUAUUUAUAAUUGGCAUUUUCUUUAGUUAGAUUAAUUUAUAUUAUUAUUACUAUUAUUAUUACUACUAUUAUUUUAUUUUAAAUCUUGCUUUAGAGUUGAUAAUAAAUAUAACUACAUAGUCUUUGUGGGAUCGAUCCUUACUCGCUCUGUACUAAUUAUUUAUAUUAGUGAUAAGGUUUUAAAUUUUGUGCACCUUAACGACACUACCAAACAAUAUAUAAUUAACGUAUAAAAUUGCAAUUAACAUUUCUCAUAUAACAUAUAACAAAAUAAUAAAUAAAAAUUAUUAUUAAGUAUAUACCAUCUCUUAAAUAAGUAUAAAGGCCGGAUUCGGGCUUCCAAUUUCCAAAACACAAGAGACUUUUUGAGAGAAUGAGAGUCAACACUCAACAGCCGUGAAUGGUGGAGACUGGAGUGGAUCGGGGGCAGCUUGCUGGAUGGGUCUUCAAUCGGACUGAGUGCUGGUGGAGUGGAGGAUUCAAGGCGUGGAUCCGGUGCUUGGUUGCAGCAGAUCUGUAGAUCAGGUCACGAUCUUCGCGAAUCAGCUUCAGCUUCGGUUUGCGUCAUUCUCGGCGGCGGUUGCUACGUGUGGUGGCCGGAUGAAGCUAGCUUCGUGAACUGUGCGUGUGCGUUUGCUGCGUGUGGUGAGCGACGGAGGCCGUGAGCAGUGAGGCGUGAAUGGGUGUGGGUUGGCUGCUUGUGCUUGACAGUUGACACUUUGAGUCUUUGACAGCUUGAGUGCUGGAUUGUUUUGUGACUGUGUGUGCUAAUGGCAGUUCUUUGUGAGGGACGUGAGACCGUGAGGCCGUGAGUGACAGUGAGGGUUUGUGACUUUGUUUGUGUUCUUUUCUUUGUGAAUUUUUGUGGUGAAUAUUGAAUACUUUGUGUUGUGUACUUGUGUGUGUGUUGUUGUCUUGUCUUUGCGAAUUUAACUGAAUACUGUGACUGUGUGAUACUGUGACCCUGUGACCGUGAGUGUGUGACUUUGUGAGUCUGUGACUCAGUGAUUGUGUGAGUGUGUGAGUGAUACUGUAAUUUUUGGCUUUGUUCUUUUUUUUUUUUUGUCUCAACCCGAUCGGGUUUUCAGAUUGGAUCGGGUUUCACCCGAUCCGAUCAUGAUCCGCUCGGGUUGAGACAAAUUCACCCGAUCGGGUUUUCUUCACUACUCGAUCCGAUCUGAACCCGAAAUUUUUCGGAUCGGGUCGGGUCGGAUCGGGUCGGAUAUUUUGCCCACCCCUAAUUACCGUUAUAAUUUAGUUACUGCCAUAAUGACCUACAUUCUCUCCAGUUUUGAUCCAGUAAAUUCAUAUUCUAAUUUCAUAACUAUGCCUUUUAAAGUUUAAUCUAUGUAUAUUUAUAUUUUUAUUAAUUAAUUGUUUCAAAUCCAUUGGCAAUCUAUUUUCAAAAGAAAAAUCUGUGGUAUUUUUAUGUCAGAUUAUGAAGUUCUUUAGAUUUUUUUUAAUUGAGUUUUUCCAUGUAAUUUUACAUAUUUAAGAAAAAAAGAUAUGUCUAAACAAUUUAUGAAACAUCCUCUAAAAAUAAAAAGCAAUUAAAAUUUAUGUCUAUUUUGGUCAUUAUAUAACAAAACAACAUUUUCGUAAUAUAAUUUACCAAACGCAUAUACUCUACUUUUCAAACUCACAGCAACUGUAAUAGUACAGUUUACCAAACACAAAGCUACUUUUUUAAUCAGCAACUUAUUUCAUCUGCACAGUACAAAUAGCUUAUUUCAUCAGCCUCCGCAAUCCCAAAUUGGCCCUACGUAUCCCAAAUAUUAAUCUCAAAACACAUUUCAAGUGAUAUAGCAGCUGAUGUGGCAUCCACUUAUAAAUUUCAUCUAAAUUAAAAUAGACCCUAUGAAAUAAUUUAUUUUAAAUCUUAUCAGUUUAUUACUCCUUUAUAAUCAAAUACCUUUUUACAAUUAAAAUUCUUUUAAUCUAUAUCGUUUUUUGCUUGGCUGCAAAUUAAACGAAGAGAGAACAAAAGUUUAGGAAGAACAAAGCUUUCAGUUUCUCUUCAAUCAUGACACAUUUCUAUUUCUACCAAAUUAUUUUACUAUUACUCAAAAAUCUGCACUUCUGGGAAAAAAAAUAUAAAUUGAUGGGAUUUUAAUUGCUCGGCUGCAAACUAAAUGAAUAGAGAGGGGUAGUUUAGGAAGAACAAAGCUUUUAAAUGAGACGGCGGAUUUAGGAUCAAAAGAAUUAGAAGACUCUCCAAAAAUCAUUACUACUUAGGUGAAAUGUUUUUUUUUUUCGUGUUUGUAUUAAUUGAUGCUGAAUUUAAUUAGUUAGACUUUUCGGAUUUAUUUGAAUUUUCGGAUUUAUUUGAAUAAGGUUGAUGACAAGAAUGAUAUAAGCAAUGAACCAAAAACUAAAGAAAUUAUUGAGCCAAAAAUUGGCAUGAUUUUUUAUACGACUCAAGAUUUGUUUUGAGUUCUACAAGAUAUGUGGGAAGAUAAUGAGAUUUGAAAUUAUUAAAAGAACCUCUAGCACAUGAGAUAAUGGACAGUUGAAAUAUGUGACAAUUUCAUGUUCACGCAGGGGUAAGGCAAAUUCUUUAUCAAGCCAUCCCUUUAGAUUACAGCCAACAUCUAAAACAAAUUGUAAGGCUAAAGUAAGGGCAACAACAUGUCUUGACGGAAAGUGGGGAGUAAGAUCCAUUACAUAUGACCAUAAUCAUGAGUUGAACACACCAAAUAAGGCUCGUUUUCUUGGAAACCAAUAGGGCAAUGAAGUUGUUUGUUCAAAGCAAGUUGGAAUUGAAUGAUCAAAUUGGAAUAAGACCAAAUAAAAGCUUUAAUUCUUUGGUGGUUGAAGGAGGAGGAUAUGAGAAUUUAGAUUUCCUAGAAAAAGAUUGUAGGAAAUGUUUAGACAAAGUAAGGCACUUCAGCUUGGGGAUGAGAUGCUUUUGUAGUUCAUGAUUAUUUCUUAAAAAUGCAAGAUGGCAACUCCAUUUUUUUUAAUAUAUAUGAUGGAUUUAGAUAAAGAUGCUCGGUUAAAAAAAUUAUUUUAGGCUAAAGUAAGGAGUAAAGUUGCGAAUAAAAAAUUUGGCGAUGUUAUUACAUUUGAUUUAACGUAUUUAGGAAAUAAAUAUGAUAUGCCAUUUGCUGCUUUUGUUGGGUUCAAUCAUCAUAGAUAGUCAACAUUAUUAGGAUGUGGUUUGAUUUCCAAUGAGGACACCAAGACAUAUGUAUGGCUUUUUCGAUCUUGGCUUACAUGCAUAUUUGGUUGCGUUCCAAAUUCCAUAAUCAUUGAUCAAGAUAAGGCCAUGCAGAGGGCGAUUGAAGUUGUCUUUCCACGUGCGUGACAUAGGCAAUGUUUGUGGCAUAUACUGAAAAAGUUUCUAGAAAAAUUAAAAGGUUACAAGAAAUAUGAAUUGAUCAUGUUGACUUUGCAGAAUGUUGUUCAUGAUUCUUUAACAACUUUUGAUUUCGAUGAAUGUUAGAUGGUGUUCAUUAAAAAAUAUAAUCUUCAUAACAAUGAAUGGUUGCAAGGCUUAUAUAAUAAGAGGCGACGUUGGGUGCCAGCAUAUGUAAAGGAUAUGUUUUGGGUAAGAAUGUCUACAACAUAGUGUAGCGAGAGUAUGCAUGCAUGCUUUAAUGGUUAUGUAAAUUCAAAAACUACUCUAAAGCAAUUUGUUCAAAACAAUAUGGGAAAUGCACUACGAGACAAGGUGAAAAAACGAGACAAGCUGAAAAAACAAAAUCGUGCUGAUUUUAAUGAUUUUAAUUCUAAUAUCCCUUAUGCGACUCAUUAUGCCAUGGAGCAGCAAUUCUUAAUGCUUAUACAAUGGAAAAAUUUAAAGAAUUUUAGCAAGAGCUAAAAGGUAAAAUCUUUUGUGAGACAUUUUUAUGUCAAACAAAUAUUUUAACUUCAAAGAUUAUAGAAGUUGAAGAUGUUAAAAUUGGAGAGGAUCACCGUUGUGACCCUUUUGAAGUUUCUUUUAAUGAGGUUAAUUGGGAGAUUAAUUGCAAAUGUCUACUAUUUGAGUUUAAGGGAAAUAUUAUGUCGACACAUCAUUGCGGUGCUUAUUCAUAAAGAAAUUUUUUUUAUUCCUGAAAAGUAUAUUUUUAGGCGAUAGAGAAAGGACAUAAGAAGAUGUCACACCAAUUAGGUGAAAGUAAGUAAAGACAAUUGGAGCACCAAACUUGAAGGUUUCAGAUUUGAUAAGAUGUUCAACUUUUUUUUAUGAUGUAGAUGAACUAGCAACUAAUAAUAAGAAUAAUUGCAAUAUGUGUAGGAGGUUUUAGAUGAUUUGAAAGCAAAAUUGAUGUUAAAUAGAGGUAGUGGUGAAAUUAGUCAAUCUAGCAGCAAUAUAGUUCAUGGCACAACAGAAUGUGGGGAGCUUCGUGGUAUUCAUAGUGGUUAAAUUCUUUCUCCAUUAGCAGUUAGAAGUAAAGGUUGUCGGCGUUACAAGCAAAAGCAAUCUAAAAGUGAGCAAAUUAUUCGGAGAAAAAAAAACAAAAGAAAACAACCAAAGAAUGAAAUUAAUUAAUUUUAUCCAAAAUGCUUGUCAAAUAUUUUAUUAUAAUGAUCUUGUAAUUCCUAUAUAUUAUUUCAUUCAAGGGAUCUUAAAUGAUAAGUGGUGAACCACAAAGAUAUUGAUUAGACAACAACGCCAUUCAUGCAACAAUUACUUCUAAUAAUCUAAUGCAGGUAUUGUGUUAUUAUUCUUUCUGCUUGUUUUAUAAUUAUCAGGAGUAUGUGACUCUUAUUGUCAUUAGGUCGAUGCCAUUUUCCUUUUAUCUUUAGGGUAAUACAUGGAGAAAAUCAUAAUAUUUUUUUCUCAUAGUUACAAUUAAACCUUUAGGUUUUUCUUUUUAACUAAUUCUUUUUAAUAUUUACAAGUCAAUCGAGAGUUGUAAGGAUAUUGAAGUAUGAGCUAGCAAGAAGCCAAACAUAAAAAGAUGGAGAUGAAGAAUUUAUUUGAAAACAUUAUGUCAUCAAACUAUAAUGCUAGAUUAUUAUCAAAUUACUUUCAGAGUUUGGUUUUUGCUAUGAAAUUUAUGAUGAAUUGUGGAUUUUUAAUUGAAUGGAGGUUUACAGUUCGGACUAUUCCGAUUUAGAGUAACAAUAGAAUUAGAAUGUUAUGUUUUUGCAAUUUUAUGUUUUUUUUACUAUUAACGAAUUUUGCUUUAAAAGAGAAAACGAGUGAACAUUUUACUGAGGGCUGAAGAAUAUUUUAAGUCUUUCAUAAUAAUGCAACUGAAUAUUGCUGAUAAUUUCUCAUUAAAUGACAAAGCUUAAGUGUAGAUUGAUUUUCAGUACAUAUUGAGUUUACAGAAAAAGCUAAUUCUCUUGGGUUUCGUUGAAAUAAAUACAAAUAUUUAUUUAUACUCUUCCCCAUGUUUACUGCUACUAACUAUUGAAUAUGAAUAAUCACUGGACGGAAGCUAUUAAUCUUCUAUCAUGUAACUAUACUUUCUUGUCCAGUGAACAUUUUCAGCUUGUGUAACCUCCUUACUGUAUGCUACACGCAAUGCAAUAUAGCAUAAAAAAACUAAUGCCGAUAACUAGACAAUUUGCUCUCCAAAAUACACAAGCUAAACCAAUGGAGCAAUCAUUCGUGUCUCAGUUGCUCUAGAAGUCAUGACCAAAUUCCCAAUAAACUUAACGCAAAAAAUGAGGUUCAUCACUGUCCACAACUUUAGUAUCAUAAGAUACUUUAACAAUCAAUUCAGAUCUCUUCUUACUAAUGUCACAAAAUCUUUUGCAAUAUUUCAUAUGCUACCUGGGAAGUAAAAACAAACAAAACCUAGAUUAAACUAUUGCUUUUGAGAUUAAAGUAAAAAGGGAAAACUUUGAAAAUAGACCCAUUUUGGUUCAAAUGCAAAAUUUCCAAGCUCUUGAUAAUUUUUUUUCUUAAAGCAAAAUCAGGAUGAAACAAAGUAAAAGAAGUGAUUUCUAACAUGACCCAAUUAAAUUAUAGCGUUAAAUCAAAAAGUGGAGAAAUUAUACAACACACAUGAUUGUUUAACGCAGAAAUAAAACAAGAGCAUAAUGCAGAAAAAAUAAAGACGUUUUAAGUGUAAUAUGUAAAACUAAAAACUAAAAAGUUUCUAGUCACUUGAUAAACAAGAAGGAAAAUUAUUCAAUACAAAAUCUAGCUACCUAGUUUAAAAAAUGAAAUCUUUAUUCUUAUUAUAUUACUAUUUAGGAAGGAAGAUCAAAAUCAUUUAGAAAACAAAAGCAAUUAUACAAAAGGGGAUUGGGGAGCGAUAAGAUGGUGCCAUCGAAUGCAAAACACUUCUCCCAGAUUUAUACACCCCAUUAGUCCUCUUAUUUCUUUUAACCCAAAUCCGCUAUCUCAAUCACAAGAAAAUGAUGUAGAUACCUGAUAAAUAAUAAAAAAUAAACAAAUAAGAAUCAAUAAAUACAGGCGGCAUGUUUUAAAAAUUUAAUUUUACAAUAGCUAUUGCAAGUGCAGAUUUUUGAGUAAUAGUAAAAGGGUUUGAUAAAAAUUACAAACGUGUCAUGAUUGAGAAGAAACAGAAAGCUUUGUUCUUCCUAAACUUCCUCUCUCUCUUCCAUUAGUUUGCAGCCAAGCCAAAAACUAUAGAUUGAAAAGAAUUUUAAUUGUAAAAGGCAUUUGAUUGUAAAGGAAUAAUAAGGGGAUAAGAUUUAAAAUUAAUUAUUUUAGAGGGGUCUAUUUUAAUUUAGAAGAAAUUUAUAAGUGGGAUGCCACACAUUAGCUACCAUAUCAUUUAGGAUGUGUUUUGAGAUUAAUAUUUGGGAUAUGUACCAUUAUUGUUUGGAUACAAAUUCUUUCGAUUUUUGGAUACAAAUUUUAUCAAAAUAGGCUCCUCUUAAAAAUUGAUUCACCAUUUGUAAGUUCAUAAUUGUGCUACACAGGCCCUGAGAUUUCAUGUUGAGCAAUACUCUUCAAUUGAGUCCACUUUAUGAUAAUGUAAAUAAAAAAAAAAAACUUAUCAUUGAAAAGUUAAAUCUAACAAUCAGAAAAAUAAUAACAGUGAUGUUUUAAUGAUAGUAUGAAAUAAAGGGAUGAACUGAGUAUUUAGUCAAAAUAUAUUGACUACUAAUAAUGUGCAAGCAUCAUGCCAGUGAGUGCUAGCUAAACCAAAAAAUCGAAAGCAAGCAUUUUAUCGAACAUCUCAAAGGUAAUCUCAUAUUUGUGUGUCUUUCGUUCUUAUUUCAUCAUCAUUGAUAAUAACCUACCCAAACCCACUGUGUGAGAAAAUAUAAAGAAAAGUGUUUGCCAAGCGAGAAAAUAACAAAGAAACAAGAGGAAAGUUUGAAGAAGAAACUAGAUCUUUAUUAUUGUUGUAACAAUGAAAAGAAUGUUUACAACAAUUUAUAUAGCAGUUGGAAUAACUAAUUGAAGCUACUAGAAUCUACACAAAAUAGUAAUGCAAAUACAAUUAACAAAUUCUGUUAUGCACAAUAGAGGGAAGCAACGAAUUCUGCCAGCUCAGCAUAAGGAAGUAUCUGUUGUGUGUGCAUUUAGUUGCAUCCAGUAAGCUUACACUAUAACUCUGUUUCAGAUAUGCUAACAUCCCCCCUCAAGCUGAAUGGUCUAGGAAGAACAUUCAGCUUGGAUCUAAGAUACUGAAACUGGCCAUAUGUCAGUGCUUUAGUAAGAACAUCAGCUGUUUGAUCCUCACUAGGAACAAAGUUGAUUGAAAUUUUUUUUGCUGCAACUUUCUCCCUAAUAAAAUGAAUGUCAAGCUCAAUGUGUUUAGUCUUUGCAUGAUAAACUGGAUUAGUAGCCAAGGAUAUAGCACUCUGAUUAUCACACCACAUAACUGGUAUUGUUUCCAUUUUAACCUUUAAUUCAGUAAGCAAGGCUUGAAUCCAUAGAACCUCAGUUGUACCCAGUGCCAGAGCUCUGUACUCUGAUUCUGUGCUAGAUCUAGAUACUACAUGUUGCUUCUUUGAAGACCAUGACACCAAAUUUGAGCCAAGAUACACCGCAUAACCUGCUACAAACCUUUUGUCAUCUCUAUCACACGCUCAAUCAGAAUCACUGAAGCAAGUUAUUUGUAGAUUGCCACUGUGGUAUAGUUGGAGACCAUAGUGAAUUGUACUUUUAAGAUACCUCAGUAGCCUCCUGCAGGCUUGCCAAUGUUUUGUUGUAGGAGCUGCCAGAAAUUAGCUUAGUUUGUUUACUGUAAAAGCUAUGUCUGGCCUUGUCAAUGUCACAUAUUGCAAUGCCCCAACAACAUUUCUGUACUAAUAGGAAUUGUCAAUUUCAGUGCUUGAGUGCUUUGUAAGUUGAUGAGAAGUAGCCAUUAGUGUAUGUACUGGACUGCAACUAUUUAUGCAUUGUUUUGACAGUAAAUAUGCAAUAUAUUUGCUUUGAGAGAGAUGAAUACCUUCUUUGGUUUUUGUUACUUCAACACCAAGAAAGUAAUUAAGCUCUCCUAGAUCUUUAAGAGCAAAAUUUUCCUGCAUAUAAGAAAUUACUUGCAGCACACUAAGUGGAUUAGAACCAGUGAUGAUUAUGUCAUCGACAUACACUAGAACUAGCAAAAAGUGACCAUUAACCCACUUGUAAAAUAGAGAUGAAUCUGACUUACAAUUAACAAAGUUCCACUGUGUAAUCAUGGCAGAUUUCAGUCUAUCAAACCAAACCCUCAGAGCUUGUUUUAAUCCAUAGAGAGCCUUUUUAAGUUUGCAAACAUGAUGUGGCUUAGAAGGGUCAACAAACCCUUCUGGUUGAUUCAUAUAGACAUCUUCAGUAAGGAUGCCAUUUAAGAAGGCAUUAUUAACAUCAACCUGUCUUAUUAACCAUCUGUUCAUCACUGCUAGACUGAGUACAACUCUUAUUGUAGAUGACUUAAUAACAAGGUUGAAAGUUUCACUAUAGUCAACACUAUAUGUCUGAUGAAACCCUUUAGCUACAAGUCUUGCUUUGUAUCUCGACACUGACCCAUCUGAGUUGUACUUGAUUCAAAAUACCCACUUAUUACCAACUACUUUGACAGGUGUUGUAGGUUCAACAAGAAUCCAAGUUUGAUUUGCUUAAAGAGCAUUGAAUUCUUCUUUCAUGGCUUUAAACCAUUUAGGAUCUGUUAAAGCUUAUGCUACAGAGGUUGGUUCAGAUGGUUUAGAUAGAAGAACAGUAAGAUAUAUUUUUGGUUUGAAAAUACCAGCUUUAGACCUGGUGAUCUUAGGAUGACCAGAAGGCUGUGAUGCUGGUAAUUGAUGAGUAGGUUGAGAUGAAGAGGAUGUGUUAUAUUCUGUUGUGACAGGAACUUGAUUAUUUGAAGAGGAUACAGGUGAAGCACUAAUGGAUAAAGGAGAUGAAAACUGAUGAGAAUCUUGAGGUAGAGAUUCUUGAAAUUUAGUUGCUGAGAAAGGUACUGGAAAGGCUUACAUUGAGGAAGAUGAAGGUGUUGUAUUAGAAUUUGACAGACUUGAGUUUGUGACUGAAGAAAAAUCAACACCUGACUGAUAGGGAAAUGAUUUUUCAUCAAAAAUUACAUGGUUUGAAACAUACACUUUUCCAUAUGAAUGAAGACACUGAUAGCCUUUAUGAUGUGGACUGCAGCCUAUGAAUAUGCACCUGCUUGACCUGAACUCAAGUUUAUUUCUAUUAUAAGGUUUAAGGUAGGGAUAACAUGCACAUCCAAACACUUCUAAAACUGAGUAAUCUGGAUGCUGCUGGAAAAGUUUGAAGAAAGGUGAUACAUUGUUUAAAAUAGGUGUAGGUAAUAUGUUUAUAAGAAACACAGCUAUGUGGAAUGCAUUCCACCAUAAAUGCAGGGGUAAUUUGGAUUGAGCUAACAAAGUCAUACCAACAUCUACAAUAUGUCUGUGUUUUCUUCAUGUCCUUCCAUUUUGAUGAUGGAUAGGAGGACAAGGAUGCCUAAAUUGAAUCCCAGAAGCAGCUAAUAAGGAAGAAAAAUAUUUGACUUCAUCCCCUCAGUCAGUUUGAACAAUUUUGAUUUUCCUGUCAAGGUGUUGUUCAAUAAAAGUUUUGAACAUUGUAAAAACUUGUAAUGCAUCAAACUUGGCUUUUAAGGGAAAUAACCAAGUAAAUCUCCUAAAGUCAUCUAGGAUGGAUAAGUAAUAGUUGUAGCCUUGAGUAGAUGUUAUAUGCGAGGGUCCCCAGAGAUCAGCAUAUAUGAGUUGCAAUAGUGCUGUGGUUUUUGUUUCUACAGAACCAAAAUGUUGAAGAUGGUUUUUACCAAGUUGACAGGCAGUACAAAAAAUCAAAUUUGAAGCUUUAUUAAGAUCAGCAAAUGUAUUACAAUGCUUCAUUACAGUUUUGAGAAUAUGUAUGGCUGGAUGUCCUAGCCUUUGAUUAAGCAAAUUUACAUCUACUGAAUGAACAGACACUGACAUAGCAGUAGGCUUCCAAAUUGCAUUAUUUGAACAAGCUAAAGUUUUUGAUUGACUUGAACUGAAACUUGACUCAUCAGAAGCAGAAAGAGUAGCAAACAUAGACAAAUGCUUAUGAGUAGGAAUUUGAGAGUAGUAAGCUGAGAAAGUAGGUUUAGAGACUUCAGAGUUUGAGGAGAUAACAUCUUGAAUCUGAUACAAGCCUUCCUUAGCAAUACCUUUAAGCAAAAGAAUUAUUGUGUUCCUGGCCUUAAUGAGAUAUAAAUUAUCAAAAAAUUCAACAAGAACAUUGUUAUCAGUCAAGAGCUGAGACACACUUAGCAAAUUUUUGGUUAUAUAAGGCACAUGUAAUACAUGAUUAAGUAAUAAGGGUUCAUGUGAGUGUGUAGCAAGCAAUACAGAUCUUAUAUGUUUGAUUUUCAAGCCAUUUCAAUUUCCUAUAAGUAAUUCUUCUUAUCCAUAAUAAGGUUGCAGGUCAAGAAGUUUACCUGAAUCAUUUGGGAUGUGGCUAGAUGCUUCACUAUCUAUAUACCAUGAGGGAUCUUCAAUUAUUUCAAGUGGAGAAAUGACUGAAGCAGCAGAGUUUUGGCUUUGAUUGAAUUUAUGAUCAUUAUUCAUUCCAUUAUAAUAGUUGAAAACAGCAGGAUUACUAGGACCAAAGUAAGAUGAAUUAAAAGGCAUUUUAGUAACAUGAUCUGAAUAUGCUAGUUCUGGAUAAGCAAUGUGACCUUGAUAGCUAAAUCCUUUCAAGAAGGCACCAUUACCACCUCUUCUAAAGUUAUUGAAAGGCCUUUGGCCAGCAAUAUUUUGAUUGAAGCCUCUACCAAACUGAUUAAACAUAGGUAUAAAAUUUCCUCUUCUAGGACCUCUUUGAUGAACAAAAGCAGAAUUAUACAUGUUUUUGCACUUAUUUGCACCAUGACCAGGAAUAAAGCAGAUCUGACAAACUAUAUUCGGCUUAAAUGGCAUAUUAUUUCCUCCGUUACUUCCAUUUCCAAAAUUAUUUUGUGCAUUACCACCAAAACCUCCUAUGCCUCUCUGAUAACCAGAUUUUUCUUUAUAAAAUCCUUGAUUCUUUUGCACAACAUUAGCAGUAAGAUUGUGCAUAACAUCAAAGCUUAAUUUUCCUUUCUUCUGAUCAAGCCUCAUUUCAUGACUCAACAAUAUUGCAUAUAAUUCAUCUAGACUCAUAUUUUCUCCUUUUGCAAGCAACGUAGUAACUAGUGAUUCAUAAUCUUGUGAAUCCAGACCAAUUAAAAUGUACGUUACCAGAUCAUUAUGUUCAAUAGGCUUUCCAACAAUAGCAAGAUUAUUAGCUAAACGUUUCAUUUUAGAAAAGUAUGCAGUCAUAGGCAUAGAACCUUUUUUAGCAGUCUGGAGUUGCUUUUUGAGUGGCAUUAUUCUUGCCUGAGUUUGAGAAACGAACAUUCGAGUAAGUGACUCCCAAAGUUCUUGACAAGAUACACAAUGAAUAACAGAUGUCAGCAAAUUCUCUUUAAUUGAUGAAAACAUCCAGCUGAUGAGUAAUUGAUCUAUUCUGAUCCAGGAGGCAAAUGCAGGAUUCUCAGUUCUUGAAUUGGAUCCAACAUUUGAGGAGCUUGAUGCUUCAUUGAUCUGAUUGAGAUACUGAUCUGGACACUGAUUUGCUCCAGUUAUAAAUCCUUCCAAUCCAUUCCCUUUGAUUGAAGCUAAAACUUGAUUUCUUCACACCAGAAAGUUGUUUUGAUCAAGUUUGAUAAGUGCAACGAAGUUAUAAGACUUCAAAGUUGUUUUAUGCAACAGGUGAAUAAUCGACAGUGAAGCAUUCGUAAAGAUGCACUAAAGCACAACAUCAAUCAGAACCUCCUUGUUUUAGAUAAAUAUUCUAAAUGUUCGAGCUCGCCAAAUCAAUUAUUUGCACGAUCAAGAACAUAUCCAUUCCAACCACACAUAUUCUAAAUGUUCAAGCUAUUAGCGGUGCUAUGUUCAUCAGUUCUUCUCCAUCAAUCAAUCAAAUAGAAGAAAGCUGUCAGAGAUAUUUGAUCAAACAAACAUAUACGUGAAUUUAAUUUGAAUCACGAACUACAUGUUUUGUAGCCAUACAUUAAUAAAAAAAAAUUGGAUGUGACAAUUGAAGAAAAUGUAAAGGAUAAGACUUGAAAUAUUUGCCUUUUUUUACCUUUUUUUUAGUAAAUAAAUUAUUGUCCUCUCUCUUUGUUAGAUUCCUAUAUUCAAUGAUUACUCACACCGAUAACUUUGGUUAGAAUAUUUGAGAAAAUAUUUGCUUUCAAGUUCAAAGAAGAAACUCAAGCAUAUUCCCUUUCAAAAUUUGAUGGAUAAAAAAAAAGAAAUGAAAAAUGAAAAUUGUACGUCUAUGAUAGUCAAAAAGUAACAAAGUUUUAUUUGUUAAUUAUAGAAGAGGCCUACGUGUGAAGGCAUAAAGGAUGAAGGGUGAUGGGUUUUAUCUAGUUAACAACAGAAGCUUAUUUAGUUCUUUGAUUUAAAAGUGACAAAACCCUAAACCACUUUUUGUAGUUACGAUUUGAUUGAUGUAAAUAUGUCAAUUUCUAGCUUUUGAUCCUUUUUCAUUUAUCCGAAAUGUUUGCUAAAGUUGGUUUAUUCCUAUGUUUGCCAUAAUUUUAGUAGUUGGUUUGCAAAAAGAUACAUAGAAAAGAUGGAGUUUGGUUGUUUCUGUUAGCCUAUAUGGCUAUAAAUAUUGAUUUUGAUGAUAACAAACCACAUGUGUUAGUUAAACAAAGAUUUAUGAAUUAUGCUUUUACAAUAAGAAAAUGAUUUUAUGGAAUUAAAGUGUUUUGAACUAAAAUGAAAGUAUUUUAUAAUCUUUAAUAUUGUUUUAAAAUUUCGGAUUCGGACCUAUUUGAAAAUAUUUAAAUAUUUUAGGUCAUUCUAUAAUUUCACAUAGUUUGGGUGAUAUCAUAAUUUCAAAAAGUUUUGGGAUUGACAAAGUAUUAUUUAAAAAUUCUGAAAUUGGACCUAUUUGAAAACUUUCAUAACGUUUUGGGUCAUAAUACAGUUGUAUAAAGUUUUGGGGUUAAACUGUAAUUUCAAAAAAUUAUUUACUGUAGCAGUUACUGUAGCAAGCGGCUGUUUGGAUUUUGGGCAAUAAGCUUCUGGAACAUAAGCGGCUAUCCGGAUUUCGCAAGCGGCUAUCCGGAUUUCAAAAGCGGCUAACCGGAUAUGACAAGCGGCAUGCCAGAUAUUCUGAAAUUCAAAUUUUUACUGUAACGGUAACAUAAAAGCGGCUAAUCGGAUUCUAUAAACGGUAAGCCGGUUAUCACCAAAAUGUGCAUAACGGCUAGUUUUUGAGCUCAAACUAUAUAAGCUCAAAUCCAAUUCAUUUUCAAGCUAUCUAGCAAGCAAAAAUCGAAAAAGCACACAACUUCAUUGAGCUCUCAUUUCGCAAAUCAUAAAACCUUGAAUCAUCUUUUGUUCUUCAAUUUGUAUAUCUACUCUUUAAGAGAGUUUUCAUUGUAAUCUUCAAUUCAUCAUCUUAAUUGUGAGUGUUUGAGUGUGUGAGACACUUGAGUGAAGAGAUUAGGAGACAAUCUUUGAGUGUGUGAGACACUUGAGUGAAGAGAUUGGGAGACAAUCUCUUUGUUGUAAAGGUUCAUUGACACAUUGAAGUCAAUUGUAAACAUUUGAAGCCUUGGAAGGCUUGGAUAGUGAAAUCCUCAAGUUUGGAUCGCUUGGAGGCGUGGAAGUAGGUGGAGAUUGCCGAACCACGUAAAAAUUCGUGUGUUUGUUUCUCUUCUCUCUUACUUAUUUGUGAUUGUGUUUUUAUUGAACUUAUUGCUUUCGAAUUUAUUAAAGCGUUAGAUUGGAUUGUUGUGUGGUUUUGUUAGGAUAAUUUUUAAAAUACCAAUUCACCCCCCCUCUUGGGUUGCACACUUGUAUUUCAGUUUCAACUUAAAUUUUUUACUUAAAAUUUUAAUACAAAUUUUGAGUUAUUGAUUUUAUACAAUCCAAUAGUCGAUGAAUUGACAUAAUUAAAUAGUAAUUUGAUUUUCAAUAUCUACCCCUGAAUUGCAUACAAUUAAUAGCUCGAAGUUUAUGUUAAAAUUUUAAAUAAAAAAUUUAAAUUAAAAUAACCCCUCCCUAGCUAAAAGAUAUUAGGGAGCCCAAUUUUAUUUUAUAUAAGCAAUAUUAUCGAUUGUACGAUUUAUAUUCAGUUCAUCUUAUAUAUAUAUAUUUUUUAUAUUUUAUGGGCCUACUAAGAUUCCUUUAUAAAUUUUAACACCCUCAUCUUGUCCUCGGCGUUAAAAUGUUAACAUGGAAAGCACAUAAUGUUGAAAAGUUUACGUGACAUUUUAAGUUCAUUAUCUAUCAACCUAAAUUUGGACAAUGGACCAUUGCUCACCAAGUCUCUUUGUUCUCAAACUGGGCGACGGCCGGAUGACAAUCCAUCGCCCGAGUUGAUCAAAAGCCCAUUCCAAUAAAAAAAAUAAAAACAAAUCAUUUAAUUCGGUUUAACGAAUAUAUAUAUAUAAUCAUUCUCAAGUGCGGACAUACUUUUAAAUCUUGCGGUUUAACAGAGUUAAUUAUUGAAUAAAUUAUAAAACCAUGCGGUUUUAAAAAGUUAAAAACUAACUAUUUUAAGUCCGCAGUUUUAAAGUAUAUCCGCAUGAAAAAUAAAUAAAGGCGCCCGCACUAGAGAAUGACUAAAAUUUUUGUUUUAAGUUACGAGUUACUUGCAAACAAUGUUCGUGACAUUGAUAUAUUCUUUAGCUUUUGAACCAUGGGAAACAGUUCAUACAUAUAUAGUCUACCCUGUACCUAUAUGUAUUCUCUGGUGCCAAAUAAAAAGUAACAACAAAGUGCCAUUGCCAAAGCGUACAUGAUGGUAAUGGAGGGCGACUUUUACUUUAACUUCAGAAUUGUGGGCUACUCACUUCUGUUAAUGGAUAACAAACAACAUCAGCCCAGACCUAGAAAGCACUUUUAACUAAGCACUUCCAGGAUCCAACCCAUUAGUGCCUCGCUGAAAUUUCUUUGUACUAGCACUAUCGUACAUAAAAAAAAGGACACAAAAACAUGCAUACACACGUAACACUCCUCAGAAAUUGAAAAAAAAUAUUAUUUUAAACACCCCAAAAGGAAGCCAUUCUUCUUAUAAGUAGAGGCCACUAGAGCCCUCCAAAACCAUCCAUUUCUUUCUUUCUUAACUUCUUUGUCCCUCUUUGAUCUCUGGCUCUUUCUCAGUUCAUGCAAACUUGCCUUAAUUUUGUUAAGGAAUAUCAUGAUGUGAUGACUUGCUGAUAUUGUUGUGCUGAUGUGCAGGUUAUGUAUUUAGUCGAGUACUCACAAGGUGUGAAAACUAGUUGAGCCAGCUAGAAGAAUCUAAUGUAACAGAAUGCCAGUUGGCAUUUUAUGAUUAGUCAAUGUAUUUAGAUUAUGUUAUUGGGCUGUAGUUUGUUAUAGCUUGUAAACGAGUAUAUAUAGUGCUGUAUUAAUUUACUUUGCAUUGUAUUCAUUCAGCUAAUAAAAAUAAAAUUUCAGAUUCAUCUAGAUUCUUCUGGUUCAUUUUUCUUCUCAAUUUUCUCAUGACCCAAACACCAUAUCAACUUCAACAUGGUAUCAGAGCAAACAAACAUGACUAAUCCAAAUCACACAUCUUCUUCUUCCAUCUCUAUCAACUUUAUUCAACCAGUUAAGCUUGAUAGAUCAAACUACAUUGUAUGGAAGGCUCAGGUGCCUGCUUCAAUAAUUGCCAAUGGACUUGAAGGUUUGGUGAUAGUGUUUGUCCAGAUCGAUAUCUCACUGCAACAGAGGGAGAAUUUAGUAGAUCAACAGCUCAAGUUUCACAGAGGCAAGAGAAUCCAGAAUACAUUACCUGGAUGAAAACUGAUAAGCUUCUCCAGAGCUGGAUGCUCUCAUCAAUGGUGGAUAAUAUACUUAUUAUGGUGAUUCAUUGUGAAUCUUCACUGGAGCUAUGGGAGAUGCUUGCUCAGAUCCUCAUGUCACAGUCAAAGGCUAGAUAUCUGCCACUGAAGAUGCAAAUUCAAUCAACUAAGAAAGGAUCUCUCUCUGUAAGUGACUAUUUCAACAAAAUGAAGAAAAUAGCUGAUAGUUUAGCUAUUGGAGGUAAUGCACUUUCAUCUAAUGAGUUGAUCGUGCAUUUACUCAUUGGAUUAGAUGAUAGCUAUAAGUCUCUUGUGACUAAUAUCCUCACUAGACUUAAGAAGGAAGAACUUCCUGUUGAAUAAAUGUAUUCAAUGAUGCUUAGUCAUGAAACUAGGUUGGAGAUAAGCAAGGGAAAAUUACAGAGUGAGGUUAUGCAUGACAUGACUGCUAACUUUGCUCAGAAAGGACAAAAUCCUAACAAUAAUGGCUAUGGAACUCAGAAAAAUAAUAAUUCUGGUGGAAAUUUUGGAGGAUUUACUGGAGGCUAUGGUGAUAAUACGAAUGUUUUUGCUGGUUUUAAUCCAGGAAAAGAUGUCAUCUGUCAGAUAUGUUUUAUUCCUGGACACUCUGCAGACAAAUGUAAAAACAGGUUUAAUCAGGGAUUUGUCCCAAGAAACAGAGCUUUUGGGGGUUUAGGCCUAGAGGAGUUCAAAACUAUCAGAAUCUUAAAGCAUUUACUGGUAAUGGUCAAAACAACAUUGGCAGAGGCUUUAGACUUGCUUAUCCUAGACAGGCAGUACCAUUUCAUGGCUAUGUUGCAUACCAAGCCCCAAGCUUCAUCUAUCCUCAGAAUAUGCCAGAGUACCAAGGAAACAGUGGAAACUAUAAUCAUUGUGCUUUUCCUGGAUUAGCGGCAAACACAAUGUUUGCAGGACAAGUUACUUCUUCUGCACCAACAACUACUUAUGGUACAGCUGCAGAUUCAGCCUGGUAUCUUGACUCUAGUUCUACCAAUCAUGUAAUUCAGGAUCUAGGUAUCUUUGUUCACUGUUCAGCUUAUCUUGGUGAUGACAAAUUACAUAUAGGAAAUGGUAUGGGGUUAGCUAUUGAAAGUAUUGGUUCUGCUAUCAUUCAAACUCUCUCUGCGUUAUAUCUUUAUCUGCAUAAUAUCCUAUAUGUCCCAGUUAUAACUUGUUGAUUUAUAUUUUCUUAAAAUAAUGUGAACUUAUUGUAAUUAUUUUCUAAAAUUAGGGUGGGUUUACAAAAUUAGUGGGUGAAAAUAUUCCCACCUUUUGUGAUUUUUCCCUUACAACUUUUGCAGUUUUACAUAUCACCCCUGUGCCUUUUCACACUCAUUUUAGACUUUUGCUUCUAAAAGUUUACUCCUAUGAAUUUUGGCCCUAUUAUAUUUUUCUAGAUCUUCCUAGCUUCCGCGAUAGUUUCAUGUAGGGUAAAUGGUAACAAAAUUCAUGCUAGGAACUUGAUUAUUUUAGGAUUCAAGAUAUUAAUUCAUGUUGUGUUGAGAGUGAUUGUGAAAUUCACAUUGGAAACAUAUCGUUAUUAUAAGGCUUCAAACUACAAUAAUACUCAGCAAAACCUCUCUAAAGUCAUGUUUUUGGGACCAAUUAUUUUUGUUAUUAUAAGGAAGCAAUAACUUAAUAGAGGUGUUGUUACAAAAAUUAAUGUUUUGACAUAAUUAUCCUUAGUGCAAAUGAUAUAGAGGUAAAAUGUGCAUUACAUUAAUAAUUAAUUGAAGGAACAUGUCAAAUCUAAUGUAUAUACAUUGAUAAAAGAGAUAGACAUAGUUUAAAAAAAUUAAUGCAUAUGUCUAUGUAGUGUUAUACAAAGUCAUUCUAAAAGUCUAAGUGUUUACAUUCUCUUAAAUAUUUUUCUUUUAAUAUAAAUUCUAUAAAUACUGUACAUUAUAUAAAUUAUUAUCCCAAACAACUUUAAAAAUAAUAUUUUAUUUCAUUUGAAACCUUUAAUGUAAGAUUGCAUAAUGUUUUUGGAAUAUAGAAAUAAUUAUUGUGAUAGGGAGGCUAGUUUCUUGAGUUGUGAUUUAGGAAAACUAUAACUUAUCAUAUUUUGAAGUUUACCCUUAUUUGUAACUUGUCUGAAUUGAGAUAAAAAAAUUUUUUGACUAUAUACAAUUUAUUUGUAUAUAGUGUAUCACUAUAGAGAGAUUUUAAUAUAAAAUGGAAUAAUAUAAAAGUGUAAAUUAACAAAGGACUUGGCUUCAAUGAUGGUAGAUAAUUUAUCAGGAGUAAAAGAAAAUAUUAUUAAAAGCUAUAGUUAAUGAACUAGACUUCGCAAAUUUUUAUGCGUUACUAAUUGACUAAUUCUUUUCAUCGCGUCUAGACUCUGGAUUCUGAUCUAAGCAUGGGAAGGACACCUACAAGAUUGACAUCAGUUUAUUCAGAACAUUUCAUUAAUUAAGUUAUUUAUUAAUUGGAAGAUGAAGGUGAAAUUUCUAAAAGAAAAUCUCCUGGAUGCUUCCCUUUGAUUACGUCCAAUGCUAACACAUUGAAACUGUGCACAUCGCAUUUUUCAACGACCUUCAUGUUAUAAAUAUAAUCAUCUUAAUUUGUAGCACCAAAAUAUUUGUUCAAUGUAAUUGAAAAAAAUAUCAUGAUCAUGUACGUGAAGAUUCUUUUACUUAGCUUGAUUUAUUUAUUGGCUUAAUAACAAAAUAUAUAGGAAUAUCUUAUAGUUAUAAACUCAAAUAAGUUACAUACCUCUCCCUCCUUUUUCCUCCAUCAUCAUUUUGUUUAUAUUAAGAUGGAAAACGGACUCUUUUCUUUCAACCGACAUUUCGUUUUGAGUGAAUUUACUCAUCUGCAUUGUCGUGUCCUGUGUUGCUGGAGCCGAACCGACAUUGAUUUUAAUGUCGUCCACGGCCAUUGAGUUAGCCGCAUGCAUGACACGUGAUCUUCUGAACUAAAACGGUAUGUUGUUGCUGUCGUUUUGGAGUCGCAUAAACAUGAACCUGCUGAUCACGUGAUUCAUGACGGUUAUGGUUGUUGCUUUUGGCGGGAACCAGCUGGUGGCCAACAAGCCCAGAAGCAGACUUUCUGAGGCUGACUCUUGCGUGCAUUUCUUAGAUCUAAUCGUGAGAACUCUGAGAGAAAUUUAUAUUUGUCUUAACUCUUGGAUUCAAUAUAGUGAAAGCUUGAAACUUGUUUUCUCAGUGGAUGUCUGCACUAUCAAUAGGUGCUGGACCACUUAGUUAUGUAGGGUUCAUCUCACUUUGGUGGAUCAAAAAGUCCAAAGUCUAAAAUAAUUUAUUUGAUGUGUAAUUAUUGUAAAAUUUUGGACUUGGAUGAAAUUAACUAGAAAAUAUAUAAAGGAACUAAGUGGAGAAUUGCAAGAGCUGUAGCCAUUUCGUGAAGUGAGAAGACGUUGCGAGAGAGAAAGAGGUAUUUUAUUUUCUUUGGGUUUCAAUCUUUAAUUAAAUGAUCGGAAUGUGAUUUUAACUCCGAUUUCUUUCAAAUUUGAAGGAUAAGUUCCUGACAUCGCCCUCUACAUUUCUACUAUGUUGGUCUAUAUUUUAUUCUCUCGGUAGCUGUUAUUAGAGAUAUAGAUUUUAGAUCUAUUAUUGUAAGUUAAGAUUGUUGAGAAUUUUGAUAUUGUUAGCUUCUAAUGUUAUCUGGAGAAGAAUUUGUGGUGUAAUCCCAUUAAAUAGUAGAAGUUUAUAUCAGACUACGGUCCCGUGAAUUUUCCCAAUUUGAGUUUUCUGCGUAAAAAUCAGUAUUUCUUGUGGUUGGUUUUUGCUUUAGAUUUAUUGGUUUAUUUUUCUGCAUAUUUAUUUGUAGUGCACAUCUUAUUUUAAUCACACAAAGAGGGAAAAAGUUUUGUUUCCGCUUAAUUUCUAGCUGCUUGUGGUAGUCUCUUUCCCAACAAAUUCUUGUGUAUUUGUCUUUGUUUUGUUUCUGUUCUUGGUCGAUUAUUGAGUGCGUACAUUUCUUGAUCUGUUAAUCUUGCAUCGUGAGGAUAGAAUUAGGUUUUGGGGUGAGUUUAAUCUGAUUUACAAGGGCUGAAUUCACAAUAAUUGCUCUUUUAGUUUGUGUUGACUGAUUCGUGCUUGUGAGAAAAGAAAAAAUUACUAAUUUGAAUGAGAUAUUGCUCUAUGCUUCAGCUUCGUGGUUGAAGGCUAGCUGAUGCUUUUUUGCCUUUUCAAAGUUGGAACAAAUUUUUUUUUUUUUUUUAAGGGUAUUGUUUGUUUAAAAUUGAAUUUUUUUCUUACAUCUACUGUUCCGUAGUCAGUUUAAAUACCUAUAUAUUGUCUUAUGCAUCUUUUUGUUAUUGGCUAUUUGUUCAUUUUUCUGCUAGACGUGUUUCAUAUUUAAUUAAGAAUCUGUUACAGGUUCUUAAUUAUAUGAGAUCGCAAAGACUAAUGGAGGUAGGUCUGUACUUUUCUACUGGCAGUGACAUCCUAUUUUAUGCUUUGUUUCUUUAAAAUGUUUUUGCAAAAAAAUUUUGGAAGAUAACUUUUACCGUCUGUGCAGUGAACUGAACUUCAGCAAGUACAAAAAGGAAGAUUGGGUGGUUGUAAAAGAAAGUAAUUCUUAAGAAUCUCUCCAUCUUCGACAUUGUAGAAGAAACAAUUUCGGUCAGAAAAUGGGAUCACUUGCAAAGAAAGGAUUGCAACAGUUUUUGACACAGCUUCAGCAACAUGCUUUGAGAAAAAAGUUCCUUUCUUUCUCAACUGUUUCGUUGAUUUGUUUAAUUUCUGCCAUGGAUUUCUUUCUUUUCUUCUGUACUAUUUUCUGUUUGGUGGCUGAGAAAGUUGAAGAAAGCUUGAAUAUUUAUUACUCUAUGCAGGCAAUAACUGCUGGAGUGCUGCAAGCAACCAGUGACAUAAUUGCUCAGAAACUCAACGGGCAUUUACAAAACUUCAGCUGAGGAGGCUACUUCUUAAAGUGGUUAGUUUUUUCACAUUGCAUCUCUUCUAUAUUUGAUUUUCUGCCGUAACUCAAGAUAGCUAUAGUAUUCCGUGUUGUUAAUAAUUGCGUUUUGAUUUUUGUGUUUCACUGGAACAUUAGCUUUUAGCAUCUUCCAAUUGGUGAUGGGUGCUCGCAAUUCAUUUUUUCAUUCAUACUCUGAGUUUGGUGAAUGUUUUAUAUUAAGAAUUCAGUCCAUAGUUGCCAAAAUUUAUGUCCUAUUAAGCUUCAACUUUCUCUCUAGCCAUUUUCAAAACUUAUUCAGUUAUCUGCCCUGCAUCAAAUGCAUGCUUUCUCUUUAUACUGUGUAUUUGGUGCUCGUAAUUUUUGUUGACAUAUAUCAUCUCCGCUAUGAGGCUUGGUCAGAGGUUCGCUUCCUACAAAAUAUCUUGAAAAGGGUGACCUACAUUGUGGGAUGGGUAAUCAGAUAAGUCUACUAUCAAUUCCAUGCUCUCUUCCAAAUCCACAUAAAUAUGUAUUCCACACACCUGGUUGCUAGUGCACUUAAAUAUGCGAAUUUAUCUAAAGAGGAGAUACCUUUGUACAGUCUGUUAAGUAGGUAAAUGCCUGGUUUUGUUAAUGACUGCCAAACAUCUGACUAAGGAAAUGUGGCUUCAAAAUCUAGUGAUGCUAAAAUUUGAAGAUGGAAGUACACAACCACCUUCAGCGGAUGACUUGUUUGGUAUUUUGGGUUUGGAUUUUAAGGAUAAGCUACUUAAUGCCAACUGGAAUUAUUUGCUUGCUGAUGAGCAACAUACAGGUGAGGAUAGUACAAUGUCUAUGAAUGCUCCUGAAGUGAGUGCUGGUUUCUAUUCAGUUAAAGAAGGAAUAUUACAGAGCAGUUCGUUAUCCGGGAUGGGUACCAACCAUCUUUUCGAAGCUGUGGUCUCUAGGGCUAACUUUGUCUGGAAGCAGAUCUCAGAUGAUAAUGUCUCUUAUAGGACAACAUUGACACAAAUCAGUAGCUCCUCUAUUCCUACUAAUUCUCUUUCCACUGGGCAGGUUAAUUUGUCUAACUGAGUGCAAGCGGAGCUAUUGGCCUUACUAAGUCUUGACGAAGGCAGGGACUGGAGAAUCCAACUCUUUUCAGUCUGGUUGGAGCUAGGAUAAUGGAGGAAAUUGUUCUCAAACUACUUCCAUAUACGGGUCCCAUAUCAGUUCCUGGGUAGAACAGGGUCAAAGUGUGAAGCGUGACGGUAGUGUCUCGACUACGUAUUCUGAGAAAAACGAUGAAACAGCUAAAUCAAAUAGCAGAAGACUUAAUCUUGGUGAGAAGAUGAGGGCCCAAAGAUCACCAGAUGAUUCAAGAUCGCGUUAAAGAGUUGCGAGAAAUUUUACAAAACAGGGGAAAAUUAAUUGCAUUUAUUUUCACUAAUUAUCUUAACUUUAUCUGUGUCUUGUCAAUAGUAAUUUAUAUUUUAAUAUUGAUAUUUGUCUUUAUUCCCUUAAUAUGGUUCAACAUUGUAGGAUUGUGUAGCAUAGAGGCACUUCUAGAACGUUCCGUCAAGCACAUGCUGUUCUUGCAGAGUAUGACAAAGCACGCUGACAAGCCUAAAACAAACAGGGGAAUCAAAGGCAUAGGGGACGUCUAAUUUUUGUACUUUUACCAUCAUAUUUGGCGUACGAGUUUAAAUUUAUUACAUAAAGUUUUCUGAGCUGGCAGUCAUCAUGCCUGAACUUGCAUAUAAUCAGCAAGGAACGUGGUUUGCUUUUAAAUGAUAACUUCGAGGAAGGGACAACAUGGGCAUCUGAGUUGAGGAUCUGAAUGCACCACGUUAGCUGCUGGUGGAGGUAGUAAAUGGCCUGUUCUUUUGAGUAGAAAUUGUUUGGUUUGAAUAAAUGUUCAUAUCUGUGGGAUUGUUGACAAAUGCUUUGUGGGUAACGGGGUUUCUUUUUGGAAAUAGCUGAGCUAGUCAGGGGAUUGAGGUACCAUAGGAAUGUUGCUGUAACAGAUGAACUAUAAUUUCCUACUGAACUUAUUCUAAACGUGAGAUGGCCGCCCUGGUUGAGUAGUCAUAACAUUCCAUGUUCAAUUACAUGGCCGUUUGAUGAUUUUCACUUAGCAGAAAAUGAAUGAUUUAUACACAGCUUAUUAGAGCAGUUUAAAUAUGUGAACGUAGGCCAAUUUCUUUAGGGGUUUAUUUCAGAGAAACUGAAAACAUGCUGUUAGUCCACAUUUUAAGAACUUUCCUUCUUUUCAAAUGGGUAUUUUUAAAAUGCAGCAUGCUGUAUAGUUAUUUUAUUUUAUUUUUAAUGUUUAUAAUAUUUAAACCUUUCUUCUAGCAGGCAUAUACUAGUUAAAUCCCCUUCAAAUAUUAUACAUAAAGUUGUUAUCUAUGAAUAUACUAGCUGCAGUAAGAAUAGGAUUGGCUUCUGCACGGCGAAGCUAGGGAACUUAAAAUGAUCGACUUUUGUCAAUUUCGUCAAGGAUUAUGUUCUUAGGGCAUGUUUGGUUUGGAGGAGAGAAUAGGGGAGAGAAAAGUAAUUCAAAUUCUAUUUUUAUUUCCAUUGUUUGGUUACACAAAAUACAUAAGAAUUUAAUUUACAUUAGAAUUUAAUAUCCCUUAUAAUGUAGAAUUUGAAUUCCACACCUAAAAGUGAAGAAUUUAAAUUCCUUUUAUAUUGAAAACUCAAACUUCCAAAAUUGCCGCCAUUGACCGGCGUUGACCGGCGGUUGACUUGUGUUGAUCGGAUUUUAAUUAUAUUAAAUAAUAUUUAAUAUUUAAUUAUAUUAAAUAGUUUAGUAUAUUAAAUUAUUUUAUAUUUUAUAUUAAAUAUAAAUCAUGAAUUGUUUUAGAAUUUUUUAAAAUUAAAAAAGUUUGGUAUUAAUAUUAAAUUAUAUUUUAUUACUAAUAUAGGCAAUUUAGUAUUUAAGGCAAAGGAUAAAUUGGUCCCAAAAAAAAAUUACAAUUCAUUUCCCUAUCAAAUUUUAUGUCAAACCAAACAAUAAAAUUUAAUUUCACUAUUCUCUUCCACUCCUCUCUUCUCCUUUCCUCUCCAUUCCACUCUUUUCCUCUCCUCCCCUUUCUUAAAACCAAACACCACCUUAAGGUUUAAAAGAACAGGCCUUUUGUUUAUGGAAAAAACCUACCUUCAGUUGAAAUGGAAAUAACUUUUUUGUCGUUCUCCGGAGCAUGUAUGCUGCAGUCUACCCUAUCAUAAGUUUGUAACCCAAUAUUAACUUAUACUGUAUGCUUCAAAAAUAAAUUGUAGGCUAUUUGUUUAAACUCCAUUUCGUAUUAGCAAUCUUUGUACAUUCACUUACCGUAUGUUUGGUGAACAGGCUACAGGGAUGUGACAAGGAUGGAAAUAUUUAUGUCACUUGUUCGUCUUUUGGAGCAAACUGUGAAGAGCUGUACCUUGGUAAAUGCCUUGGAUAACGACAAUGUGAUGCUCCAUCACUCUUUUCCCUCAGCCACUUCUAUUGCAGCAACUGGUAGGCCCAGUAGUUUACAGCGAGCCACCAGCUAUUAAUACUUUACUGGGCUGGAUAUGUCAAGAGCUAGCUUUCGCGGCAUCACUUGCCAUGACUGACAUGGUUCCAGUCGGCACUCAGGUGGUUCUAACUAACUCGUUCAUCUCCCCCAAACCAAAUUAUGUCUAAUCUCACUUUUUUAGGGAGGGAAAAUUUCAUUUAGGUAGUUGUGUGAGCUCCUUAAAAACUUUUAAAUGUGUGUUUCUUUCAGAGAUGUAUAUCUGAAUGUUAUCUAAUGCUUUCUUAAAUUAUUUAGCUCUGAAAAAUGAUCAUUGAAGAGGUUAUUCUUAAGUGCUAAGUUUACAGGCAGAGAGGGGUUUUGUAGUUAAAAAAUGUAGAGAGCAUAUGUCUGGGAUAUGAAAUGAAGGUAUUGAGGUGUUCUGUUUUCUUAAUUGGUAUUUUCUAAAAUCGAUAAUGGUGAAAUGGGGCUGAAAAAUGAGAUUAUCUGGCAUCCUGCUCUGACGCAUAAGUCAGUAGGCUGAUUUGGUGAGUUUGAUGGUUGUAAUUGCGUGCUUGCCGCAAAUGUGUCACCCCUUAGCUUAUAAAUCUGGAUUGGUGACUAGAAGUUGUGUCUUUAGGGGUGCGGGGUUCUUAUACUCCGAAGCUUUAGGGUCAAGCAGACAUUAUGUUUUUAACUUGUCAACUGCAGUAUUCGUGUUUGAAAUCAUCUUUGUUACCUUAACCCCCCUCUCCAAGAUUUUAAGCCUGCCUUCCUUUGACUGAUUCAACUGCGCACCUCAAUACCAAUCAAUCGGCACUCAGGUGGUUCUAACUAACUUGUUUAUCUCCCCCAAACCAAAUUAUGACUAAUCUCGCUUUUUAAGGGAGGGAAAAUUUCAUUUAGGUGGUUGUGUGAGCUCCUUAAUUAAGAACUUUUAAAUGUAUGUUUCUUUCAGAGAUGUAUAUCUGAAUGUUAUCUAAUGCUUUCUUAAAUUAUUUAUCUGUGAAAAAUGAUCAUUGAAGAGGUUAUUUUUAAGUGCUAGGUUUACAGGCAGAGAGGGGUUGCAUAAUAGUUGGUUUUGUUGGUAAAAAAUGUAUAAAGCAUAUGUCUGGGAUAUGAAAUGAAGGUAUUGAUGUUUUCUGUUUUCUUAAUUGGUAUUUUCUUGGAUUACGGAUUUCAAUUCUAUAGCAUGACUACUGUAAUCGUGUGUUUCUUCAUUUCUCAUUUUGCUUUCGUUAUAUUUCUCAAAUUUUUUGUCAUUCCUCCCAAAUUGUGACGUUUAAUGGAUAAGUUAGGAACAUUAUCAGACAACCUAGGACGUGUAAUAAAAACUUGGAAAAUAUUGUUUCAUGUUUGUUAAUAUGUAUCAUGCACUUGAAUUUGCAUCUUGUUAUGGGGCACAUCAUCAUCGAAAAAAGAUACAUCCUGUCAAGGGAACUUACAAGACUUACCCCUUGUCAUCCCAAAAAAAUCUAGAAAACGAAUUAAAAGGAUUAAAUCUUUAACAAUUGAGACACUUUCUGUAUGGUUGGUCUAGAUUCGGGACUCUCAUCUAAGCAUGAAAGCGACUUCCAUGAUUGAUAUCAAUUUGUCUUGAACAUUGUGCGAUGGAGUUGGAAGCCGAGGGUCCAACAUUUCAUUGAGUGCUAUUUCCAAGUUCAAAGAUGAAGAGGAAAUUGAGGAAAUGAAAUCUCUUGGAUGCUUCCCCUUUAUCACUUCCAAUGCUAACACCCCAAAGCUGUACACAUCGCACUUUUCCGUAACUUUCAUUGUGUAUGCAAGCUCUGAAACAGAAAAACAAAAUCGAUUAUAUUUUAUUUUUUAUUUUUACUUGAAAUCUAGUAAGCUGAUACUAGUUAGUUGAUUGUACAAGUUCGAAAUAAUGAUUUACAUACCUGGUGCAACAUAUCCAUAUGUGCCUGCAAGUUCUGCCCAAUUGGAUGAGUCUGGCUUGAGAAACCUGGCAGUUCCAAAAUCCGAAACAUGGGCUUCAUUCUCCAAAUCUAACAACACAUUCUUGCUUGAUAUAUCUCGAUGAACAAUUGGUGGGAAGCAAUCAUUGUGCAUGUAAGACAAUGCAUCAACUACACCUUUUAUCACAUUCAUUCUCUUUGUCCAUCCCAAAUCCUUUGCUACUGCGUCAUUGCUCAGGGUCAUGGCCAAGCUACCCAUUUCAAGAUAUUCAUAAACUAUAAAUGAGUGUCGGGCAUGUGAACAAAAGCCAUAAAAUUUUACAAUGUUACGAUGUCGUAUCCUUGUUAAUGUCUUAACUUCAUUAAGGAAUUCUUGUUGACUUGCCAUCUCACUUGGGAGUGGCGAAUGAAAUUUCUUGACUGCAACGAUUUCUCCAGAUGGUAACUCAGCCUUGUAAACGCUUCCUUGUCCACCCUUUCCAAUGCAGUACUCAUCAUCAAAGUCAUUUGUUACUCUAAUGAUUUCUUCGUACACAAUUUUUCCUUCAAAACUUAACACUGAAAGAAAACCCGAAGCAUUUCCAGGGCUACUUUGUUGUGUCUGUGAGCUACUCCUUCGAAACAUAAAGAACAAUCCAAUUAGAGAAAUUAAAAGAGCAAAACUCCCUAAGAGAGGGAAUACAAUAACAACCCAAAUCUUUCUCGAAGCUUGUUUGUGUGACUUGGAUGCUUUACAAGAUGGAAAUCCUUUGAUAUCUCCACACAAGCCUUUGUUCCCUUGUAAUGCUUCCAUCGGAGCAUCUCUAAAUGCGGUGCUAUUAGGAAUUGAUCCAUGUAAUUCGUUGUAGGAUAUGUCAAUAUAUGAAAGACCAUGCACUUCCUCAAAACAACUUGGAAUGAAGCCAGAGAGGUUAUUGUGGGAGAGAUUCAGCUUCUCCAAGCUUUGCAUAUUGCAGAUUUGAGAUGGCAUCUCUUCUCUGAGAAAGUUAUGACUCAAAUCUAACUCUGAAAGAUGAAUUAACUUCUCCAAUUCAACUGGAAUUUUCUUAAUAAACUGAUUAUUGCUCAAAUUCAAGUUAUGCAAUUUAACCAAGUUACCAAGACUUUUUGGGAUUGAGUUGCUUAAUCUAUUUGAAGACAAGUCAAGGCGCUCAAGUUGAGUGAGUGACCCGAGCUCUAGAGAUAGUUGUCCACAAAGUUGAUUACUAUUGAAAAUGAGCUUGAUUAGAGAACUAAGCUUGACAAGUUUUGAUGGCAUCUCACCAACAAUGUGAUUUGACGAAAGAUCAAGAACUUUUAAUUAAGAUGAGUGUAUAAUCUCAGGGGGCAUGCUGUCAGUAAUAUUAUUCGAGGAAAAAUCUAAAGUGCCUAACUUUGGGCAUCUUCCCCAGUCAGAUGAGAUUUCACUAUAAAAAUAAUUGUGGCUGAGAUCUAUGAAAGCUAAGUUUGGAUGAAUACCGAAAGAUUCAGAUAUAUUACCGGUGAGAUGGUUUUGAUUAAGACGUACUCUUACUAAGCUUGUCAAAUUUCUCAAAUUAGGAAUUGGACCUCGUAAUUGGUUAUUCUCUAAAGUUAGUAGAGUCAACUUCACAUGGUUCCCAUAUUCUUUAGGAAUAGCACCAGAAAGCGCAUUAUCAAAAAGAGUCAAGAAAGUCAUCUGAGUCAAGUUACCCAGAGAAUGAGGGAUUGAGCCACAAAGUUUAUUGCCGCUCAGUUCUAAAUCAGAAAGAGACUUCAAGCGUCCUAUUUCACUUGGAAUUGAGCCAGAAAAUGAAUUGUUAUAAAGAUACAAGAAAGCCAAGCUGGACAAGUUACCUAGAGAGUGAGGGAUUGAGCCACCAAGUUUAUUGUUGCUCAAUUCUAAAUCAAAAAGAGACUUCAAUUUUCCUAUUUCACUUGGAAUUGAGCCAGAAAGUGAAUUGCCAUAAAGAUACAAGGUAGCCAAGUUGGUCAAAUUACCCAAAGAAUGAGGGAUUGAGCCACAAAGUUUAUUGUCGCUCAGUUUUAGAUCAGAAAGAGACUUCAAGCGUCCUAUUUCACUUGGAAUUGAGUCAAAAAGUGAAUUGUUAUGAAGAUACAAGGAAGCCAAGCUGGUCAAGUUACCCAGAGAGUGAGGGAUUGAGCCACUAAGUUUAUUGUAGCUCAAUCGUAGAUCAGAAAGAGACUUCAAUUUUCCUAUUUCACUUGGAAUUGAGCCAGAAAAUGAAUUGCCAUAAAGAUACAAGAUAACCAAGUUGGUCAUGUUACCUAGAGAGUGAGGGAUUGAACCACCGAGUUUAUUGUUGCUUAGAUCUAGAUCAGAAAGAGACUUCAAGCUUCUUAUUUCACUUGGAAUUGAGCUAGAAAGUGAAUUGUUAUAAAGAUACAAGGUAACCAAGUUGGUCAAGUUACUUAGAGAAUGCGGGAUUGAAUCUUCCAAAAAGUUUUUGUACAAAGCAAGGACGUUUAGAGAACUUAAUCGGCCUAAUUCAUGAGGAAUUGAGCCACUUAGCUGAUUCUCGAAUAGGCAAAGGACCUUCAGAUUACUUAGGUGACCAAGUUGUAGUGGUAUUGUCCCAGAAAACGAAUUGGAUGAUAAAUCAAGGUACUUGAGUUUUGAAAUGUUACCAAUUUGAGGCGGGAUGUUUCCAAAGAGUUGAUUGCUCCAAAGAGUGAGAUACUCAAGAUGGGGAAAUGAUGAGAAUGAGAAAUCAUGAAGCGUACCUUUUAAGCCUGUACUUGUGAGGUUAACACUAUUGACUGUUCCUGCAUGGUUGCAAUGAAUUCCAACCCAAGCACUCGGGCUUAUUUUGGUGACAUUAUCAAGAGUCCAUGAAGGCAGGAGAGAUCCAUUUUUAUGAUUUUGAAGGCUAGCUUUCCAUUUGAGAAGAGCAUGGGCUUCUUCCAUAGAAUCAGAAGAAGCGGUGAGUGGAAAAUCUAGAACAGGGAAUAGGAUGAGGGAAAUGAGUGAGAAAAUUACUAAAUCAUUUUUCAAGUUUGGUAACGCCAUUGCAUAGUGAGAGAUCAACUGCGACUAGAUAAUUAUAUAUAGAAAGAGUAGAGAACAAUUAAAGAUGAGGACAACAAGAAUUAAAGAUUUGCUAGACACGGCAGAUAGAAAUAAACAUCUAAGACUAAUGGAUGUACAAAUAAACACAUUGAAAGACAAGAAAGCAAAUGAGUUAAUUGAAUCAAUGACGUAAGCCAACAAGUCAAUGCGUCAAACACCUCUAAAGUAGACUAGUUGCAGGUAGGAUAAAAUAAAAAAUAUUGGUUUCAUUAGUUACCAAUAUGUCGAUUGAGGCUUGUAUUGUAUAUAUGCUUCUUUUAGCUUCAACAAAAAUCUAUUAGAAUGUGAACUGUUACAGUGUUACCAAAAAAAAAAAAAAAAAUUCUUAAUAUGUUUAUAUUAACUAGUUCUAAAUUUUGAAAUAACAUUCUAAAAAUUAAAAAAAUAUGUAAAUGGAGUUGUCGCCGGAGUAGCUGCCUGUUGGCGAUAAAUGGUGGCAUAAUUUUAGUUGAAACUUGAUUAUUUUGGAUUCAAGAUUAAUCCGUGUCGUGUAUAUCAGAGUGGUAGUAAAAUUCAAAUUAAAGACAUUAUUAUUUAUUACAAGGCUUUAAAAUAUUGUUUUCAUAAUGCCCAAUAAUCCUAUUGGCGUAAAAAAUUUCAAGGAAAAUAGGGACAAAUGAGUCAUUUGACUUAAUAUUUACUCUUGAAAAUUUAAAAUAUACAAUUAUAAAAAAACUGUUUUUUUAAAAAUAAAAAGUACUAAAAAAAUAUCUUAUUAUUAAUUUUUUAAUUCACACCCAAACCUAUGUUUUUAGUUGUAUUGAUUUUUUUUUUUUUGGUUUGCAAUGGGGGUAACUUGACUUCUCUUUCUCGGAUCCUAAGCCCUGACUAACUUGUUUACUGGGCGCUCUUUUGGAUCCUGACUGACUAACUUGUUUACUGGGUAUUUGUCCGGAGAAAGAUUGUUAGUUAGUGAAUAGAAAAGUCUAUCCAAUUCUAAUUAAAGCAACACACAGUCACACACUGCCUUCCAAUACCUUUUUGUCGUAUACAGUCACAAAUAUCGCAUAAAUGUUAUUGUAUAGGCCCUUGUUUGAUAAACAAAUAUGAUUAUUAUUGUCAUAUUAUGCACUUUGAUGACACAACUGCUUUAAUAUCUAUUUUAUAAAUGGCAAACAUUUAGCACAUUUUGGAUCUAAAUUGAGGUAGCUUCACUCAUCAAAUUUUAUGUAAAUAUUAGCUAUAGGUUUCCAUAAGGUUUGAAUUUGAAAUUCACAAGAAAGCAAAUAAGUGGUCGUCAAGCUUGCAUGAGCUCAACUAGUCAAUGCGUCAACACCUCUACAUUACAUCACAUAUUUUAAGAUAUCCAUUUUCCAGCACUGGAUCAAAAUUUCCCAGUCAAGCAACUUGCAAAAGUGGAUUGACUGAGAAAAUUGGGAGUGUGCUGAUUGAUGGAACCAACAAAAUUUCAAUCUCUAUCCCUUCCAAACGCACUAACAAAUUUUCAAUCUCAACCGGUCUAUACGUACCAUACGCACUAGCAAAUUUGCAAGGUCAAUGCUUAUUGGAGAACAACAAUGUGAUGGUUCAUCGCAAUUUUUCCCAAGCCACCUCUAUUCCUGCAAGUGGUAGGCCCAGUAGUUAUACUUUUCUGGGCGCUGGACAUGUCCAGAGCAUGCUCGUUAUUGCUCGUCUCCCCAAAAACAAAUUAUAUCUAAUCUCUCUUUUUUACGAGCAGGGAGAAAAUUCCAUUUAGUGUGAGCUCCUUACUAACAACUUUCAAAUGUAUGUUUCUUUUAGAGAUGUAAAUAUGAACGUUAAGAUGAUAAGUUGAUUAUUGAAUAGGUUAUUUGCCAUAUACGUCGGUUGCAUAAUGGUGGGUUUGCGGAUAACAAAUGUGUAGAGCAUCUAGGAUAUGAAAUGAAGGUAUUAUAAGGUGUUUUUUCGUCAGCGUGAGACUGUUGUUUUUAAUUCGUUUUCUUAAUUGGUAUUUUCUUCGGUUAUGGGUUUCAAUUCUAUUUGGUGACUUACAGCAGUCAUCUCAUGUGUUUGGUGACCUCCUUAUAUUUGAUCAGCCCUCCACUUUUCGGUUAACUCGAUUUAUUUUUAGCUCUAUCCUGACUAAAAAAUAGUUAAAAAUAAAUAAUAUUUAUAUUUUGUUUCUCUCUCACAUCCCUUUCACUUUCUUGAACUGAUUCACAGUAUGAAUCAAAUAUUAUCUCCUAAUCCAAACCCGAAUCGAAAACUUGAAAGUCCUGAAUUAUUAUCACCAAAAAUCAAAAUCAAUCCCAAGCAUCUAUCGCAACAAAAUACACUACUUACAAAAUUUUACAAAACCCUGUAACAGAACCCCUCGUGCUGCAGAGGAGAUGGAUUGGUAGUGAUGACGAUAUGUGCUGGUGAUGGUGCUGGUGAUGAUUGACUUGAUGGUGAAGAUGACGAUUGACUUGAUGGUUAUGGUAAUGCUGACGCUCCAUAGAGGAAAAAAAAUUAAAAUAAAAAACUAAUAUAUCAGAGAACUCUAAACGUGUAAUAAAAAAAUUUGAAAAUGUUGUAACAUAUAUUUGCCAAUAUCAUGUACUUAAAAUUCUGUUAAAGAGAAGUUUUUCAUCUUCUUAUGGAGCCCACCAUCAUCGAGGUGACAGAAGAUUGAUGGGGUACCUCUAGUUUUUAAGUGGACUCGGAAGAGAAAUUGAUCACCGACAUCACUGUUUGAUAAUUGUAAUUUUCUGUACUUCAAAUUCUGUUAAAGAGAAGUUUUUUAAUUAAUUCUUAAUUAUCACUGUUUGAUAAUUGUAAUUUUCUGUUUCUGGAGUUAAGGGUGUUAGUAUGUUAGAGAGUAGAGACUACGGUGCUUUGAAUCCGUUGGCACCGACCUUUUUGUAAAAUUUCUCAAGAUUUUCAUUACACAUCUCAAGUGUUUCGUUUCAUUUUCGCUAUUUUUGUAACAAAUUUUUUAUUUGAAGAGAACCAUAGCUUAAGAUGAUUCAUAUAGAAAAUUUAUUAGCUGCGAAUAAUUUUUGCAUUUUGGAAAAUACAGAUUUGAACUGGCCCAUGGUAAAUAACUACAAAAUAUACUAGUCAAUUACCGGGAUGCCUAUAAUUUAGUAUUAAAAUAUCGUUAGUUAAUAUGUUAACGGAAAUCCAUAUUUUAAAAAAUAUUGACGUUUGCACAUAUAAUUUUGAGAAAAUAAUCAAAGCCCCUCUGUUAUUUAAAAACUCACCAAAAAUCCAUAAUUUGCUGGGCAUUUUUUCCCCAAAAGAUUUUGUCUGUUAGUGAAUAGAAAAGUCUAUCCAAUUCCAAUUAAAGCAGCACACACUGCCUUUCAAUAUCUUUUUGUCGUAAUGAUAAUAGUACAGUUUCAAAAAUCAUAUAAAUAUUAGAGAAAAGGACAUUUACACCCCUAAGGUUUGGAAAAAUGAUCAUAAAAACCACUGAAUUUUCAAUAAGUGACACUAAAACUCCAUUUUGACCAUAAUGUCUUUUAAUUCUAUAAAUUCCAAAAAAAAUUGACUCCAAAAUUUUAUAGUAUAUAGAAAUAUGCACCAAAAUAAAUGUAAUAAUAUAUAGAUUUUAAAAUAAUUAUAUUAUUUAAAAAAUAGUUUUAUAUUUUACAAUAUGCUAGACCUAUUUUAUUAUAUUAAACUAAUUUUUUGAAAUAAAUAGAAACAUAAUUUUAAUAUAAAUAAAUUAAUAUUAAAAUUAUUUUGAAUAUUAUAUAAAAAUAAUUUUAAUAUUAUUAAUAGGGAGAUAUUUUGUCAAUUGUAAAAUCCAUUUAACCCAAAGAUUUAUUUAAAAUCUUUAUAAUAAAUACAAAUGUAUUAUUAAAAUAAAUAUAAUAAUUUAAAAUUUUAAAAAUUAUUAAAUGUUAAAAAUAAUUUAAUAUCAUUAGUCUACUAGAUAGAUUAUAUUAUUUAUAUUAAAUUCGUAUUAAUUAAAAAACUUUCAAGUCAAUUUUCUAAUUACUAUAUUCAAGGGUAUUAUGGUCAAAAGGAGAUCUUGGUGUCCCUUUGUGAAAACUUGAGAAUCUUUGUGCCCAUUUCUUUGAACUUUAGGAAUGUAAGUGUCAUUUUUCCUAAAUAUUAUUGUACAAACUCUUAUAUGAUAAACAAAUAUGAUUAUUGUUGUCAUAUUUGCACUUUGAUAAAGACACAACUACUUUGAUAUUUAUUUUAUAAAUGGUAAACAUUUAGCAAAUUGUGGAUCUAAAUUGAGAUAGCUUCACUCAUAAAAUUUUAUGUAAAUAUUAGCUAUAGGUUUCCAUAGGGUUUGGUUUGAACUCCUUCACACGGCUGAAGAGGAUAUACACUAUAUAUAUAUACAUAAAUUUUUUAGUGCCUCUUCUUUUGAGCAUUUUUCCCUCUACCGCUUUUAUCCGUGCAUAUUUUAAGGAAUAAGCGCAUCACUUUUUUUUUUUUUCUUUUUCCUCUUCAAUUAAUAAACUUCACUCCCUUUUCAAAAUAAUAAUAAUAGUGAUGGUGAUGAUAAUGAUGAUGAUGAACUUCACUCUUUCCUCUUAUGUCCCCCCCCCCCCCCCAAAAAAAAAAAAGAAGAAAGAAAGAAAGAUAAAAGCAAUUUGCUUAUAGAUACAUAAUAAUGAUUUAAUUAAUUAAUUGUUCAAACCUCCUGUUGAUUUCAAUUUUUUUAGAAUAAUGUGAACUUGUUGUAAUUAUUUUUUGAAACCGGGGUUGGUUUACAAAAUUAAUGGGGUGAAAAUAUAUUUGUUCUUUAUGAUUUUGCCUUACAACUUUUCCAGUUUUACAUAUAACGCCUGUACGUCUUCAUACUCAUUUUAGACUUUGGGUUCUAAAAGUUACUUCUAUGAAUUUUGGCCCUAUUAUAUUUUUCUUGAUCUUCCAAGCUCCUCCCUUGUUUCAAGUAGGGUAAAUGGUAACAAAAUUCCUGUUAGGAACUUGAUUAUUUUAGGAUUCAAGAUAUUAAUUCAUGUUGUGUUCAGAGUGAUUGUGAAAUUCACAUUGAAAUCAUUAUUUCUAAGCUUUCAAACUACAAUAAUGGUAAGUAAAACUUCUUUAUAGUCAUAUUGUUGGGACCAAUUUUUUUUUUUUUUUUUCUAUGAGGAAGUAAUGACUUAAUAGAGGUAUAGUUACAUAAAUUAAUGUUUUGACUUAAUCAUCCUUAGUACAAAUAAUAUAGAGGUAAAGUAUGCACUACAUUAAUAAUUAAUUAAAGGAACAUGUCAAAUCCAAUGUAUAUACAUUAAUAAAAAAGAUAAAUAUAUAUAUUUUUUUAAAAUAGUACAUAUAUCUAAAUAGUGUUAUGCAAAGUCAUUUUAAAGUCUAAAUGUUUUUGCAUUCUCUUAAAUAUUUUUCUCUUAGUAUAAAUUCCAUAAAUACUAUGCAUUAUAUAAAUCAUUGUCCUAUACAACUUUCAAAAAUAAUAUUUUAUUCCAUCUUAAACCUUUAAUAUAAUUUUACAUAAAAUUUUUCGAAUAUACAAAUAAAUAUUACUAUGUGGAGGCUAGUUUCUUAAGAUAGGAUCACAACGGUAGAUAAGUUAGCAGGAGUAAAAGAAAAUAUUAAAAAAAUGUGUCAGUUUUUUUUUUUUUAAGUAUUUCAUUAAAACAAAAACAUUACAAACUGUUUAAUAAGCACAGAGGUGGAACAUGACUCCACUCUCCGGGACCUGACAUAGAACCUCCUGCCCUAACAACAGAAUGGAAAGAAGAGUUCGCAGAUCGACACACAAACAAGAAUUGCACUUCUCAUAUAGACAUCGCAAGAGAUUAACACUCCUCAAUUGUAAGGCCAAAACCAUUGGGGCUGGAAAAAUUCUCAGUUAAAGCUUGAAAGACUUGAAGGUUGUCCAUUUCGAUAAUAGCACAAGGCAAUUGCAGCCUCUUGAUCCUACUGAGAGCCUCUCUAAUGCCAAGAGCUUCAGGCUCUCGUGAGCCAAAAAUACCUAGAAAACACUCACACCUUGCUGCCACAAAUUCACCAACAGAGUUAUGAAUUACACACCCAACACUGAACUUGAGCAUUAAAUAUGGAAGCAUCAACAUUACACUUUAACCAACCAAAGCAAGGUUUUUCCCAACAAAUAGCCCCAUGACCAACUCUAUUAGUAUCAGCAUUAAUAAAGAAAUGAUGUUUCCUUAUAGUUUGCCACUGGAAUAAAAUCUGCCCAGCAGAGUUGAGGACUUGUAAAGCACUGCCAGUUCUGUGGUUCCAUAAAUGAUCAGUACGAUGAAUCCAAAUCCUCCAGCAAAUCAUGGCGGCAAGCUGACAAUUCUCCUUACUAUACCGAGAGAAAAUAGCCUCCAGCCAAGCCAAAAAAGAAAUGCAGUAACCAAAGAAACCAACAGCAGAGGAAAUCCAACAAGACGUAGCAAAGCUACACUCCAGUAGAGCAUGUGUAAUAGUCUUAUCAUAGGCAUUGCACAAAGAGCAAGUAGGUAUAAUAGUCACUCUACGACGAAUAAGGUUAUCCGCAGUAGGUAAUACAUUUGUCGCAGCCAGUCAAAGAAAAUUCCUAACCUUACUUGGCACCUCCAAAUUCCACAAUGUUCUCCAAAUACUAGUAGAAGAAUCACUAGCACUAUGGGUUAACAGUUUAUAGCAGCUCGUAUCGAAUAAACUCCACAAGGAUCAUGCAGCCAAUACCACAUAUCAGACUCUCUACGGUAGCUAAGAGGAAUUUGCAAGAUCAGCUCUUUAUCUCUUGAAUUAAAAAGGUUAGAAAUAAUAUCUAAAUCCCAUCGUCUUUGGUUUGGCACCAUCAAGCUACUCACUUUUGCAACAACCAGCUCCUCAUUUAGGUUAGAUGAGAUAAAGCCAUUAUUGAUAUCUGGUAGCCAAGGAUCUUGGCCUAUUAAAACAUUCUACCCGCUUUUAAUUUGAAUUUGGCUUCCACAGACAACAACAUCCUUUGCAGAUAAAAUAGAUCGCCAUACAAAACUCGGAUUGUGCCCUAAUUUGGCUUCAUUAAUAGAAGUUCUCGAAUAAUAGCGAGCCUUUAAAACUUUAUCAACAAAAGAUUCUAGUUUUGUAAGAAGUUUCCAGACCUGUUUGCCAAGCAUAGCGACAUUGAAAGUAUGCAAUUGCUUGAAGCUAAUUCCCCCAAAAACCUUCGGUUUACAUAAGUGCUCCCACUUUAUCCAAUGAAUUCCCCUACCACCAUCGCUUUUGCUGCCCACUAAAAGGAAUUCAUCAUAACUUCCAGCUCCUUGCAUAAGUCAAGAGGUAAGAGAUAGACAUUCAUGGCGUAAUUAGGCAUUACCUAGGCCACCGUUUUCAGCAAGAUUUCCUUCCCAGCUCGAGAUAACAUUUUGGAAUGCCAUCCUUGCAGCCUUUGUUGAACUUUGUCCCGAAUAUAAUUAAAGACAACUUUUUUCUUUCGACUAAUAUAAGAUGAAAGUCCGAGAUAAGCUCCAUGAUCUUCUGUAGCAUUGACAUCCAGGGUUCCAUAAAUCUGACUAACAAUACUAGCAUGCACAUUAGCACUAAAUGAAAUGGAUAAUUUAGUAAAAUUUACCAACUGACCAGAAGCACAUCCAUAGGUAGCUAAAACCUGCUUAAUGAUAGAACCUUCAACUGGAUUUGCUCUAAAAAACAGGAAGCUAUCAUCGGUGAAAAACAAAUGAGACACCACUGGAGCCCUUCAAACAGCUCUCACCCCAUGAAGCAAACCAAGCCUCUCAUAUCUCUUGAUCAAAGAACUGAGUCCCUCUGCGCAUAAAAUGAAAUGAUACAAAGACAGUGGAUCGCCUUGGCGUAGACCCCUGCUUGGCAUAAUUGGACCUACCUCCCUACCCUCACAAUGCACACUGUAACUAACUGUUGUCACACAAUGCAUGAUUAAGUUCACCCAUUUAGCAUCAAAACACAGUUUAAGCAUCAUAUCCUGAAGAAAACCCCACUCGAUCCUAUCAUAUGCUUUAGACAUAUCGAUCUUUAGAACAACGAUACCAUGUUUUCCUUGCCUCUUCCUCUUCGAAAAGUGCAUAAUUUCUGCUGAGAAAAUUAUAUUAUCGGUAAUUGCAUGACCGGGAAUAAAUGCACUCUGAGAGUCUGAAACAACCGAGUCAAGAACUAAUUUCAUGGGAUUAGCUAGCAUCUUGGAGACUAUUUUAUAAAGCAUAUUACAAAGUGCAAUCAGCCUCAUCAACCACAGCAGGAAAUACUAUUUGAGCAGUAGCGGAUCAAGGUAUGCAACGACCAGAAGUGUCAUGAUAAAGGGUCAUGGUCUCGGAUCUGACAACACCUGAGGCCGCUGUUUCUUCGGAAUAAGGACAAUAGAUGUGUCGUUUAAUCAUACAGGGAAAGAACAAUUAUGAAUAAAAGAUAGGUAAGCCGACACCGCAUCCUCACUACAAUGUGCCAGAAUUUUUCGUAGAAUGUAGGAUUCAUAACAUCUGGACUUGGGGAUUUAUCAGGAUGCAUUUCAAAAAGAGCCUCCUUAACUUCAAUAGCAGAAAACUGAGCCAAAAGUAAAGAAUUCUGCUCACUUGUAACCCUUGUCUCCACACACCGUAAAAUAUCAGCAGUAUGACAACCAUCAGACUUAAAUAAAUUACUAAAAUACUCCACAAUCUCAGCAUCAAUAUUAUUUGAAUUUGAAACCCACUGACCUUGACUGUUGCGAAGAGCCCCAAAAGAAUUUCUCCGUUUUCGUGCUGAGGCCGAAGCAUGAAAAUAACGAGUAUUUCGAUCCCCUUCUUUCAGCCAAAGAGACUUCGAUAUCUGCUUCUAAAAAACCUCAUUGCUAUGGAGGAGCUCAUUAAAUCUGUUUCUUGCCUCAGUAAAAGCAACCACGCCAUCCACGUCACGACGCCCUCUCAAGGAAGCCAUUUAUUGCUUACACUCUAAUUUUCAUUUCCGAAAGUCCUGAGCUAAAUGCCCACCCCAUACCAGCAAAGCAUUACCACAAACCUUAAUCUUUUGCUGAAUAUAAAUAUUUGUAGAGGAAGCCCAGCUAGAUCGAAUAACAUCAACACGCCCAACGUCACGCAGCCAUAAGUUCUUAGAGCGGAAUCGGCUAUGUCUGUAUACAUGUAAAUUCGGAUUGGGAUCCAAUAAAAUUGGCAGGUGGUUGGAGCAAGAAGAUUUCAAACUACAAACUUUCGCUCUAAAAAACUGUCGAAGCCAGGCAUCAGUAGCAAACGCUCAAUCAAGUCUUUCCUCAACCCAAUUAUCUGUGUCCCGAGAUCUCUCCCAAGUGAACUUGUUACCCUCCAUGCCCGGAUCGAUCAAACCACAGUCUAUAAUUGCACUGUUGAAACCUAUCAGCUUCCAGUUUGGGUGUUUAUGUCUGCCUCGCUUUUCAUUAGCCGCCAACAAAUCAUUAAAGUCGCCAAUACAAACCCACGGCAAAUAGAAAGAGGUAGACAACAAACGAAGUAAAUCCCAGGAUGCCCGACGGUGGCUAGAUUUAGGGUAACCAUAAAAGCCCGUGAUUCUCCACCUUCGUUGGUCAGCCAAUUCAACUUCUGUAUCAAUAUAAUUCGUUACAUAACUAAGCAAAUUAACAACACAAGAUGCGUUCCAUAAGAGUGCAAUCCCACCACUGCGGCCCACUCUAUCCACAACAAAAAGCCCAUCAAAACCCAACUUCACUUUAAUGCUUUCUAAUUUAUUUUUACUGCAUAAUGUUUCAAUUAAAAAAAUAAAACAAGGCUUCUUACUACAGACCAAGUCCACCAACACCUGAACUAUCCAUGAGUGGCCCAACCCACAGCAGUUUCAAUUCAAAAUACUCAUUGGGUUCGGUGGGCCUGGAGUACAGGUCCCACCGCUGGUUAUUUUUUGCCACUUCAAAUGUGUCAUUUGUUGUUGAAAACUCCUGACCUAGGCCCAUAGUAAUGUGAAGCCCAUUUAGAGAUCUUCUUCGUUUUAAAUAGUUGACAAUAGGGCCAUUCUCAAAAUCCUUAUCACUUUCCAUAUCACCAUCUACAACAACAGCUGUCCCACUCGAUGAAUUCUCUAUUAGUUGAUUCCCAAUGGGUAAUUGUUUAUCAACUACCUUAUUGGGAGCCAUGUUUCCCAUGUUUUUGCCACCAAUAAAGGGCUUAGGUAAAAUAACUCCGGAUAUUGUGGCAUUAACCGAAUCAACUAACAUGGCAACAGCUUGAUUCAUGCUCCUUCCUUUAACUGCCUCAACCGUUUCCGGUGGUCCCUGGCGCAGCCACCGUUUGUCGAAAUUCAUCACAGUUCUUCUAUUUGGUGCCUUCAACCAAUGUCCACAAACUGGCACAAUUUCUCCUUUUGGGCACUUAUACAAUUUGGGGCAUUGUUUUUCAGUAUGCCCAAGCAAGCCACAGAUGAAGCAAAAAAAAUUAAGCCUCUCAUACUUAAAAUCAAUCCAAAUCCAAUCGCGUCCUACUUUCUUCAAUUUCAUCCUGUGCUUAAGAGGUUUUCUUACAUCUAUGGAUACACGAAUGCACAUAUAAUUGCGCCAGACUCCCAUCAAAUUAUUUUCAUCCGAAUCCAAGAAAGUACCAAUGUAAUUCCCAAUGUCUUUCAAGAUUUUCUCUGACAUAAAUCCAAUUGGUAAAUUAUAGAUCUGUAUCCAGAGGGAAGUAAAAAACAAUGGAACAUUUUGUGGUUACUUAUCUUCCUCCAGCUGCUUUACAAUCAAGAUAUGUUGAUCAAAAGUUCAUGGUCCCGAUUCCAACACCCUAUUAACAUCAAUCUCAUGGAAGAAUUGAAAGAGGAACAAUGUUGGUGAUAAGUCUUUGAUGCACACUCCUUUGCCGGGACGCCACAACGACGCCAUUGUGUUUUUCAUGGCAGCAAAAUUUAUCACUUUGUCUGUAAAAAAUCUGCCAACCAAGCAAAAAAGGAGAUCAAAUUUCCCCUAACCACCGUCAUCCCCCUCAUCCCCCGUGACUAUCAAACCUCCUUCCUCCUCCUCGUCGAUGGACAUGCUAGCAUAAUCACUAUUGAUAGCGGUUUCCAGUGAUUCAACGUUGGUGGCCAUUGCAUGAAAUCAAAGAAUGCAAACAAUAUUUGGGAUAGAACAAAUAUUUUGAGAAUUAUAAAUUAACUUGUCCUAAAGACAAGACAAAACACAACUUGUCCCAAAGACAAGACAAAAUCGUUUGUGGAGAAAGUUUAUAAAAAAAAAAUGUAAGUUAAUUAAUGAACUAGACUUUGCAAAUUUUUAUGCGUUACUGAUUAACUAAUUCUUUUCAUCGAUUCUAGACUCUAGAUUCUCAUUUAAGCAUGCAAAGGACACCUGCAGGAUUGACAUCAGUUUAUUCGGAACAUUUCACUAAUUAAGUUAUUUCAUAUAAUUGGAAGAUGAAGAUGAAAUUUCUAAAAGAAAAUCUCCUGGAUACUUAAUUCCCUUUGAUCACGUCCAAUUCUAACACACUAAAAGUGUGCGCAUCGCGUUUUUCAGCGACUUCUAUAGUGUAGGAGCGCCAGUUCUGCAAAUUGAAAGAUUAAUACGCAAAUAUAGGUCCUUUUUUAGGAUUGAGGUGCUAUAACUUUUAAACUAUAGCUGCUAUGGGAAAAAAGUUGUAACUAUAAAAUGAAAAUUAAUAAUAUGUAGUAAAUGUAAAUUUUAAGUAAUAAUUUUGACAAAAUUAUUAAAGAUAUAAGAGAUUUUCUCUUAUACAAGUGAAAAAUCAUAUCAAUAUAGCUUCCAAACUACAGUAGCUAGUGUUUACCAAACACUUUAGUGUUGUAACUUUUACGCUACAGCUGCCCAACUUCAAUCCCAAACGCACCCAUAAUCAUCUUAAUUUGUAACACCAAGAUAUAUAUAUAUAUAUAUAUAUAUAUAUAUAUAUAAACACUUUAGUGUUGUAACUUUUACGCUACAGCUGCCCAACUUCAAUCUCAAACGCACCCAUAAUCAUCUUAAUUUGUAACACCAAGAUAUAUAUAUAUAUAUAUAUAUAUGUGUGUGUGUGUGUGUGUGUGUGUGUGUGUGUGUGUGUGUGUGUGUGUGUGUGUGUGUAAAUUUUAGAGUUUGGUAAAAAAAUCAAAAUCAAAAUCACUUUUGUGAAAAUAAGUCCCUCCUACAGCUGAUUUUAAAAAGAAAGAAAAGAGAUGCUUUCAGAUUUUGAUUUUGAGAACUAAUUUUAUCCUUUAAUACAAUUCCAUAAAUAUCCUUACAAUUAUUACCCAAACCUAAAACUUCCCUCAUUCAAAUUGGAAAUAAAAUUAAUAUUUUAAUAAAUAUUUAUUGUAAUUCACACAUUCCCUUUGUUUACUCUAUUUCUUCUUUAUAUUUUACCAUUCCAUUAAAAGUUCUCUAUGGCAAAUAGGCAAGAUAGAGUAUGUCUUUCAUCGCCUUUUAACUAAAUUCAUGCAUAUUUAAUGCAAUUGAUUGGUGUAAUUCUUAAUAUAAUAUUUGUUUGUUUAUUUUGUUUGGAAUUGUUUAUUUCUAAAAGAUUUCAUGCAUGUUCAAUUGCAAUGUUUAUAAUUUUUUAUGCCGCCAGUCGAUGGUUCAAGUAUAUGAACUAUGAGUGUUUGUGAUUUUUAGUUUUUACGUCAUUUGUCAAUUCUUAACAAAUUAUUUUCUAUAAUAUUAUUGAUUGUCUUUUUUUUUUUUACUAUAUAUUUUAUCCGCCAUUCAUUUUCUUUUUUGUUCAUUAUAAUUUUUAAAGUAAUAUUUGUGUUAAAAUAUAUUUGCAAUGAUGGACAAACACUAGGAACUUAUCAAUCAAACUGAAACUAAUAACGCACCACGAGGUACGGCUAUAUGGAAUAGUGAGACUAUCAAUUUUUUUUAAUUCAUGUAUAAAAGUAGAUGAAGGACUUCACCCUGGGACCAUUUUACUAAACUAGAAUGGGAAAAUUUGGUCAAAAUUUUUUGUAAAGCAAUGGGAAGAGAAUAUAAUAAAUUACAAUUGAAAAAUAAAUGGGAUGCACUAAAUAAUAAUCGGAAAUUAUGGAAAGAUCUUAUUGAAAAGAAAACUGAUCUAGGAUGGAAUAUACAAAAGAAAAUAAUUGAUGCAUCUCCGAAAUGGUGGCAGAGUAAAUUGAAGUUAUUUCUGGGGUUGAGAUUGGAGAAAAAUAAUGGUUGUUUGCUACUCAACUUUUUAAUCGUAAAGAGAAAAGGGGGAUGUUUACAACCAUGAAAGAACCUCAAAUUAUGCUUAAUUGGCUUUACUAUGAGUAAUCACAAAAUUUGCAGUCUUAAAUAUUACUCUUCUCUUUUAACAGUAAUAAGGGAAUUUUUUUUUGUUAUGUAUUUUUUCCUUAUGAUGUUUUAAGGUACAAUUGGCUAUUUAAAUACUGACAGUAAGUUAUUAUUAGUUUUGAACGUUUGUCAUAUAUUUUUUAUUUAUUUAUUUUUUAUUCAAGCUAGAUGAUAUGGGUUUAAAUUAUUGAUUUCAGGUUUUGUUUAUAAUAUGGGCUAGCCAGAUGUCGAGUAGGAGUUUGACAGCAGUACCGUAUCCACUUUUAUGAUGCACUGACAAUAUUAUGAACAUGUUUUUAUAACACUAUAAAAUAUUUGACAACUUUGUAAAACAAUGGAAAAGAUAAUUUAUAACAUUGUAAAAUUGGUUACGAAUUUUUUUAAAAUUUGAAAUUCCUGAACAUGAGAACGACUCUUAUAAUAAGAAUUUAUAAUAUUUUCACCUUUUUUUAUAAAAUUUAUAUUUAUCCACACUAUAGACAUCAAAAAAGAAACUCUUAGAUAACUUGAGAGAUAUGAGCCUAUGGGUUCGAUUGAUAUAGAUUUUCAAAUAGAGUUUAUUUCAGUAAACCUUUUGUUAAUAAAGCUUUUAUAAGUAGAGAUUUCACCCCAAAAAAAUAGUUGUUUGGUUGGUAAUAAAAGAUUUUAUUAAAAAUUAUAAAAUUACUUUAAUAGACAAGUUUUUAAAAGUUAUGUCAUAAGAGGAAUGAAAUAAAAUUGUUAAAUAAGUAGGAUGUUUUAGACCUUUUAAUUUUUUUAAAAAACUUUUCAAUCUCUACUUUUAAAAGUACAAAAUUUGAGCUUUUACUAGUAUAUGUAAAAUAACUUUUUUAACCUUUAAAAGCUCUACUAAAAAAAUAACUAAAUAACCAAGAAAAAUAAAAAAGAGCUUAUGAGAUUAAAUAAGUUCCUAUAACCAUUAAAUAAGUCAUACAAAAUGGACACCAUAUCAUAUUAGAAAAAAUCCUUAACCGACAAAAUUACAGGCCAACAACAAAUCCCAACCACCAUCCUGGAAAAAAAAAAGAAUUCAUAACAAUCACCAUAAUCCUAUCUGACGCCAUAUCGGCGGAUGAUGUCACCAAUAAUAAUUAUAAUGAUAAAACUAUUAAAAAAAAUUAUGGUGCAGUCAACUGCCAUGCCUGGCGGGUUCGCUUGUGGGUUCAAAGCCGCUGUCCGAGCCGUGGUGGAUGCCGACGCAUUUCAUAAUUUAUCUCUACUUCUUUCCCUUACAGAUGGAAAAUGGUAAAUUUUCAAAUUGUUUAUCUUUCUUUUUUUGGUUUUUAUUAUUGCAUAACUUUUAAAUGUUUGCCUAAUUCUUGUUUCAAAUUAGCUGGCAUGUUUAAAUUUGUUGCUUUACUGAGCUUAAUGUUCAAUUUGUAUGAUCACAAGCGAGGGAUCCUGUGAUCUUUAUUAAGCUAAAAUUUUUGGCUUAAUGUUCAUAAGAAUAUAUCUCUUUGGAUUCUAAUACGAAGCUGGUUUAGCUGUUCAAGUAGACCAGUUAGUUUUAAGUUGUUAAUUUUGGAUAUACUUAUGAAGAUGGGGCAUCUAUAGCCGACUCUUCUCCAUUUAGAACCUUCUCUUUGCUCUUUUCUAGUUAAAUCUUUACUUAUCUUUCAGUUCUCAAACUUAGAUGGCGUUUGUUUUUUUAUCUGAAAUCUGAAUAAAUCUUAAUUUUGAAUAGAAUUAAAUGUCUGAAUCUAAUUGAUAUGUGUGUUUUUUUGUUUGAAUUGCUAAAAACAAAUAUUAGGUUAUUUGUUUUUUAACUUAAAAAAUCUGAAAAUUAAUAUUUUUACAUUUGUACCCUUACAAAUUAUAAAAACUAAAGUAAUAAACAUCUCAAAAAACUUAAAUAAGAUAAUAUAUUAUCAUAAUAUGAAUCAUAUUUAAUUAAAUACAACCCUUUAUAUUCUAAAUUAGUAUAUGUUAAUCAAUUUUAUUGUAGCUCAUGAUGUUUUUAUGUGAAAAUAUUCAUAAAAAAUUAUGAAGAUAGAUAAUGCUAAUUUGAAGAAAACAAAAAGAUAAAAAUAAUAAUAGUCUAUCACUAUAUUGUCACAAGUUAUACAAAUUGGUAAUAAUGUUGAUUAUUAAAUUUUAUUUAGGUAAUGAUGAAAAUUCUUUAAUUAGGUAGGGAUAUUUUAGAUAAUAUCUUUUAACGAUAUCAUUAAGACUUUUUAGAUUAAGUAAAAAGAUAAAAAAAAUUGGCUUAAUAACUUAAUGACUCAAUGACUUAAUGACUAAAACUUUUCAUUGAGUUGAAAAAAAUGGACUUAAUAGCUUAAUUAAUUAAAAUUAAGUCAAGUAAGUUAUUAGGUCAAAAAAACAAAUAGCCUCUUAGAUAGUAUUCAAAUUUAGAAAUUGAAUUUCUGUUGUACAUAGAGGAAAAAUUUACUGUGUUUAUUAGCUGAGGCUUAACAAUCUGAAAAGUCAAGUAAACAUUACUAGUAGUUUAUUCUUAUGGAAAUUGGAACUGUAUUCAGAAUGAUGUUGCGGCUACUAAAAGGUUCUAUUAUGUUUUUCAUCAUUUUGUUUCCGUGAAGAUGGAAAAUGAACUCAUUUGGUUUUUGUGAUGUUUACUGAUUCUGCUUGUAAGAAGGGGAAAAAAAACUAGUUUGCAUGAGAAAUUGUAAUACCCAAAUUCUCAUAAGGAUUUUUUAGCCAUUUCCAAGCCUUAAUAGUGAGAAUUUAUAAAUAAAUCAAGGUAUUAGAAGCAUAAGCAUGGAUUAAAGAAAGGAACCAUUCAUACACUGGUUAUUAGAGCAGUUUAAUAUGUGAUGUUUGUCAAUUUCUUUAGGAAUUUUUCUCUUAGAAACCAAAAACAAUCUUUAAGUCAACAGUUCGAAAACUUUCCUUUUUUUCAAAUGGGUGGUUCUUGUUCAUAUGCCUGGGAUUCAGCGUCUAUAAAUAUAUUCUCAAAAAGCAGCAAGCUGCAGAGUUAUUUUACUUUAUUCCGAAUUUUUUUAUAUAAUAUUUAAAAUUUUCUUCUAGCAGGCAUAGACUAGGAAAAUCCCCUUCAAAUCUUAUAAAUCAAAGCUGGGAUUCAGGUGUGACCUGUGCACGACUAAAAAAAGAGAACUGAGCAUGAAUGGCUUCUGUCAAUUUCAAACCUGCCUUCAUUUGAUUUGGAAAUAACUUUUUGUCAUGCUCCUGUACGUCAAUGAUGCAGUCUGUCCUAAGUUUGCAACCCCAUGUUAGUCCAUGGUGUAUGCUUCAAAAAUAAAUUUUAGGUUGUUUCUUUAAACUCUAUUCCAUGUUAGCAAUCUUUUGUCAUGUCACUUAUUUACUGUACGUUUCUUAAACAGGAAAACGGGGUGUAACAAAUUGGAAAUAGUUAUGUCACAUGUUCGACUUUUGGAGCAAACUGUGAAGGGCAGCACAUUGGUACGACAGCGUGAUGGUUGAUCACUCUUUUCCCCUAGCCACCUCCAUAAUAGCAAGUGGUAGGCCCAGUAGUUUACAGUGAGCCGUGAGCCGUGUCAUGCACCGCUUGGAGAAAAGGAAAAAAAAAAAGAAGCCAAACGUGGCAACCUUCAAAAGCACUUGGUCAUGCAUGCUUGAAGCGGUGUGAAGCGGUGGCAUAUAUAUAUAUAAAAAAUGCAACCUUUUGAUAAUUGCUUCAUUUACCAAAUUGGAGAACCGAGAGCAAAAACAGAGCAAGACCGAGAGCAGAAAAGAAGAGAAACCGAGAGAAAAGAGAAGAGAAAAGAGAAGAAAAAGAAAAAGAAAAGAAAGGAAGAAAAGGAAGAUGCCGAGAGUGGGGAAGAGAGAAAUUGAAAGGAAAAGUUACUGAAAAAUAGAAUUGAAUAGUUAGAUUAAAAUCUAGUAACUUAGUGGGUAAUAGAUUUAUGAAGUUUGAACAAUUAUGUUAUAGUUUACAUGACACACAUAAGUUUUAUAAUAGUUCUAAAAGUAAUUUUCUAAUCCUGUAUUUUAGGAGGAACUCGAGAAUCCGAGAACGCACAAGAGCUCCAACGAACCCCAAAGCGAAACAUGAUUUAUGAGUGGACACUAUUAAUAUUAUUAUAGAUUCCGUGAAAUAUUUAUAUUUGAUAUUAUGUUUUAAUAUCAUGUUAUAAUUACAUGUAUACAUAUUAUAUGUUUGAUUGAGUCAUGAGAUGUAAUUGCCAGUCACCAUCUAUGUACCCUUCCUUAUAGGCUCUGCGCAUAAGUAUUGGGAAUUAGGUUACUCUACCCGUGCGAGAUAGUUUAAUUACACCGGGUAUUGAGAGGUGUUUUCCCCGCUCUACUCGUGCGAUGAUGUUCCCGAAAAAUAUUGAGAGUUAUUCCCCUGGGUACUAUUUGGUGCAACUUAUGAUGUAUGUAUGUAUGAAUUUCAUAUCUGCUGAUGUAUGAUAUUCAGUGUGGAGUUAUGUCGCAUGAUUAUGUAUAAGCAUUAGUACACAUAUGUUAUUAUUAUUAUUAUUAUUAUUAUUAUUAUUAUUAUUAUUAAUAUAUAUAAUUACAUCCACUCACUGAGCCGCAAGUGCACUAUUUUCUUAUUUACCCACUUCCUCCCAGGUUUCCGCAGGAUUUCGUGCAGACCAAUUUCUAGUCAGUUGAGGUUGGGUCACAAGACGCAUUACUGAAUAACUUGCAUUUUGAGCACAUUUAUGUUGCUUAUGUUUAUAUAGUUUCAGUGUAAGUAUGUAUAGUAAGACAUGAACUGUGCAAGUUUUGAAUGUAUAUUUUCGGAUGAGACAUAGGGGUUAUUAUGUGCUUAUAUCAGAGACCAUGUUUAUAUAUGUAUAUAUUCAUGAAUUAAAUUUGUGCCAUGAGUUUUAGUAUUAGUCCACACGAUUCACCUCAAAUUCGACAUGUAGGUCGGGGUGGGUCGUGUCAAGCCGCCUGAUAUUAUUAUACUUUUUUGGGAUGGAUACCGUAAGAGCCAGCUCGCACGGUAUAGCUUGCUGUUACAGCCUUAAAACUCGAGGCACACCAAUGCUUGGCUUGCGGCCUUGUGCCAAGCAUAAUGAGGCAGCGGACGUGCGAGAAAACAAGGCAAGUCUGCAUGCGGGCUGGGGCGUGGCAGCAUGCGAGAUAUGUGCAAGGCAGCGCACAAGUGCUUCGAGGGUAUAGCGCGCACACAAAUGCGCACGCUGAUGGGCAGCGGGCGAGCGUAAGCAGUCCCAAGCAGCAUGCGCGCGCACAAAGCGUGCCAGGCAGCGCGCACGCGCACGCUAACGGAUAGCGGACAGGCGCGCCAAUGGAGUGCACAUGCACAGAACAUGUGCCACACACAAGCAUCAGGCCAAGGGGAUUGUUGGAGCAAUUCUUAGUGGCGGCGGCCCGCCACUACAUGGGCACUACCUAAAAUGGGGAUCUUGUCUAAGUGGGGAUGGUCCGCCACUAUUCAAUGUAUCCUAAAUAAUAGUGUAUGGGCAAAGCACUUAGGUAGUGGGCUUAUUUGUUUAUGUGUGCUGGUGGCAAAUAAGGCAUGGGUUGGGAAUACUCUAUACUAUCCUAGUAAGUGGGGUUGUCACUUACAGUGAGUGGUAUUCUCCAAGCACUCUUGUUGGAAGCUAUUUGUAGUUCCUUGUUCUUGAUUAAUAAGAAAAGGUUUGAAGUCGGUGCUUCCGUAAAUGUCGUGUGCCUUGUGUUUGUGUUUCGUUUGUUGUAUCGUUGAAAAUCUUGGGGUGUGUUGCACACACAUAGCCUCCGUUGCGAAUUGUCGAGUGGCUGGCUAAGCGGGAAACUUAGCGCCAUCACGGGCUUGCCGCAUCGAAGAAAAUAGCCUUGUGACACUUGCCAUGAUUGACAUGGUUCCAGUUAGCACCUGGGUGGUUCGAACUAACUUAUUCAUCUUCCCCAAACCAAAUUAUGAAUAAACUCACUAUUUUAAGGAGGAAAACUUCAUUUAGGUAGUUGUCUGAGCUCCUCGGAAACUUUCAUAUGUAUAUUUCUUUGAGAGAUGUAUAUUUGGAUGUUAUCCACUGCUUCCUUAAAUUAUUUAGCUGCGGAAGAUGAUUAAUCGAAUAGGUUAUUUUUUAGUGCUAAGUUUACUGGCAGAGAUGGGUUGCAUAAUAAUGGGUUUUGUGGUUCAAAAAUAUAUAGAGCAUCUGGGAUACGAAAUGAAGGUAUUAAGGUGUUUUGCUUUCUUAAUUGGUAUUUUCUUGGGUUCUGGAUUUCAGUUCCUUUGCAUGAUUUUAUUUUUUAUUUUUCCCUCAAGUUAUACUUCUCCAUUUUUUUGUUAAAAAUUCCAGACCGUGGCAUUCAAUUGUUAAGUAAGGAACAUUAUCAGACAACUUCGAAUAUGUAAUAAAAACUUUAAAGAUAUGGUAACAUAUUUGAUAAUGCCUAAUAUCACGUACUUGAAAUUCCUUUAAAGAGAAGUUUUGCAUAUUGUUAUAGAGCAUUUCUUCGUCCAGGUCAUGAUAGUAGACUGAUGGUUUUAACUGAACUGGGGAGAGGAAUUGAGGGUGAAAUUUUGAAAGCAGGCAAUGGUAUUGGAGUGACGUAUCAAAAACACUGUUAGAUAAUUAAAUCACAAACUAUGUAAGGAGAGAAAGAUUUUAUUCACAAGAUGAAGAAGAUACAUCUAGUCAAGGGGACUUACAAGCCUUAUCCCUUUUGAUUUGGUAAAAUCUCGAACAAGAUUGUGAUGUGGUGAAAGUAGAAAAUGAUUGAAAAGUACAGGACCAUUUACUUGGAAAUAUAAACAAUUCAAUAAUAAAUUUUACAAACUAGACUAAAUCUUUAACAAUUGAGACACUUUCUGCAUGGUUGGUCUGGAUUCUGGACUCUCAUCCAAACAUGAAAUAGCGACUUCUAUGAUUGAUAUCAAUUUGUCCCGAAUAUUGCAUGAUGGGGUUGGAAGCCGAGGAUCCAAUAUUUCAUCAAGUGCUAUGUCCAAGUUUGAAGAUGAAGAGCAAAUUGAGGAAAUGAAAUCUCUUGGAUGCUUUCCUUUUAUCACUUCCAAUGCUAAAAUUCCAAAGCUAUACACGUCGCACUUUUCAGUAACUUUCAUUGUGUAUGCGAGCUCUGAAAGGGAAAAAUAAAAAUAAUUUUUUGUAACGUGGAAUCUAGUUAAUAGAUAUUAGUUAGUAUAUUGUACAUGUUUGAACAACAAUAUAUGUACCUGGUGCAACAUAUCCAAAUGUGCCUACAAGUUCUGUCCAAUUGGAUGAGUCUGGCUUGAGAAACUUGGCAAUUCCGAAAUCUGAAACAUGAGCUUCAUACUCCAAAUCCAACAACACAUUCUUGCUUGAUAUGUCUCGAUGAACAAUUGGAGGGAAGCAAUCGUUGUGCAAGUAAGACAAUGCAUCAGCUACACCUUUUAUCACAUUCAUUCUUUGUGUCCAGCCCAAUUCCUUUGCUGCUGCGUCAUUGCUGAGGACCAUGGCCAAGCUACCGAUUUCAAGAUAUUCAUAAACUAAAAAUGAGUGUUGGACAUGUGAACAAACGCCGUAAAAUUUCACAAUGUUACGAUGCCGUAUCUCAGUCAAUGCCUUGACUUCAUUCAUGAAUUCUUGUUGAUAUGUCAUCUCACCUGGGAGUGGCGAAUGAAAUUUCUUGACUGCAAUGAUUUCUCCAGAAGGUAGAUUAGCUUUGUAUACACUUCCUUGUCCACCUUUUCCAAUGCAGUGCUCAUCAUCAAAACCAUUCGUUGCCCUAAUGAUUUCUUCGUACACGAUUUUUCCUUCAAAGGUUAACACUGAAAGAAAUCCUCGAGUACCUCUAGGGCUACUCUGUAGUGUUUGUAAGGCAUUUUUCCUUCUUCGGAAAAUAAAGAACAAUGCAAUCAAAGAAAUCAAAAGAGCAACAGUCCCUAAGAGAGGGAAUACAAUAACAACCCAAAUCUUUCUCGAAGCUGGUUUGUGUGACUUGGAUGCUUUACAAGAUUGAAAUCCUUUGAUAUCUCCACACAAUCCUUCGUUCCCUUGUAAUGCUUCCAUCGGAGCAUCGCUGAAGGCUGUGCUGUUAGGAAUCGGUCCAUGUAACUCAUUGUAGGAUAUGUCAAUAUACAAAAGACCAUUCAUUUCCUCAAAGCAUCUUGGAAUGAAAUCAGAAAGGUUAUUGUGGGAGAGGUUCAACAUUUCUAGGCUUCGCAUAUUGCAGAUUUGAGAUGGUAUUUCUUUUCCGAGAAAGUUAUGACUCAAAUCUAACUCUGAAAGAUGAAUGAGCUUCUCCAAUUUGAUUGGAAUUUCUUGAAUGAACUGAUUGGUGCUCAAGUUCAAGUAAUGCAGUUUAACCAAGUUACCAAGACUCCUUGGAAUUGAAUUGCUUAAUCUAUUCGAAGAUAAGUCAAGGUACUCGAGUUGAAUGAGUGAGCCGAGUUCUGAAGGCAGCUGUCCAAAAAGUUGAUUCCUUCUUAAGAUAAGCUUGAUAAGAGAACUAAGCUUGCCAAUUUCUGAUGGAAUCUUGCCAAUAAUAUGAUUUGCAGAAAGAUCAAUAACGUGUAAUUGAGAUGAGUCUCCAAUCUCAGGAGGUAGGCUGCCAAUAAUAUUAUUUACGGAAACAUCAAAAGUGCCUAAAUUUGGGCAUUUUCCCCAAUCAGACGAGAUUUGACCAUAAAAGUUAUUGUGGCUAAGAUCUAUGAAAGUUAACUUUGGAUGAAUACCGAAAGAUUCAGAUAUAUUACAAGUGAGAUGGUUUCUGUUGAGACGUAGUCUUAUUAGGUUUGUCAAAUUUCUCAAAUUAGGAAUUGAACCUCGUAAUUAGUUAUCGCUUAAAGUUAGCAUAGUUAAUUUCACUAGGUUUCCUAAUUCUUCAGGAAUAACACCAGAAAGUGCAUUAUCGUAAAGAGCCAAGAGAGUCAUGUGAGUUAAAUUACCCAAAGAAUGAGAGAUUGAGUUACUGAGUUUAUUGUCACCCAAUUGUAGCUCGAAAAGAGACUUUAAGUUUCCAAUUUCUCUUGGGAUUGAACCUAAAAGUGUAUUGCUAUGAAGAUACAAGAUAGCCAAGUUGGUCAAGUUACCCAAAGAAUGAGGGAUCGAGCCACUAAGUUUAUUUUCGCUUAAAUCUAGAUUGGAAAGAGACUUCAAAUUUCCUAUUUCACUUGGAAUUGAACCAGAAAGUGAAUUUUUAUAAAGAUAAAAGGCAGCCAAGUUGGUCAAUGAGGGAUUGAGCUACUGAGUUCAUUGUCAGCCAAUUCUAGACCGGAAAGAGACUUUAAGUUUCCUAUUUCACUUGGAAUUGAACCAGAAAGUGAAUUUGUAUAAAGAUACAAGGUAUCCAAGUUGGUUAAGUUACCUAAAGAAAGAGGGAUUGAGCCAUUAAGUCUAUUUUCACCUAACUCUAGAAUGGAAAGAGACUUCAAGUUUCCUAUUUCACCUGGAAUUGAACUAGAGAAUGAAUUAUUACGAAGAUACAAGGUAUCUAAGUUUGUCAAAUUACCCAAAAAAAGAGGAAUUGAGCCACAAAGUUUAUUGUUGCCCAAUGCUAGAGAGGAAAGGGACUUCAAGUUUCCUAUUUCACUUGGAAUUGAACCAGAAAGUGAAUUAUUAUGAAGAUACAAGAUAGCUAAGUUAGUCAAGUUACCCAAAGAAGGAGGGAUUGAACCUUUCAAAAAGUUUGAGGUCAAAGCAAGUUCGUUUAGAGAGCUUAAUCCCCCUACUUCAUGAGGAAUCGGGCCACUUAGUUGAUUCUUGAACAAGUGAAGGGCCUCGAUAUAACUUAGGUGGCCAAUUUGUGGUGGUAUUCUUCCAGAAAAUUGAUUAGCGGAUAAAUAAAGGAACUUGAGCAUGGAAAGGUUACCAAUUUGAGGCGGGAUGGUACCAGAAAACGAAUUGGAUGACAAGUCAAGGUACUUGAGUUUUGAAAUGUUACCAAUUUGAGGAGGAAUGAUUCCAAAGAUUUGAUUGACCUGAAGAUCGAGAUACGCAAGAUGAGGAAAUGAUGAGAAUGAGAAAUCAUGAAGCGUACCUUUUAAACCUACACUUGUGAGGUUAAUACUAUUGACUCUUCCAGCAUGGUUGCAAUGAAUUCCAAACCAAGCACACGGGCUUAUUUUGGUGGCAUUAUUAAGAGUCCAUGAAGGCAGGAGCGAUCCUUUAUCAUGAUUUUGUAGGCUAGUUUUCCAUUUGAGAAGAGCAUGGACUUCUUCCGUAGAAUUAGAAUAAACAAUUAGUGGGAAAUCUAAAACGGGAAAUAAGAUCAGAAAAAAGAGUGAGAAAAUUACUAAACUAAUUUUCAAGUUUGGUAACACCAUUGUGCAAUAGAAGAUCAACUACAACUUGAUAAUUAUAGAAACAGUAAAGAACAAUUAAAGAUGAAAACAAUAAGAAUUGAAGAUUAGCUUAACAAGGCCGAUAGAAAUAAACAUCUAAGAAUGAUCAAAUCUACAAAGAAACAGACUGAAAACCAAAUUUAUAGUAACUAUACAAGAGAGCAAAUGAGUUAAUAGAAUCAAUGACGUGAGCCAACAAGGAAACUGCUCUAACAUAGACUAGUUGCUGUUAGAGAAAAACAAUUGGUUUUUCAUUAAUUUUGUUUGUUAUCUGUCAAUUGCCGCCUUAUUAAUUGUAUAUAUGCUUCCUUGUAAUGAAUGGCAAACGAGGUGUCCACCGAGAGGUCUAAAAAUCAAUGCAUGGCAGCAUGUGUUAAGAUCGGUUAAGUAGGCGAGCAACAUUAAUUGGUCCAUAUGUGUUGCCAUUUAGAUUUUAUAUAUCUUAACUAGUUAUUGGGGACUAAAUAGUACUUUUCUGUCCAAUCAGACCUUUAAUUAUAUGCUUCUUUUGGCUUCAACGGAUAUCUACCAAGAAUAUGAACCGUCACGGUGUUAAUUCCAAGAUGUCAACGUUAGUUCUAAAAAUCAAUGCACGAGGAUUGACGAAGAAAUUCAGUAUUGGUUAUGUUAAUUUGUUAAAUUAAUUCUAUUGUAAUAGCUGAGCGACAUGCUAAAGAAAAAAAAUAAAAUUGAGUCGUGCGGCACAUUUCAAAUUUUUUUAUCAAUGUGUACGGCAGCUUGUGUAUAUAAUAUUAUAGAUAAGAAAAUAAAUGGUCCAAAUGUGUUGGCAUUCAGACUUUAUAUAGCUUAACUAAUGGAGGAGUGAUCAGUCAGAUCAGCCCCGGAAUCAUACAUGUUGCUUUUAGCUUCAACGAAUAACUACAAAGAAUAUGAGUCGUCACGGCAUUACAAAGCGCCAACCUGUCAGUUCUUUAAAAAAAAAAUUGAGUACUGAAAAUCAGUUCUGAAUUUGAAUAGAAGGAUAUGAUAUAAUGAUAAUAAAAAAAUUAUAAAAUCAUACAGUAUUGUGGUGUUAAGUAAAAAAAUUAAUAUUAUUUGUUAAAUAACGCUUUAUUACUGUAAGAUUUUAUCGUCGUUGUGUUACUAUUAAGAUUCUUAAUAUUUUUUUUGAAAAAAUUGAUGAACGAGUAUGGACGAGGAAAUAUAAUAUGAUUUGUUCCAUUAAAAAAAAAGAAAAAAAAAAGUAUGAUAAGUUGUGCACAUAGACAACAACCAACUAGAGACAUAGAAUACAUAAUCCACAACAAGUCAUUUCGCUAUCAAUGUUUUGUAGUCCAGAUACUUUUCUUCUAGUUCUCAUGAACUAACUGAAUAUAUAACCCAAAUUUUAAGAACUUUUAAGAAAAAUUUAUCCUUUAUAGAAAGAUCAAAACAAAUUUAUUUACCCAUCACACAAGGAUCCUUAAGUUAUUAAAUUAAGUGAUAAGUUAAAAUACAAGAAAUACACACACUCACAUGAUAAAACGCACUGUAUUAGAGUGCCGUGUUUUACUUUUCUUUUAGUUUGUUUUUUAACUUAAUUACUUAAAGGAUCUCUUAUUAGCUAAUAACUACAAUUUAGAUUGUGUAAAAAAUUAAGUGAUUGACAAGUUGUGUACAUAAAACAAUAAACAAACUUGUGAUAUAAAAUUACAUAAACAAUGACAGGUCCUAUAUCUGUAUCAAAAAUUUAUAAGUAAUGGAAAAGAGUUAUGUACUGCAAAAUAAAAAAAUUGAUAAUUUUUAAAAAGAUAAAAGAAUACUCAUUUUCUUGAAAAAAUGACAUUUACACCUCCAAAGUUUAGGGAAAUUGUCACCAACACCCCCAAGUUUUCAGAAAGGGACACCAAGAUUUGUUUUUACGAUAAUAUCCUUUACCUCUAUUAUAAAAAAAAUCAACUAUAAUGUUUUAUAAUAAAUAAAAAUAUAACACUAAAAUAAAUGCAAUAAUGUAUACAUUGUAACAUAAUUGCAACACUUAAAAAAUAUUUUAGUAUUUUACAAUCUCUUAGAUAUAUUUUAUUAUAUAAAAUUAAAUUUUAUAAUAAAUAGAAUCAUAUUAUUAAAACAAGUUUAUUAAAAUUUAAAUUAUUUUGAAUAUUAUGUAAAAUAAUAAUAACAUCAGUAUGCGAGAUUUUUUUAUUGUAGAAUAUAUUUAAUGCAAAUAUUUAUUUAAAAUAUCUAAAAUAAAUAGAAAUAUAUUAUUAAAUAAAUAUAACAAAUUACAUAUUUAAAUUUAUCAAAAUAUUAAAUUAUUUUAAUAUUCUCAAUGUAUUGCAUAGAUUACAUUAUUUAUAAAAUAAUUCUAUUUAUUGAAAAUUUAGAUUCAAUUUUUUAAAAGGUAUAAUGAUCAAAAAGAGAUCUUUGUGUCCCUUUUUAAAAGAUUGGGGGUGUUGGUGAUUAUUUUCUCAAACCUAGGGGGUGUAGAUGUCCUUUUUCCUUUUUUUUAAAUUUUUUUUAAUUUGUUUGUUGUUUAAAAAAAGAUUGGUGAAUCAAUGUAUUCCUUUUUCAUAGUUGAGAAAAAGAAGUAUACGUCCAAAAUUUGUUGACUUAUAAGCAAAAAAAUCCACAAAAUUAUUUUUUAUAGUCAAAAAAUUUUGUAACGGGCAUACUUUGUUCCGUUUAAGCUUAAUUUUGCGAAAUCAAAACCACAAUUAGAGAUGGAUGCAUUCUACUGAAAUCAAAACCACAUUUUCAAUCAGUUUUCAGAAAAUGAAAUGGAUGCAUUAUGUAAAUCUCCCCAUCAGUUAAGGAGGUCAAGAAGUCAACACUCAAAAGUUUUUCCACAAAGAUUAAUGGACAAAAUUGACCGUCGCCUUUUUAGACCUUGAGCGACUAACCAAUUUGUUUACUGGGCAUUAUCUGUCCGAAGAUGAUGUCUGUGUCGGUAAACGGAAUAGUCGACCAAUUCCAAAUCAAAGCAACAAACUGUGCCUUUCAAUACCCAUUAGUCAUAAUAAUGUGCACUUUGAUAAAGAUAUAACUGCUUCGAUAUAAUAAAUAUAUAAAUGAUAAACAAUAAGCAAAAAUUUUGGAUCUAAAUUGAGAUGGUCUGAGGCGGACCCAUGAUUUUAAUUUACAACAGAAAUAUAAUACGACGCAUUCCAUUAAAAAAAAAAAAAUAAAUAAGUGUGACAAGUAAACAACAAGCAACUUGUGAUGUAGAAUACGUAAUCCAUGACAGGUAAUUUCUCUACCAAUGUUUUGUAGUCCAUAUAUUUUUCUUUGAGUUCUUAUGGACUACCUGAAUGGUUAGCCCAAACUUCAAAAACUUUUAAGGAAAAUUUAUCCCUCACAGAAAGAGCAAAAUAAAGUAAUUAACCCAUCAUAGAGACUAUAUCCAAUUUAAAAAGUAAUGUUACAUAUUAGAGUUUGUGUUUUAUAUAUCUUUUAAUUUGUCUCUUAAAUUGAUAACUUAAGUAAUCUCUUAUUAAAUAAUGACUCAAAUUUAAAUUAUGUAAAAGAUUGAGUGACUGACAAGUUGUAUACAUAAAACCACAAACAAACUUGUGACGUAAAAUACAUAAACCAUGGCAUCAGUAGGUCGUAUAUUUGUAUCAGAAACUUAUAAAUAAUGGCAAAGAUUUAUGUACGGUAAAAUAAAAAUUCUAAAAACUAUUAAAAAAGAUUAAAAAAUUAUUUUCUUAUUCAAAAUUUUUUGAAUUUGAUUGCUAUUUAUAAAAUUGAUUGAUGAAUCAAUGAAUUCGCUUUUUAUAGUUUGAAAAAAAAAUUAUACAUGAAUAAUUUGUGACUUAUAAUAUUGGAUUUUAUGUUGUUUAACUAACUAAUGGGGUUAAUAAUAUAAUUGUUCUGUCAAAUCAGUCCUCGAAUUAUAUGCUUGUUUUAGCUUCAACGAUUAUCUACCAAGACUAUGACGUUCAUUACAAAAUGUCGACAUUAGUUCUAUAAAAUUCAAUGCACGGGGAUUGACAAAGAGAUUUAAUAAGGGUUAUGUAUGUUAAAUUAAUACUGACGUAAUGAAUGACUCGUUCCAUUUUAAAAAAAAAAGAGUGAGAUGUUGCAACAAAAAACCUUUACACAUCUAUUACAUAAUCGCCGACACAGAUCAUAUAUCUCUAUCGAAUAGUUGUAAUUUGUAUGUGAAACUGGGAUAGCAGUAAUUAAAAAAUUCAUAUUGUUAUGUGAUAAAAUGCUAGUAUAACUUAAUGAGUCUAAUAAAUACUUUUGUGCCAAUCAUUAAGAAUUAUCACAUAAUUUACUAUUAUCAUGAUGCGGUGGUUUCAAAUGGUCACUUUUUGGCAAUUCGUUUUGGUAUUAAGCUAAAAGAUAAUGUUGAUGCUGUUGUCCAAAAGGUAAGGCAUUUGGGGUUUUCACAUAAAUUCUUUUGUUAAUUUCUUUGAAUUCAAAAUUUCCUAAAAAAAUAAACAGUUAUUUUAUUCCAUUAUGAAUCUACGAUGGCUGAACGGGUGGAAGGAUGUUGAUUGGUGUUGGGGGGACUUAGCAUAAGAUUUCUAGGUAUCCAACCCAAAAGACUAGUCUUUUAGGUAGAGUGACCUACCACCUUAUAAACCCAAGCAUCUCCCCUUUACUAGUCAAUGUGGGACACAACUCAACAAUCCCCCCCUCGGACGAAACCACCGCCGAACUCUGGUCCUUUCGUCCGACACACCUGAGUUGUUCCACCACCACAUUCCGGCUACUAGGGUCUAGCUCUGAUACCACUUUAAUCCGUGUGUAUUUUGUGCUUGAUCUAUUUGUUAUUCUUGAUUUGUUAGUGUGUUGAUUUCUUCUUGUUUGGUUCUUGAUUAUAAACCAGUGAGUUAAGUGUUCUUGGGGUGGGUUUAGUCUUGAUUGUUAGGGCUUCAAACACAACAAAUUGGUCAGUGCUGGUCAGGUUUGGUAUGAAUGAAUCAAAACCUGUCCAAACACCUUUGGCAAGCCACUUUAAGCUUUCAGCAGCUAUGUGUCCCCAAACAGCUGCAGAACAGCAAGAAAUGUCAAAAAUCCCUUACUCAAAUGCUGUAGGGAGCCUCAUAUAUGCAAUGGUGCUAACCAGGCCAGACAUUUCACAUGCUCUCAGUGUGGUGAGUAGGUUUAUGUCAAACCCAGGGGCUGACCACUGGAGGGCAGUAAAAUGGGUAAUGAGGUAUCUUAGGGGCACUACAGAGUAUGGGCUGUUAUAUGGUGGAACUAGAAAUAAAGGAAAUAUCUUGGUGGGUUAUGUAGACUCAGACUUUGCUGGGGAUCUAGAUAAAAGAAGGUCACUGACAGGAUAUUUGUUCACCUUGGGGGAUGUACAGUCAACUGGAAAGCUACAUUACAGAAUGUAGUUGCUCUGUCAACUACAGAAGCUGAGUAUACAGUAGCUGCAGAAGCUCUCAAGGAAGCCAUUUGGCUAAAGGGAAUGGUUGCUGAACUUGGAACUGAACAAGACUCAGUUGAGGUUUAUUGUGACAGCCAAAGUGCAAUUUACCUCAGCAAAAACCAGACACAUCAUGGGAAGACAAAACAUAUUGAUGUGAAGCUCUAUUUUGUAAGGCUUGAAGUUUCCAGAGGAGCUGUAAAGCUUCUAAAGAUAAAUACAGAGGAGAAUCCAGCUGACAUGCUGACCAAGACAGUACCCUCUGCUAAGUUCAACCUAUGCAUGAACUUAGCAGGGAUUUGUAGGAACUGAAGUUACAAAUCGUGAGGAAGAAAGUUCUGUGGAGUAGCUGGAGUAUUGAGUUCAAGGUGGAGAUUGUGAAAUAUGAACUAAAUACUCAGUCACGACAUGUCAUAUGUUGAGUAUGUGUUAGCACGACAUGUCAUCUGAUAUGCAUUUGAAACAAAACCGACAUGAGCCAAAAUGUCGUUCUUUGUUUAAGUAAAUCACAUGCCUGGCACGUGAGCUGAAGAAACUGGUUUCUCUCUAAAACGACUAAGGAAGAGGCCGUUUUGAGCAUGCUUUAUCAAGACAUGUUGCAAGCACGUGACUGAGGCAGAGACUGUUAUGAUUAGCGGGAAAAGCCGUUGAGAAAGAAUCUAGAAUCAGUUGAUAAAGAGCUGGGGUUCUGGGUUUUUGGUAACAGACCUGAGAAUUGUGAGAGGGCAAGAAAGAAGGGAAUGAGAGAGAGAGUUUCAACUAAACUUGUAAUCUCCAUUUGUGUUUGCUUCUCUGUAAACUCUUGAAAGCAAUAAAGUGAAAUCACAGAGCUUGUUUCCAGUGGAUGUAGGCAUCAUUCAUUUAGUGCUGAACCACUUUAAUCUGUGUGUAUUUUGUGCUUGAUCUAUUUGUUAUUCUUGAUUUGUUAGUGUGUUGAUUUCUUCUUGUUUGGUUCUUGAUUAUAAACCAGUGAGUUAAGUGUUCUUGGGGUGGGUUUAGUCUUGAUUGUUAGGGCUUCAAACAAUUGGGAGUAGCAAGGCUAAGCUGCUCAGAACCAAACAAAGUGGUAUUGCGAGGUUUGGCGCUCAUUUUUUGCAUAUUUACGUAGAGAUGUCAUUGUUUCUUAAAAUUUUGGCUGCGUUUAGAUUGAAGUCGGACAAAAGUUACAACAUUAAAGUGUUUUGGUAAAUAUUAAUUACUAUAGUCUUAAAACUAAAUUGAUUUAAUUUUACACUUGUAUGAUAAAAAUUAAUUAUAUCUUUAUUAAUUUUCAAAAUUAUUAUUAAAAAAUUAUAUUUAUUAUAUAUAGUUACUUUUUUUUUUUCACAACAACUAUAAUUUAAGAGCUACCAAAUGGGGCCUCACUUAAAAUGACUAUAGAUUUUGAACAGGAAGCAUGGAACCACCUUCAGUGGAUUACUUGUUUGAUUUUUGGGUGUGGAUUUCAAAAUAAACUCCUCAAUGCAAACUGGAAUAAUUCGCUUGCUGAUGGAUAACAUAUGGGUGAAAUUAGUUCAAUGUCUAUGAAUGCUCCUGAUGUGAGUGCAGGUUUCCAUGCACUUCAUUCUCUAGGAUAUACCAUGCAUUUUUAAUUAGAAGCUAUGAUCUCUAGGCUAACACUGUCUCAAAGCAGAACUCCGAUGAUAAUAUCUCUUGCAGGACAAUGUUGACACGUAUCAGUUGCUCCUCUAUUCGCACUAUUUCUCCCGUCUGGCAAGGUUAAUAUAUCUAACUUAGUGCAUGUGGAGCUAUUAGGCCUUACUAAGUCCUUGGCAAAGGCAGGGGCUGCGGUAUCCGAUUCUUUUCAGGCUGGCUAUAGCAAGAAUGAUUGAGAAAAUUAUUCCCAAAAUAGUUUCAAAUAUGGGUUCCCUAUUAGUUCCUGGUAGAACAGGAUCAAAGUGUGACGCACAAAUGCACAAUGGUACUGUCUCGACUGCAUAUUACGAGAAAAACGAUGAAACAAACUAAAUCAAAUCGCAAAAGGCUUAAACCUGGUGAGAACCCUAGACCAAGGCCAAAAGAUCGUUAGAUGAUUCAAGAGGGCGUAAAAGAGUUGGGAGAAAUUUUACCCAACAGCGCAAAGGUAAUUGCUUUUUUUUUUUUUUUCUCACUAAUGAUUUUAAGUUUAUCUGUAUUUUGUCAAUAGUAGUUUAUGUUUUAAUGCUGAUACUAUUCUUCUUUCCCUUGAUAUGGAUCAACAAUGUAGCAUAGAUGCACUUUUAGAACGUACCAUCAAGCACAUGCUGUUCUUGCAAAGUCUGACCAAGCACAUUAACAAGCUAAAAUAAACAGAGUAGUCUAAAACAACUUUGAGGCAGUCAUCUUGCCUGAACUUGCAGAUAAUCAGCACGAAAGGAGGUUGGCUUUAAAAGAUAACUCUGAGAGAGGGUGACAUGGGCAUUUGAAGUCUGUUCACAAUCUGUGGUCUGUCUUAUCACAAUUGAGGAUCUGAAUCCACCUCGGCAGCUGCUCGUAAAGGUAGUAACUGGCCUUUUUUGAGUAGAAAUUGUUUGGUUUGAGUAAAUGUUCGUAUAUAUGGCCUUGUUGACAUAUGCUUUUCAAGCAACGUGGUUUCUUUUUCAAAAAAACUUACUUAAUCUGGGGAAGGGAGUGAUGGAAGCAAGGAAUGAGAAGAUCUGACAUGCUUUCGGCAGUACCGGUACAAAAGCAAUAUCGCUUUAACCAAUGAAUUAUAAUUUCCUACUAAAUUAAAUUUGCUUGCUGUAAUAAAUGAAUGAUUUAUGCACAGCUUAUUAAAGAUGUAUAAAUAUGUGACAUUUGCCAAUUUCUUUAGUUAUUUAUCUCAAAGAAAAUGAAAACAUGCUGUAAGUCUACAUUUCAAAAACUUUCCUUCCUUUCAAUUGGGUGAUUCUUGUUGAUAAGCCAGGGAGUUAGAGUCUAUACAUAUGUUAUCAAAAUACAGCAAGCUACAUGGUUUUUCUUUUAAAUUUUUAUAAUAUUCAAACUUUUCAUUUAGCAGGCUUAGACUAGGUAAAUCCCCUACAAAUCUUAUUCAUCAAAGCUGUUACUUACGAAUAUACUAGCUGCAAUAAGAACAUGAGUGAAUUUUGCGCAACAAAGCAACAUAACUUAAAAUGAUUGGGUUCAGUCAAUUUCGUUUUUUGGAGAACACACGGAUGUAACAUUGGUAAAUGCCUUGGAUAACAACAAUGUGAUGGUUCAUCAGUAAGCUCAGUUGUCCACCUGGAUAUGUUAAGAGCAAGCUCGCGUUGCAUUGCUUGCCACGACUGACAUGGUUCCAGUCAACACUCAGGUGGUUCUAACUUACAUGUUCAUCUCCCCCAACCCAAGUUGUGACUAACCUCACUUUUUUGGGAGGGAAAACUCCAUUUAGGUAGUUGUGUGAUCUCUUUAAGAACUUUCAAAUAUAUGUUUCUUACAGAGAUGUAUAUCUGAAUGGUGUCUAAUGUUUUCUUAAAUUAUUUAGCUGUGGAAGAUGAUUAUCGAAGAGGUUAUUGUAAUUGCUAAGUUAACAGGCAGAGGGGGGCAUAAUAGUGGGUUUUGUGGUUCAAUAAUGUAUAGAGCAUCUAGGAUACGAGAUGAAGACAUUUAAGGUGUUUUGUUUUCUUAAUUGGUAUUUUCUUGCAUUCCAGUUCUAUUGCAUGACUACAGCAAUCACGUUUUUCUUCGUUUCUUAUUUCAUUUUUUUCUUUUUGUUAUACUUCCUAAGUUUUUUGUUAAACGAACCAACAUGUAGCAUUCAAUGGUUAAGUUAGGAACAUUAUCAGCCUAUUUAGGACGUACAAUAAAAAUUUUGAAGACAUUGUAACAUAUUUGCUAAUAUGAUGUACUUGAAAUUUUUUAAAGAGAAGCUUUGCUUCUUGUAAUGGAGCACCUCAUCAUCUAGGUGACAGUAUGUUGAUAGGCUUUAACUGAACUGAGAAGAGAAAUUGAGGGUGGAAGUUUGAAAACAGGCAACGGUUUUGGAGUGACAUAUCAGAAACACUAUUGGAUUAUUAAACCUCUAACCGUGUGAGGUGAGGAAAGAUUUUAUUCAUAAAAUGAAAAAGAUACAUCUAGUCAAUAGGACUUACAAGCAUUACCCCUUGGGAUAUGGUAAAAUCUAGAAAAUGAUUUCAAAGGACCAGACCGAUUACUUAGUAAAAUAAGCUAUUCACAAGCCUGACUAAAUCUUCAAUUGACUAGAUCUUCAACAGUUGACACACUUUCUGCAUGGUUGGUCUAGAUUCAGGAUUCUCAUCUACGCAUGAAAUGGUGACUUCCACGAUUGAUAUCAAUUUGUCAUGAACAUUGCGCGAUGGAGUUGGAAGCCGAGGGUCCAACAUUUCAUCGAGUGCUAUGUUCAAGUUCAAAGAUGAAAAGGACAUUGAGGAAAUAAAAUCUCUUGGAUGCGUCCCCUUUAUCACUUCCAAUGCCAACACUCCAAAGCUGUACACAUCGCACUUUUCAGUAACUUUCAUUGUGUAUGCAAGUUCUGAAAGGGAAAAACAGAAAGAAUUAUUAUUAGAUUAUUAUUAUUUUUACACUGCACAAGCUUGAAUAAUAAUUUGCAUACCUGGUGCAACAUAUCCAUAUGUGCCUGCAAGUUCUGUCCAAUUAGAUGAGUCUGGCUUGAGAAACUUGGCAAUUCCAAAAUCCGAAACAUGGGCUUCAUUCUCAAAAUCUAACAACACAUUUUUGCUUGAUAUAUCUCGAUGAACAAUUGGUGGGAAACAAUCAUUGUGCAUGUAAGACAAUGCAUCAACUAUACCUUUUAUCAUAUUCAUUCUCCUUGUCCACCCCAAAUUCUUUGCUGCUGCAUCAUUGCUCAGGAUCACGGCCAAGCUACACAUUUUAAAGUAUUCAUAAACUAUAAACAAGUGCCGAACAUGUAAACAAAAGCCAUAAACCUUCACAAUGUUACGAUGCCAUAUUUCGGUCAAUGCCUUGACUUCAUUCAAGAAUUCUUGCUAAAAUGUCAUCUCACCUGGGAGUGGCGAAUGAAAUUUCUUGACUGCAAUGAUUUCUCCAGAAGCUAGCUUAGACAUGUAAACACUUCCUUGUCCGCCCUUUCCAAUGCAGUGCUCAUCAUCAAAGUCAUUUGUUGCUCUAAUAAUUUCUUCAUAGAUAAUUUUUCCUUCAAAAGUUAACACUGAAAGCAAACCCCGAGAAUUUCCAGGGCUACUCUGUUGUGUUUGUGAAUCAUUCUUUCUUCGUUGAAACUUGAAGAACAGUCCAAUCAAAGAAAUUAAAAGAGCAACAAACCCUAAGAGAGGGAAUACCACAACAACCCAGAUCGUUCUCAAAGCUUGUUUGUUUGACUUUAAUGCUUUGCAAGAUAGAAGUCCUUUGACAUCUCCAUAUAAUCCUUUGUUCCCUUGUAGUGCUUCUAUUGGAGCAUCCUUGAAUGUUGUGCUGUUAGGAAUUGAACCUCGUAACUCAUUGUAGGAUAUGUCAAUGUGUAGCAGGCCAUUCAUUUUUUCAAAGCAACUUGGAAUGAGACCUGAGAGGCUAUUGUGGGAAAGAUUCAGCUUCUCCAAACUUUGCAUAAUACAGAUUUGAGAUGGUAUUGCUUCUCCGAGAAAGUUACGACUUAAAUCCAACUCUGAAAGAUGAAUUAACUCCUAGAAUUUAAUUGGAAUUCCCUGACUGAACUAAUUAUUGCUCAAAUUUAAGUAAUGUUUAACUAAGUUGCCAAGACUUUUUGGAAUUGAAUUGCUUAAUCUAUUUAAAGACAAGUCAAGGUGCUCGAGUUGAACGAGUGACCCGAGUUUUGGAGAUAGUUGUCCAGAAAGCUGAUUAUGAGCCAAAACGAGCUUGAUAAAAAAAUUAAGCUUGCCAAGUUCUAUUGGAAUCUCGCCAACAAUAUGAUUUGAUGAAAGAUCAAGAACUCCUAAUUGAGAUGAGUGUCCAAUUUCAGGAGGUACAUUGCUAGUAAUAUUAUUUAUAGAAAAAUCUAAAGUGCUUAACUUUGGGCAUCUUCCCCAAUCAGAUGAGAUUUCACCAUAAAAGUUAUUCUGGCUAAGAUCUAUGUAAGUUAAGUUUGGAUAAAUAUAAAAAGACUCAGAUAUAUUGCCGGUUAGAUAGUUUCUAUCGAGACGUACUCUUUCUAGGCUUGCCAAAUUUCUCAAAAUGGGAAUUGGACCUCGAAAUUGGUUAUGACCUAAUAGUAGUAUAGUCAACUUCACAAGGUUCCGGUAUUCAUAAGGAAUAGCACCAGAAAGUGAAUUCUCAAACAAAUUUAAGUAAGUCAAGUUGCUCAAAUUGCCCAUAGAAAUAGGGAUUGAGCCACUGAGUUUAUUGUACCCCAAACUAAGGUUGGAAAGAGACCUCAAGUUUCCCAAUUCACUUGGAAUUGAGUAAGAAAGUGAAUUGGUAUCAAGAUACAAGGUAGCUAAGUUGCUUAAAUUGCCCAAAGAUGGAGGGAUUGAUCCAUUGAAGUUAUUCUCACUCAAUUGUAGAUUUGAAAGAGACUUCAAGUUUCCUAUUUUACCUAGAAUUGAGGCAGAAAGUGAAUUGCUAUAAAUAUACAAGGUAGCCAAGUUGGUUAGGUUACCUAAAGAAUGAGGGAUUGAGCCACUGAGUAUAUUAUUGUUCAAUUGUAGAUUGGAAAGAGACCUCAAGUUUCCCAAUUCACUUGGAAUUGAGUCAGAAAGUGAAUUGGUAUCAAGAUACAAUGUAGCUAAGUUGCUUAAAUUGCCCAAAGAUGGAGGGAUUGAGCCACUGAGUUUAUUAUUACUCAAUUCUAGAUCAGAAAAAAACCUAAAGUUUCCUAUUUCACCUGGAAUUGAGCCAGAAAGUGAAUUGGUAUGAAUAUACAAGGUAGCCAAGUUGGUUAGGUUACCUAAAGAAUGAGGGAUUGAGCCACUGAGUUUAUUAUUGCCUAAUUCUAGAUUGGAAAGAGAUUUCAAGUUUCUCAAUUCACUUGGAAUUGAGUCAUAAAGUGAAUUGUUGUAAAUACAAGGUAGCUAAGUUGCUCAAAUUGCCCAAAGAUGGAGGAAUUGACCCACUAAGUUUAUUAUUAGUUAAUGCUAGAUUAGAAAGAGACUUCAAGUUUCUUAUUUCACCUUGAAUUGAGGCAGAAAGUGAAUUGCUAUAAAUAUACAAGGUAGCCAAGUUGGUUAGGUUACCUAAAGAAUGAGGGAUUGAGCCACUGAGUUUAUUAUUAUUCAAUUGGUAUCGGAAAGAGACCUCAAGUUUCCCAAUUCACUUGGAAUUAAGUCAGAAAGUGAAUUGUUAUCAAGAUACAAAGUAGCUAAAUUGCUCAAAUUGCCCAAAGAUGGAGGGAUUAAGCCACUGAGUUUAUUAUUGCUCAAUUCUAAAUCAGAAAGAAACCUCAAGUUUCCUAUUUCACCUAGAAUUGAGCCAGAAAGUGAAUUGGUAUGAAUAUACAAGGUAGCCAAGUUGGUUAGGUUACCUAAAGAAUGAAGGAUUGAGCCACUGAGUUUAUUGUACCCCAAACUAAGUGUGGAAAGUGACCUCAAGUUUCCCAAUUCACUAGGAAUUGAGUCAGAAAGUGAAUUGUGAUAAAGAUACAAGGUAGCUCAGUUGUUCAAAUUGCCCAAAGAUGGAGGGAUUAAAUCUUCUAAAUAAAUUGAGUACAAAGCAAGGUAGUUUAGAGAACUUAAUCUGCCUAUUUCAUAAGGAAUUGAGCCAUUUAUUUGAUUCUCGAACAACUGAAGGGUCUCGAGAUAACUUAGGUGGCCAAUUUGUGGUGGUAUGGUACCAGAAAAAAAAUUAGAUGAUAAAUCAAGGUACUUGAGUCUUGAAAUGUUACCAAUUUAAGGCGAGAUGUUUCCAUAGAGUUGAUUGCGCCAAAGAUCAAGAUACACCAUAUGAGGAAACGAUGAGAAUGAGAAAUCAUGAAGCAUACCUUUUAAACCUAUACUUGUGAGGUUAAUACUAUCGACUCUUCCACCAAGGUUGCAAUGAAUUCCAACCCAAGCAAAUGGGCUUGUUUUGGUGACAUUGUUAAGAGUCCAUGAAGACAGGAGAGAUCCAUUAUUAUGAUUUUGAAGGCUAGUUUUCCAUCUAAGAAGUGCGUGGGCUUCUUCCAUAUAAUAAGAAGAACAACCAGUGGAAAAUUUAAAACACAAAAUAGGAUAAAAAAAAUGAGUGAGAAAAUUACUAAAUUAUUUUUCAAGUUUGGUGACAUCAUUACGUAAUGGACGAUCAACCGAGACUUGAUAAUCAUAGAAACAGUAGAGAAAAGUGAAAGAUGAGAACAACAAGAAACUAAGAUUAGCUAGCCAAGGCAGAUAGAAAUAAACAUCUAGGAAUGAUGGAUGCACAAAGAAACACAUUGCAAGGCAAAUUUAUAAAAUGAAUGACGUGAGGCAACAAGUCAAUGCGCCAACCGCUCUAAGGUAGACUAGUUGUUGUUAGGGAAAAAAUUUGGUUUUCAUUAAUUUUGUUAGUUAUCUGUCAAUUGAGGCCUUAUUAACUCUUUGUGUGUAUGUAUAUAUGUUAUUUUUUUUGUAGGGGAUUUUAAAGUUUAGAAAAUUCUAAAAAAUCUUUAAAACCUCACGCUUUUAAAUUUUACUAGAUUUUCCCCGAAUUUUAAACACCUGAAAUAAAAAUUUUCUGUAUAUAUAUAUACAUAUAUAUAUACAUAUACAUAUACAUAUAUAUAUAUAUACAUAUAUAUUUUUGGAAGUGAGUGAUGCUUUUAAAAUUGCUGGAGCAACACAAGAUACUUUAAGACAAAGGCUUUUUCCUUACUCCUUAAGAGAUCGAGCAAGAGUAUGGUUGAACUCAUUACCAUCUGAUUCCAUCACUACAUGGAAUAAAUUGGCUGAAAAAUUUUUAAUGAAAUAUUUUCCACCAACCAAGAAUGCAAAAUUGCGGAAUGAGAUCACUUAUUUUCAUCAACUUGAAGAUGAAAGUUUGUAUGAAGCUUAGGAGAGAUUUAAAGAGCUGCUCAGAAGGUGUCCUCAUCAUGGCAUUCCUUGUUGCAUACAGUUGGAAACCUUUUACAAUGGGUUAAAUCCAAGUACGAUAUUGAUAGUUGAUGCUUCAGCAAAUGGAGUUCUGUUAUCCAAAUCUUACACUGAAGCUUAUAAAAUUUUAGAGAGAUUGCCAACAAUAAUUAUCAGUGGCCAUGAACUAGACAAACGGUAGCAAGAGGAGCAGCAUGAGUACAUAAUAUAGAUGCAAUUACAACAUUGUCAGCUCAGGUAACUUCAUUGACUAACAUGGUGAAAGCCAUGACUUCUGCUCAUACAGAAGUAAAGCAAGUUGCUGAACUAUCUUGCCUAUAUUAUGGUGAGGAGCAUGUAUUUGACAACUGUCUAGGAAAUCCAGCAUCAGUAAACUAUGUGGGCAACUUCAAUCGAUAGCCUCAGAACAACCCAUACUCAAAUACUUACAAUCCUGGAUGGAAGCAACACCCAAAUUUCUCAUGGAGCAAUCAAAAUCAGCAUGCUCCAGUACCGAAUGGACAAAACAGAAAAACUCAACCACCUGGUUUUCAUCAGCAGAAUCAAGGGCAAAAACACACUAGCAAUGAUCCACUUACUUUAUUGGAAACACUGAUUAAGGAAUACAUUGUGAAGAAUGAAAUACAAGUAUGCAACCCAAGAGGGGGGGUGAAUUGGGAUUAUAAAAAUUAUUCAAUUUAUUAAAGAAAAUCUUAAUGCAAUUAUAAAUCAAAUUCAAAGCAAUAACAAUUAAGAUGAUCACAAUAUAAAAAGAUAAGGGAAGAGGGAUUCAAACACCGAGAUUUUUACGUGGUUCGGCCAACCUCGCCUACGUCCACGCCUCCAAGCUUUCCGGGCUUGAGGAUUCCACUAAGCAAGCCUCCAAGGCUUCAAAUGCUUACACUUGACUUCCAAGGUGUCAAUGGACCUUCACAACAAGAGAUUAUCCCCAAUCUCUUAACCCAAGUGUAUCCCAACACUUACAAUCACUCAAAAUAAAAGAUUACAAACUGUUUUGCCUCUCACAAUAUAUAAGAUUACACAAUGAUGCUUAAUAUGUGAAUAGAUGAAGCAAGAAUGUGUUCUAAGCUCUAUGAAGAUUGUAUUCUCGAAUAUUAGCUCAAAUGGUCGUGUUGUGAUCAGCCUUCUUUGAAUUUGAAUGAGCUUAUUUAUAUUUGGAGCCGAAAAUCUAGCCGUUACAAACUGUCGGACAGAAAACGGUUUGCCGUUAAUCAUUAACGGUUAACCAUUUAGGCUGGUCAAAGUUACCGUUGGGCCAGAUUUCAAAUAAACGGUUUGCCGUUUAGGGUUGCCCUUUCACCGUUAAAUUCCAGAGACCUGCAAAAUGAACAUCAGUUAAUCCGUUUUCAUUUAGCGGUUAAGGGAUUGCAUAAAGUGGCUUCUCUGGGUAUUAUCGGUUGACCGUUUAAAAACAAACGGUUUGCCGUUUGGCUCCAGUAACCUGCACAACAAUUUAGCCUUAUCAGUUUUCGUUAAUCAAUGCCAGAGGAGGACAACCUUCAAUUCUGGACGUUAUCGGUUAACCGUUUAAAAAUAAACGGUUCACCGUUAGUUUUCAGUAGCCUUCCCAUCAUGGGUGUUUUUCGUUAAGCAUAAACGGCUAGAGAUUAGGCAAAUAUGUUGCUCUCUGGUGAUAAUCGGUUAACCGUUUAAAAGCAAACGGUUUACCGUUAAUUUCCAGUAACCUCCCUAUCUAUUGUGUUUUCCGUUUUCCAUAAACGGUUAGAGGUUUAGGAAAUGUGUUACUCUCUGCCUUUAAUCGGUUAACCGUUUAAAAUAAACGGUUCACCGUUUAUGACCAGAAUUGUAAUUUUAAACAAGUUUUUGCAGAGAAUUUCUUUCUAAUUUGAAAAUCCAUCUUUUAUGAAGAAAUAAGGCAAUGAUUAAAAGGCUUUCGUUUAUUAAGAAAUAGCUCCAAUAUUUUUGUCAAAAACCAUAUAAAAUUUGUUAUCAUCAAAAUCAAUAUUAUUAACAUAUUCAUGUUAACAAUCUCCCCCUUUUUGAUGAUGACAAAUUUCAUUCAAUGUUUAGCUCCCCCUUAAUAUGUGCUCCCCCUACAUGUAUGGCCAAAUUGAGAAAUGUGAAUAAAAGGAUUUUUGCUUUAAAACUUCCCAUUUUAAAUCCAUCUUAAAAUAAAAUCUCCCUAUUUAAAAAAAAAACCAUCUUACCAUCUUAAAAACCAUAAUUAUCUCCCCCUUCAUCAUCAAAAAGAAAAGAAGAAAUAAGAAAUACACAAAGCCGGUUUUGGCAAGCGAAAAUUUUGGCAGAGUUUCCCCUUAAAAAUGAGCAAAACCAAUUAUACAAAAUGAGAUAGAACACUUCCAAAAAUAUAUGAACAUCAACUUCUUCUUGCAACAAGCCAACAACUCCAUAAACACAUCAAAAGAACACUUCAAGAACCACAAACAUACCAAUACUCCAAUAGCCACAAUUAAACCACAUUUACAAUAUCCAACCAAUUAGGCAAUCACAAAGCAUUAAUAAUCGAAUCAUCAAGAACAUCACACACAUAUGCAUCAAAAUCAAAAUAAUAAUAAAAAUGCUAGCAAUCAAAAUGUAAAAUGUAUGUGCGAAGACAAAGCUCAGAAACUACGGAGGCGGAGAAGAUGUGCUCCCCGGAUCAUAACUGAAAUAGCCGAGAAUAGUGCGCUGUCCAGCGAUAAGCUCCAGCUGCUGAUCAAGGCUCAGCCGCUGGAAUAUCUGAAAGUCAAAACGCAGCUGCUGGUGGUCACGGGAAAGAGUGUCCAACCGAUCAAGAAUCAGCUGCUGGCACUCCGAAAUCCGCUGAACAUCAGUGAUCAGCUGCUGCAUUACGUCUGAAGCAGGGGGCUGAACUGGAGCUGGAGGCGGCAUAGAGGCAAAUGGCUGCUCGGGAACAACAGAAGGCUCAGGAGCAGGAGGCAGCUCGGAAGAGGAGGGAAUGUCAGUAUCUAUCGCAUGCUCCUCAGGGACAGAAUCAGCAGGAGGCCGAGAUACAAAAUGGCGACGCGGAGGAUGAGGAAGAGCUCCUAAUCUAAAGUCAGGAAGCUGAUCGGAAGGAUAGAUAUCAUUGAGCAUCCGAUCGUCCUCUGCGGCAAUCAAGGUAUCCCGGUUUUUGGAGUUGCUUGUCUUUAUCCACACUCCAUUCUUCCUAGAGAAUCCGAUACUGGUCACGGCCUCGGGACCAAUCCGUCGAGUCUCCAUAUGACCGGUAUCAAGAAGUGGCACCUCAAAGCGUCGUAGUAUUUUAGUGAUGAUACUGCCAUAAGGAAGCAAGCGGUGGUUGACCGCUGGAGUACUCAACAUAUGUCGCACAAUAAUAUACCCGAGGUUAAUGGGACGGUCUGUAAGAAGGCUAUCCAGUAGGGUAACGUCCAACCUCGUAACCUCAUCCGAGUGACCCUUCAUAGGAGUCACUAUGUGCUGUAAAAUAGAGUGAAGAAUACGAACUUGGAGAGGUAAAAGUUGAGACCGAAACGGAAGCAUACAAAUCUCAUCCGAUAAGUCUCUACGACGACAUAUAUUACGGACGCCAUGAGUAUGAGAAAAAGUAUCAAAGGAGAGGGCUUUCCUAGAGGUGUAAAUGUCAAUCCCCUCACAAGAGAUACCUAGAAAGUCAGCUAAGUCCGCAUCAUCAAAUUCUAUGGGUACACGGCCGACUUGAGUGACUAUCCUAUUUGGGCGAGUAUCGGAGAUUUCCAUAUUAGAGUAAAAGACUCGCACUAAAUUUGGAAAGACCCGGUCAUCAAGGUCAAUGGCAGCCUCCCAAGGCUGAAGCAUAUCCCUAAUGCUUCUACCACAAACAACUAAGUUGCGGAAAUCAUCAAUAUCAACAAAAAAAGGAUCAAGUACCUUUCGACCAUCGAAGCGAUCCUCAAACCGCUUAGCCAAGGCAGGAGUGGGGAAGUGAAUCCUUGAAAAUUCAGAGACCUCCCGAGGUGGUAUGGGAUUCCUUGGAGGCACAGAUUUACGCCUGGGAUUUCUCUGAGAGGGUUCAGCCAUGGAAACUCGUAAUGGGACGAAAGUAAAUCGAUAAAAGGUUUAAGGAAGAGUAGAGGAUGUGAGUAGGAUGUUCAAUUUGGUUGAAGAAAGGUGGAAAUCGGAUUAAGAACGAAGAAACCCGACCCGCGACAGUUAGGGUUUAGAUUUGGGAUUUUUGAAUUUUGGGCUCGAUUUGAAGUUUUGAAUCGGUAGAAUUGUUCUAAAGGUGAUGAGAAAUGAUUUUGAGGGUUUGAUUUGGCACGGAAAGCAAGAAAAAUGAGGAUUUGAGGACAAGGAGACCUUCGGCUGCGCAACAAUAGAGGAAACGGUGAGAGGGUAACUGGAGAAGGAGAAAAACCUUUGAACAGUUUUAUACUUCACGAAAACGGUUAACCGUUUAUUUAAACGGUUAAAGGGUAACUCCCAGGGGCUGAAGAAACAGAAAUGGUGUAAGCCUAAGCGCUUAACGGCUAAGGGGUAACUGUUAGAGGACUCUCUGUUCAAAAACGGUUCACCAAUUGUGGCAAACGGUGAAAGGGUAACUGGACAGACACACAAUCUCAUUUCUGGAAUUAAACGGUGAUCCGUUUACAGUAAAUGGCUAACCGUUUAUUUUAUCUGUAAUUUCGCACAUUUGAUUUAAUUUUUGGCCAGCAAAUAAUAUAUUCCAAGAUCAUUUAAUCGAUCUGAAAAUAUUUUAUGAGCCAUUUUAAUGCAUGAUUCAUGAACAUGUUUUCAACCAAUCAAUACAUAUACUCAAGAGUUAUCAAUGCAAAUUCAUCAUUUGUCUACCAAGCUCAAGCAUUUCAUAAAUAGUAAUCAAUCAAUUCAGUACACUCAAUAGCAUGAAUAGAGAUGUUAAUGCAAAAAUUUCAUCAUCCCAAGUUCAUGCCGAAUUUUUUAAAAUUGUUCUUCGCAAAGCGGUUUUGUGAAAAUAUCGGCAAGUUGUUUUUCUGUGGAAAUAAACUCUAAUGCAAUAUCUCCAUUUUGAACAUGAUCUCUCAAGAAAUGAUGUCUUAUUUCUAUAUGCUUGGUUCGAGAGUGUUGAAUGGGAUUCUUUGAAAGAUUAAUAGCACUAGUAUUAUCACACUUAAUAGGAAUUUAUUCAAGAUUAAUGCCAUAAUCUCUAAGUGUUUGUUUCAUCCAAAGUGCUUGUGCACAACAACUUCCGGCAGCUAUAUAUUUAGCCUCGGUAGUUGAAAGUGUGACAGAAUUUCGUUUCUUGCUAAACCAUGAAACAAGAGAGUGUCCUAGAAUAUAGCAAGUUCCACUAGUGCUCUUCCUAUCCACUAUAUAACCAGCAAAAUCCGCAUCCAAAAAACAUGUUAAAUCUAUAUGAGUUCCCCUAGGAUACCAAAGGCCAAUAUCUAUGGUUCCACUCAAAUAACGGAAAAUUCUUUUAACAGCGAGCAAAUGAGAUUCCUUGGGACAUGACUGAAAUCUUGCACACAAACAUACACUAAACAUGAUAUCGGGUCUACUUGCAGUCAAGUAAAGUAGAGAUCCGAUCAUACCUCGAUACAUUUUGAUAUCCACUUCUUUACCUUUUUCAUCUUUGUCUAGCUUGGUUGUUGUGCUCAUUGGUGUAUUCUUGGUCUUUGAAUCAUCAAUGCCGAAUCGUUUGAGUAGAUCCUUUAUGUACUUGGCUUGAUUUAUAAAAAUUCCUUCCUCGUUUUGUUUGAUUUGAAGUCCAAGGAAGUAUUUCAACUCUCCCAUCAUACUCAUCUCAAAUUCCUUGCUCAUACAUGAUGAAAAUUCUCCACUCCUUGGGGAGUGUUUGAGAAGUACCUUUAUUUUGCUCCACAUUUGGUUCUUCAUGAUGUUCCUCUUGAAUUCCAUGUGGUGCAUCCUCUUGAUUGUCAUUUGAUGCUUCUUCUUCUUGUUCUUCUUCUCCUGCAUCAUCAUCAACAACGACUUUCUCCGUAGAUGAGGGGUUAGACUCAUCAAAUGUGACAUGCAUAGAUUCUUCCACAACUAAAGUUCUUUUGUUAUAGACUCUAUAAGCUUUGCUUGAAUUUGAAUAACCAAGAAAAAUACCAACAUCGGAUUUUGAAUCAAAUUUACCAAGAUUGUCUUUUGUGUUCAAAACAAAACAUUUGCAUCCAAAAACUUUAAAAUAGCCAAUGUUGGGUUUUCUAUCUUUCCAAAGUUCAUAUGGAGUUUUAUUAAGAUUAGGUCUAAUCAACACCCGAUUUAAAACAUAACAAGCGGUGUUGACGGCUUCGGCCCAAAAAUAUUUUGGUAAUGCAUUUUCAUUUAACAUGGUCCUAGCCAUUUCUUGAAUAGACCUAUUCUUUUUCUCAACAACUCCAUUUUGUUGUGGAGUUCUAGGUGAAGAAAAUUGAUGCUCAAUGCCUAGAUUAUUGUAAAAACUCUCAAAUGCAUGAUUUUCAAAUUCUCCUCCAUGAUCACUCCUAAUGCAUACAAUACCAUGCCCUUUUUCAUUUUGUAAUUUCUUACAAAUCACUUUAAAUGCAUCAAGAGCAUCAUCCUUAUUGGCUAAGAAUAAUACCCAUGUAUAUCUAGAAUAAUCAUCCACUAUCACAAAAGCAUAAUAUUUGCCAUUUAGACUUGCAUAUCUAGAUGGCCCAAAAAGAUCUAUGUGAAGAAGUUCAAGUGGUUUUGAAGUAGAAAUAUGGUUUUUAUUCUUGAAAGAAGUUUUAAUUUGUUUUCCAAAUUGACAAGCUUCACAAAUCUUAUCCUUUUGAAAGCUAAUUUUCGGAAGACCUUUAACUAAAUCAUCUUUCGAAAUUUUUGAAAUCAAAUCCAUACUUGCAUGUCCUAAACUUCUAUGCCAUAACCAACAAUCAUCAUGUAAUGCCGAAAAACAUUUAUCAAGAGUAGAUGCACAUCCUAUGUCAAUGAUAUAAACAUUACCACAUCUAUUUCCAACAAAUAAGGUUUUGCCAUCACAUGAGUUCUCAAUAACACAACUAAGUUUAUCAAAGAUAACUUUAUAACCUUUGUCACAUAAUUGACUAAUGCUAAUUAAGUUGUGUUUCAAGUUUUCAACCAAACAUACAUUCUCAAUUAGAGUUGAAGAGACUUUACCAACAUUUCCAAUUCCAAGAAUUUUUCCUUUUGAGUUGUCUCCAAAAGAUACGUCUCCACCAUUUUCAAUUUUGGUGAAGCUUGAGAACCAUGCAUAGUUUCCGGUCAUGUGCCUUGAACAACCGCUGUCCAAGUACCAUUUAUUUUUCUUCUUCUUCAAGCCCUCAUUGAGAUCACCAUCCCCUCCUAUUGCCAUGAGUGCUAGGUUUGAUACUUCUUGCGAUCCUUCUUCAUCAUUUGAUUCUUCCUCACUAUCAUCCCAAGUUGCAACCAUUGCUUUCUUCUUGAGUUGUUGAUAAGUGGGCACUCCGAUCUUAUAUGUCCAGGCUUCUUGCAUUCAUAGCAAGUGAUUGCCUCAUUUUUCUCCCUAUAGUUCUUGAAGUUUCUGAAAUUUCUUCGCUCUCCGGUUUUCUUGAAGAAUUUUCUGAACCUCCUUGCUAGCAUGGCUGCCUCUUCAUCAUCCGGUUCACUCUCCCCAUCACUCUUAUAUUUUGAAGCUUUGAGAGCAAUGCUUUUCUUCUUCUCCUCAUGUCCUUUUUCUGCAGCUAAAUCCUCUUCAUACGAAAUAAGAGAACCAAUUAAAUCAUCAAGAGGUAAAGUAUUUAAAUAUUUGGCCUCUUCAAUAGCGGUUCUUUUAGGUCUCCAUUCUUUUGGAAGUGACCUAAUAAUUUUCUUAACUUUCUCACUAUUUGAGAAGGUUUUCCCUAAGGCCCCUAGGGUGUUCACUAUGUCCGUGAAUCUAGUGUACAUAGAAUACACAUUUUCAUUUUGUUCCAUUUGGAACAACUCAUAUUGACGAGUGUAUCUACUGAUUUUAGACUCUUUCACUUGAUUUGUCCCUUCAUAGACAACUUCAAGUUUGUUCCAUAUCUCUUGUGCACUUUCACAACUAGAUACUCUAUGGAAUUCUUUCUUAUCAAGGGCACAAAACAAAGCAUUCAUAGCCUUGGAGUUUAGAGACAUCUUUCUCUUUUCUAACUCACUCCAUUGACUCGAUGGUUUAGGAAUAUCAUCUCCUACUUCAUCUUUGAACGUAGGCAUGAAUGGACCAUCACAAACAACUUCCCAAAUUUCAUAAUCUAAGGCUUGCAAAUAGAUUCUCAUUCUAGUUUUCCAAUAAGCAUAGUCAUUACCAUCGAAAAAUGGUGGUCUAGUUGUGGAUUGCCCUUCUCUAAAGGUUGAGUCAUUUAGGGUUGCCAUGAAUCUUUUACUCUAGACGAUUAAGUCUUAACAAGAGAACGAGGCUCUGAUACCAAUUGAAAUACAAGUAUGCAACCCAAGAGGGGGGGUGAAUUGGGAUUAUAAAAAUUAUUCAAUUUAUUAAAGAAAAUCUUAAUGCAAUUAUAAAUCAAAUUCAAAGCAAUAACAAUUAAGAUGAUCACAAUAUAAAAAGAUAAGGGAAGAGGGAUUCAAACACUGAGAUUUUUUACGUGGUUCGGCCAACCUCGCCUACGUCCACGCCUCCAAGCUUUCCGGGCUUGAGGAUUCCACUAAGCAAGCCUCCAAGGCUUCAAAUGCUUACAAUUGACUUCCAAGGUGUCAAUGGACCUUUACAACAAGAGAUUAUCCCCAAUCUCUUAACCCAAGUGUAUCCCAACACUUACAAUCACUCAAAAUAAAAGAUUACAAACUGUUUUGCCUCUCACAAUAUAUAAGAUUACACAAUGAUGCUUAAUAUGUGAAUAGAUGAAGCAAGAAUGUGUUCUAAGCUCUAUGAAGAUUGUAUUCUCGAAUAUUAGCUCAAAUGGUCGUGUUGUGAUCAGCCUUCUUUGAAUUUGAAUGAGCUUAUUUAUAUUUGGAGCCGAAAAUCUAGCCGUUACAAACUGUCGGACAGAAAACGGUUUGCCGUUAACCAUUAACGGUUAACCGUUUAGGCUGGUCAAAGUUACCGUUGGGCCAGAUUUCAAAUAAACGGUUUGCCGUUUAGGGUUGCCCUUUCGCCGUUAAAUUCCGGAGACCUGCAAAAUGAACAUCAGUUAAUCCGUUUUCAUUUAGCGGUUAAGGGAUUGCAUAAAGUGGCUUCUCUGGGUAUUAUCGGUUGACCGUUUAAAAACAAACGGUUUGCCGUUUGGCUCCAGUAACCUGCACAACAAUUCAGCCUUAUCAGUUUUCGUUAAUCAAUGCCAGAGGAGGACAACCUUCAAUUCUGGACGUUAUCGGUUAACCGUUUAAAAAUAAACGGUUCACCGUUAGUUUUCAGUAGCCUUCCCAUCAUGGGUGUUUUUCGUUAAGCAUAAACGGCUAGAGAUUAGGCAAAUAUGUUGCUCUCUGGUGAUAAUCGGUUAACCGUUUAAAAGCAAACGGUUUACCGUUAAUUUCCAGUAACCUCCCUAUCUAUUGUGUUUUCCGUUUUCCAUAAACGGUUAGAGGUUUAGGAAAUGUGUUACUCUCUGCCUUUAAUCGGUUAACCGUUUAAAAUAAACGGUUCACCGUUUAUGACCAGAAUUGUAAUUUUAAACAAGUUUUUACGGAGAAUUUCUUUCUAAUUUGAAAAUCCAUCUUUUAUGAAGAAAUAAGGCAAUGAUUAAAAGGGCUUUCGUUUAUUAAGAAAUAGCUCCAAUAUUUUUGUCAAAAACCAUAUAAAAUUUGUUAUCAUCAAAAUCAAUAUUAUUAACAUAUUCAUGUUAACAAAGAAUUAAACAAUUGUGCAAAGUCAAGCUGUAUCUCUGAGAAACCUGGAAAACCAAAUUAGACAGCUUGCUACAGCAAUGAGUAGCAAAUCUCAGGGAAGUUUACCCAGCAAUACAGAAGAUCCAAGAAGAGAGGGUAAAGAACAUUGUAGGGUAAUCAACCUAAGAUCUAGAAAGAAUGUUGACAUUAUUGUUGAUGUGACUAAAAAGAGGUUGGAACUUAACUCCUCGUAAGAACCUCCUCAAAAUGAAAUGAUCAUACAGCAACCCAGCCAUCAAAAUACUGAUGCUAGUGGUCAAGCUACAGCAACCUUGGAAGGAAAUCAACUGAUACCUGCUGAAGAAGAGGUUGCAACACCAGUGGUGACAACUUACAAUAAGUCAAAGGAGUAGAGACUGGUACCUCCUGAAGCUGCCCAGCAAUUUAGGCAUUUACCUCCUUUCCCACAGAAAUUUCAGAAACAAAAACAAGAAAAGCAGUUUAGUAAAUUCCUGAAAGUGCUGAAGCAAUUACACAUCAACAUACCUUUUGUGGAAGCAUUAGAACAAAUGCCUAAUUAUGUGAAAUUUCUAAAAGAUAUUUUGGCAAGAAAAAGAAGGUUGAGAGAAUUUGAAAUUGUUGCUUUAACACAGGAAUUCAGCCACAUGCUUCAAAGCAAGAUCCCUAAAAAAUUGAAGGAUCCAAGAAGCUUCACAAUACCAGGUUCAAUUAGAACUAGGUACAAUGGCAGAGCACUCUGUGAUUUGGGAGCCAGCACUAAUCUGAUGCCAUUAUCUGUAUUUAAGUAAUUGGGAGUAGGAGAAUGCAGGCUAACAACAGUCACUCUGCAAUUAGCUGACAUAUCUCAUGCAUACCCUGAAGGAAAGAUUGAGGAUGUACUGGUGAAGGUUGAUAAAUUCAUCUUUCCAGUGGACUUCAUUGUACUAGACUUUGAGGCUGACAAAGAGGUACCCAUUAUACUUGGAAGACAUUUCCUGGCAACCGGGAAGAGACUCUGAUAGAUGUGUAAAAAGAAGAGCUAACAAUGAAGGUGAAUGACCAACAAGUCACAUUCAAUGUAUUAGAGGCUAUGAAGAAUCCUGAUGAGGCAGAAGAUUGCAAUUUCCUAAGUGUUGUGGAUCUUAUUGUAGCAGAUAGAAUAAAUAGAUGCUGCAAUAAUGAGGUUAUCAAAGUUGCCACAAUUGAAAGCUUUGAAGAAGAAGAUGUUGCAGCAAAUCAGAUAGAUUAGAUGGGAGAAAGGCAAUCUAUCAGACAUAGCAGAUAUGUUGAACCUAUAAAUCUUUCAGAUAGGGAAGUAAAGACAACUUUGCCAUCUAUUGAAUCACCUCCUACUCUUGAAUUAAAAUUGUUACCUUCACAUUUGAAAUAUGCUUAUCUUGGUCAGAACAACACACUCCCUGUAAUCAUUUCAUCUACUUUGGAUGCAGGAAAGGAGCCUGGUAGAUGUGCUUGGGAAAUAUAGAAAAGCAGUUAGAUUGACCAUGGCAGACAUUAAAGGGAUCAGCCUAUCCAUAUGCAUGCAUAAAAUUCUGUUAGAAGACUACUACAACAAUUCAGUAGAGCAACAGAGAAGGUUAAAUCCCAUUAUGAAGGAAGUUGUGAAGAAGGAAAUCAUCAAAUGGUUGGAUGCUGGGAUCAUAUACCCGAUAUCAGACAGUUCAUGGGUGAGCCCAGUUCAAUGUGUUCCAAAUAAGGGAGGAAUAACAGUGAUAGUAAAUGAAAAGAAUGAACUUAUUCCUACAAGAACAGUAACUGGAUGGAGGGUAUGUAUGGAUUACAGGAAGCUCAACAAAGCCACAAGGAAUGAUCACUUUUCACUUACAUUUAUAGAUCAAAUGUUGGACAGACUUGCUGGAAAACAAUAUUAUUGUUUCCUAAAUGGGUAUUCAGGCUACAACCAAAUUGCUAUAGCCCUAGAAGAUCAGGAAAAAACUACAUUUACAUGUCCUUAUGGAACUUUUGCCUUCAGAAGAAUGCCCUUUAGUUUGUGCAAUGCUCCAGCAACUUUCCAGAGAUGUAUGAUGUCUAUUUUUUCAGAUAUGGUGGAGAAAACAUUGGAAGUCUUCAUGGAUGAUUUCUCAGUCUUUGGAGAAACGUAUAUUGAUUGUUUACACAACUUGGAAGAAGUUCUUAAAAGAUGUUAGUGACUAACUUAGUACUCAAUUGGGAAAAAUGUCACUUCAUGGUGCAAAAAGGCAUAGUGUUGGGUCAUAAGGUGUCCAAGAGUGGAAUAGAGGUAGAUAAAGCAAAGAUAGAAGUGAUAGAUAAACUGCCACUUCCCACUUCAGUCAAAGGGAUUAGAAGUUUUUUGGGACAUGCUGGAUUUUACAGAAGAUUCAUAAAAGACUUUUCCAAAGUAGCCAAACCAUUAUGCUCAUUGCUAGAACAUGACAAGCCUUUUCAUUUUGAUAAAGAAUGUCUUUAAGCGUUUAGAGAGUUGAAGAAAGCCUUGAUCACUGCACCAGUGUUUAUAGCACCAGAUUGGACUCUACUGUUUGAGCUGAUGUGUGAUGUCAGUGACUAUUCUGUUGGGGCAGUGCUGGGGCAGAGGAAGAAUAAAGUUUUCCACUCCAUAUACUAUGCCAGUAAAACUCUUACUCAAGCUCAGAUCAAUUACACUACUACAGAGAAAGAGUUGCUAGUAGUAGUAUUUGCUUUCGAUAAGUUUAGAGCUUACUUGGUGGGUACUAAAGUGACAAUCUACACAGAUCAUGCAGCCAUCAAGCACCUAAUCUCAAAUAAUGAUGCUAAAAUAAGAUUAAUAAGAUGGAUCUUAUUGCUUCAGGAGUUUGAUUUGGAAAUUAAAGAUAGAAAGGGGAUUACAAAUCAAGUGGCGGAUUAUUUGUCCAGGCUAGAAGCAGAUGCAAGCACUUUGACAAAAAAAGACAUCACUGAAACAUUUCCUGAUGAACAACUACUAGUAAUACAACAGACACAGAUGCUGUAGCAACUAGGAUCUCCAUGGUAUGCGGAUUUUGCUAACUACUUAGUAAGUAGAUUGCUACCACCUGAGUUGAAUUUUCAGCAAAAAAAGAAAUUUCUUCAUGAUGUUAGAAGCUACCAGUGGAUGACCCACACUUGUAUAAGUUAUGCUCAGAUCAGGUAAUACGAAUAUGUGUUUCAGAAGAAGAAAUUUCUCAUAUACUGCAAUCUUGCCAUGCUGCAGCAUAUGGAGGACAUUUUAGUGGUCACAGAACAACUGCCAAAGUUCUACAAUCAGGUUAUUACUGGCCUUCUAUUUUUAAGGAUGCUUAUGAGUUUACUAAAUAUUGUGAUAGGUGUCAAAGAACAGGACAUAUAACUCAAAGACAUGAAAUGCCAUUGACGAACAUUCUGGAAGUGGAGAUUUUUUAUGUAUGGGGAAUAAACUUCAUAAGUCCUUUCCCACCAUCUUUUGGAAACUUAUAUAUCCUGGUUUCUGUGGAUUAUGUAUCUAAGUGGAUAGAAGCUGCAGCAGUACCUACUAACGAUACUAGAGCAGUAGUGAAAUUUCUUUAGAGAAGUAUUUUUUUCUAGGUUUGGCACUCCACGAGCAAUUAUUAGUGGUGAGAGAACUCAUUUCUGCAACAAAAGUAUUUGCUGCAGCUAUGGUAAAAUAUGGAGUCAAGCAUAAAAUAACAACAACAUAUCACCCACAAUCCAAUGACCAGGCAGAAGUGUCUAACAGGGAGAUUAAGAAGAUCUUAGAAAAAGUGGUUAACCCAUCAAGUAAUGAUUGGUCCUUGCGAUUACAUGACUCCCUAUGGGCUUCCAGAACAACAUACAAGACACCAUUUGGCAUAUCUCCCUACCGAAUUGUGUAUGGGAAAGCUUGUCAUUUGCCACUUGAGCUAGAGCACAAAGCAUAUUGGGCAUUGAAGCAAGUAAAUUGGGAUAUACAUGCUGUAGUAAAGCAAAUGAAACUUCAACUAUGUGAGUUUGAUGAAUUAUGGUUAUUCUCAUAUGAAAAUGGAAGAAUCUAUAAAGAGGGGACAAAACACUGGCUUGACAAACAUAUCCAACAUAGGAAAUUAAUCCCUGGUCAACUAGUACUGCUCCAUAAUACGAGGUUAAGACUAUUUCCAGGAAAACUGAAAUCUAGAUGGUCUGGACCCUUCAAGCUGCUCAGAAUUUACCCUCAUGGGGCUGUCGAUCUCUUAGAUGAAAAGACAGGCCAUGAAUUCAAAGUUAAUGGGUACAGAGUUAAGCAUUACAUGCAUUCAGCUAUAGAUUAUUCAAAGAAGGUCUUACUCCUUAGAGAGUUAAUGGCAAAGAUUUGCGUACUGUAAAAUAAAAAUUUUAAGAACUAUUAAAAAAAGAUUAAAAAAUUAUUUUUUUAUUUAAUUUUUUUUGAAUUUGAUUGCUAUUUAUAAAAUUGAUUGAUGAAUCAAUGUAUUCCUUUUUUGGGUCCUGCUAUUGUGCAACUGGUGUUUGGUAUCCCUAUUUUGUCAUUUAGUAAUUUAACCGUUAAAUCUAACCAAAGAGUUGCAUAACGGUACAGAUGGGUUUGCAUGGUUAUUAACAUUGUCAUUCCUGAUGUUUUCUAACAAAUUAGAAAAGGUAAAAGUUUCUAAAUGUUGACAUAUAUGUCCAAAUUGUUUUAAAUUUUUUUACAAUUAAAUCUAUUGACCUAGUUUGACUAUUAGCAUGAGUAUAGUGUAUGGACAAAAAUGUAAUCUCAAGUAAAAAUUUUAAAAUGCACGAAAAAUUAACAUGCAUUAAUAAAUAUUUUUUAACAUAAUAUUUAUUUAAUAUACAAUAAUUAUUUGAAUAUGUCAAUUAAAAAAGAAUACAUGAUAAAAAUAUAUUGAUUUAUUAACAAUAAUAAUAUAUAACCAUAACGAACAUGCAUAUGCCUAAAUUAAAUGUUUCCAAUAAUAUUAUUAAUCAUCAAAUUGCAUAAUUCCUAAGGUAUAUUUAAUUAAAUAUUUUUAUUUUAAUAUUAUUAUCUUCUUGUGUACGAUAACUGAAUUUCAUUUUUGUUCAUUCUUUAUUCCUAAUUAGCAAUUUAGCACCCACAAACUCUAUCCUCUAUUUUUGUUUCCUUCUUUUCAUAAACUCUAACCUAAUAAAAUAGUUUUAAUUAAAACUAUCAUAUUUUAUAAGUAGAUUUUUUUAUCGACAAAAUCCUACUAUUGAUUCUUUGGUCUAUGCAGUAGUGUGAUUUAAAACAGUUUUUAAUUUUUCAUAAAUGCUAUUGAAUAAAGAUUUAAAUUUUUAUUUUGUAUAAACUUACCAUUCAUGUUCUCUAAAGUUCUUGAAAUAAACCUUUUCUUGGGAUUUUUUAUUUGAAUUUAUACAAAUGACUAUUUUUAUGUUAAAUAAAAGAUAACAUAGGUAGAGAAUAAAUGGUUAUAAAUUAUAGAUGAUUAUUUUUUUUCCUGAAUAGUAAUUUAAUGAAUGGUUAUUUUUAUAAUAUUUUUAUGAUUUAAUUAUAGUAUGAGGUCAUUUGAACCUACCAAAUUACUUUCUACACCCAACUAGUCAAAAAACCUGUAGCCUAAAUUAAAAUUAGACAAUGUACACCUUAUAAUAACAAAAAUAACCCCAAUUUAAUUUAUUUUUUGAAUAAUAAAUUAUUCACCUCUGUUUUUUUAAUCAAAAUUGAUCUUUUAUGGACUAGAUAAGCUUACAAAGUAUGGACAAUAAAAAUGAACAAAAAAGUACUUUAAGCUCCUAAAAAUUCAACUCUUAAUUUGAUAGUGAUAAACAUUUAUUUAUCUCUUUAUUAUUCAUUUUUUUACUUGUAAUGGAAAAAGAAUUCUCUGCAAUUUUGUUAUCAAUUGCAAACUUACAACUCUCAAAUGGGGAUUAUAACUCUCAAAUGGGGAUUGGUGCUAAAUAUUAAGUAAGGAUGCUCAAAUCUUGUUUUUGUGUUUUUUUUUUUGGUGCUAUUUGCCUUUGGUUUUAUGGUUAAUUGAUCAUUAUGCAAUUCUUCAUAUAUAUAUAUAUAUAAAUGUUUCAGUCCAAAACUUUAAAGUGUGGGAAAGUGCGGUAAAGCUUUAAAACUGUAUGGUUUUAAAGGCUUAAAACUGUAAGCCUUUAAAGCCGUGCGGUUUUAAAGUUUUCCCGGACUUUCCCGCACUUUAAAAUUUCUGACCAGAAAACUACUAUAUAUAUAUAUAUAUAUAUACUUCUAGUGUUUAUGCAAUUUUUAAAUAUUCAUCUGCUAAAGGAUUCCAUAAAAGCCCAAUUCAUGCCUCGUGAAAUAAAUGCUAAAACUUGCUUAAAUUAAAGGUCUCCAACAACAAAUGCGGAUGGUAAUUCAAUUUGAUUCCUUUGUUCCAUUAAUUUUUACACUAUUUUUCUUUUUUCUUGUUGAAUGAAUAUUAUUUUUUUACAAUGAAAUUACAUUUAGCUUAAAAUAAAAUUUAAAUUUAAAUUAGGAUAAGAUCAAAGAAAAGUAUAAUUAAUUAAGUAUAUAUCUUGUCCUUAAUAGUAAAUUAUUUCAUAGGCAUUUUUAUAAUUGAAAUUUUGAAUUAAAAAAUAGGUGCAAAAAGUAUUUUUAAGUCAAAUAGCCUAAUUUUAAUUCAAAGGAGCUACUACAUGUAUUUUUAUUAUUUUAAUAUCCAAAAUGCUUAAUUUAUGUUUUGUAAGGGUAAAAUUUUGUUAAUGGUCAACUCAACAGUAUAAGUAUUAAAAAUUGAAAUGAAUAGGACUUGAGUGUCAAAUUUUAGAAAUACUAUUUAGUUUCUUUAUUUUUUUUAACAAAACAUAGACUAUAGUGCAAUUAAACGAAAAAAAAAGACAAAGCAAGGGGUUACUUACCCUAUUGAUAACGUAAUUUUGCCUAGUUUGAUAAUAAAAAAGAAAGUGAAAAAGAACUAUGCAAUCCAUGAAUUUGAUAAGAGGAAAGAAAGUAAAAAGAGUUGUACAAUAUAUUUUAAUACUAAGCUCUCAAACUUUGUUUGGGUCACAUGAGCUCUAUUCAAAAUGUGCUUUUUCAGUUUAUUAUAAAUAAGUCUCAUUUCUUAGAUCUCACGGUUCAAAAAUAAUGUUAAAUGGAGAAAAUCAGACUGAUUAUGGGGGAAAGGUGAAAAAGAAUGAGAAAAUAAAAUUAUCGCUAUACUUGUAACUAAAUUAUAAAUAAAAAAUAAUGUAAGGGAUUCAAUCAAAAAAAGACAAAAGAGGGGUACGGUGUCACGGGGGUAUCGUAGCUUUGUCCAGUUAGGAGAAAAAAGUAUACAUCAAUAAUUGGUUGACUAAUAAUAUUGGAUUUUAUAUUGUUUAUCUAAUUAAAGGGGUUAACGCUAUAAUUGUUCUGUCAAAUCAGAUCUCGGAUUAUAUGCUUCUUUUAGCUUCAACAAUUAUCUACCAAGACUAUGACGUUCAUUACAAAAUGUGGACAUUAGUUCUAUAAAAUUCAAUGCACGGGGAUUGACGAAGAAAUUUAAUAAGAGUUAUGUAUGUUAAAUUAAUACUAACGUAAUGAAUGACUCGUUCCAUUAAAAAAAAAAAAUGAGUGACAUGUUGUAACAAACAACCUGUAUACAUAGAAUACAUAAUCGACGACACAGGUCAUAUAUCUCGAUCGAAUACUUAAUUUGUAUGUGAAACUGAGAUAGCAAUAAUUAAAAAACUCAUAUUGUUUUGUAAUAAAAUGCUAGUAUAGCUUAAUGAGUCUAAUAAAUACUUUUGUGCCAAUCAUGAAGAAUUAUACAUAAUUUACUAUUAUCAUGAUGUGGUGGUUUCAAAUGGUCACCUUUUGGCAAUUCGUUUUGGUAUUAAGUUAAAAGAUAAUGUUGAUGCUGUUGUCCGAAAGGUAAUGCAUUUCGUGUUUUCACAGAAAUUCUUUUGCUAAUUUCUUUGAAUUCAAAAUUUCCUUAAAAAAUUAACAAUUAUUGUAUUCCAUUAUGAAUCUACGAUGGCUGAACGGGUCGAAGGAUGUUGAUUGGGAGUAGCAAGGCUAAGCUACUCAGAACCAAACAAAGUGGUAUUGCGAGGUUUGGCGCUCAUUUUUUGCAUAUUUACGUAGCGAUGUCAUUGUUUCUUAAAUUUUUGGCCAUGUUUGGAUUGAAAUCGGACAAAAGUUAUAACAUCAAAGUGUUUUGGUAAACAUUAAUUAUUAUAGUCUAGAAGCUAAAUUGAUUUAAUUUUAUACUUAUAUGAUAAAAAUUAGUUAUAUCUUUACUAAUUUUUAAAAUUAUUAUUGAAAAAUUGUAUUUAUUAUAUAUAGUUACAUCUUUCUUUUUUCUUUUUUUUUUCUACAACAACUAUAAUUUAAGAGCUACCAAAUAGGGCCUCAUUUAAAAUGAUGAUAGAAAAACUAUUCGAAGUUUGUUUGCAAAUUUUAGUUCUCAUUUUUGUCACAUUUGUGGUGGCACUUUGACUACAGAAUCGAUACGUUAAAAAGCCAUUUUCUCGAAAAUUUUAUAGGAACUUAUCUUGUUAGAUUUUAAUUUGUAGAUGGUCCAAAUGUUCAGGUACACCAAUUAGUUUAAGUAGCUGAUUUUGGACAUAAUCAUGAAUAAGGGGCAACUAUCAGCCUAUCACAGGCUCCUCCAUUCAGACCAUCUGUUUGCCCUGUUAUUGUUAGAUCCUCACUCUUCUUUCAGAUGUUAAGCUUAGGCAGCAUUGAAUUUCUGUUCUACAUAGAAGAGAAAUUUAUUGUGCAUAUUAUAUAUUUAGAUGAGGUUCAAGAACUUCUUGCUCUUGCUGAUGGGGCUCAAGAAUCUGAAUUUCAAGUAACCAUUACUUGUAGUUUAUUGCUUUGCAAAUUGGAGCUGUAUUCAGGAUAAUGUUGCACUUGCUAAAGAUUCUAUUAUGUUUUUCAUCAUUUCGUUUACAUGAAAUGGAAAAUGGGGUCUUUCCUUUCACAUAAGUGAUUUUGAGGAUAUUUUUCGAUUCAAAUAGAGAACUUUUUUUUUUUUUGCUUUUGUCUACUGUUCCUAACCAUAUACAAUUGGAUGUCCUCAGUCAUUCUAACUACCUAUUAUCUUAUACAUCUUUUUGUUGUUGGCUAUUUGUUCCAUUUUCUGCAAGAUAUUUUUAAUAUUUAUUUAAGAAUCUGUCACUUGUCCUUAGUUAUGUGAGACUCAAACAAUAAUGGGGGCAUGUCUUUAUUUUAUGGAAGACAUUUUAUUACCGUCUGGGCAAAGAAAAUGGGAUCAGUUGCAAAGAAAAAUUGCAACUGUAAUUGACGCGGGGUUUUUAAUUAAAGAUGCCCUAAAAAUGGGGUAUUUAGUUAAAUAUAUCCCAUGGUUGAAAAUUAUCUACGUAUACUUUUUUAUGUGGUACAUUAUCUAAAAUACUCCUAAAGAAAAAUAUAAAACACACAACUCACCUUCAACACUCUUUACUUCUUACAAAAACUCACUCCACACUCUCAAAAUCACUCAUACACAACUAAUGCACUGAGAUUUGGGUUUGAGCUGGGUGCAUUAUUCAUCUCAUGAAUAAGGUAUUUGAAGCUUUAUUUUUAUUUUGUGUUAUUUAUUCAUUUUGUUGGCAUUAUAUUAUAUUUAGGGUUUUGUUUGGUUUGUAAUAAACAAUAAAGCAACUCACAUUUUCAUUACAUUUGCAUCAUAUGACUGUUAUUUGAUGGGUUUUAUAACUACAUUCGUUAAAACCUGAAUUUGUUGCUAAAAUUAUGUUCUGCACCCGACAUACACGAUUGUAGUCGUGUACAUAUGAAUUUACACAACUGUAGUCGUGAAAAUGUGUAAAAUAUUCCAAUUAUUAUGACACCCUAGCAUUUUAUUGGUGCAAAAUAUAUAUAUUUUUUCACUAGAUAUGUCCUCUGACUAUUACUAAACUAUAGUCGUGUGUUUUAAUAAGUUACACAACUACUAUCGUGUAUGUAUGAAUUUACAUACUACAGUUAUGCAUAUAUGUAAAAUGUUUCAACCAUUAUGAGACCCUAACAUUCUAUUAGUGCAAGAAAAAUAUUUUUUUAAGAAGAAAUAUGUCCUCUGACUAUUUACUGGGCUGUAGUCAUCUAUUUUUGCAACUUACACGACUUUUGUCGUGUAUGUAUGAAUUUACACGAUAACAGUCGUGUAAAUAUGAAAAAUAUAGUAGCUGUUAUGACACCUAGGAUUCUGUUAGUGUAAAGAAUACAUUUUUUUCUAAAUAUAUCCUCUGACUAUUUACUAGACUAUAAUUGUGUAUUUUAGCAAGUUACGACUACUGUCGUGUAAACAAGCAAUUACAUGAUGGCAGUUGUGUAAAUGGACAAUGAUUCCACAUUUCGUUUUAUACCUUAUUUGAUUUUUUUUUGUAUUUGUUGUAUAAUUAUGUGUUAUAUUAUGACAGGAAAGAAUAUCUCAAGUUAUUUCCGUUGAUAUUUCUAAAUUUGAUAUUGAAAUGAAGUUCAAGCUUAAGACAUUUGAUCCAAUCCCUCCCGUUUCAAUUAUGACAGAUGAUGAUGUAGAUUAUUUUCACGACGAAGCAAAAAAACUAAAUUUGCUUGGGUAUUUUAGCUAUGAUAAUUGAGUAGCAACUUGUAUUCCCUUAAUAACAUGACUAUUAAUAACUAUGAUGAUUAUGUAACAACCUCUAUUCUAUUAAAACUUAUUUAUGAUUCGAACAUGUAUUGUACCUAUGUUGUUUGAGGUACAACAACUUUUGUCGUUUGUUGAAUUAAAGUUUGAUAUGUUAAAGCUUAUGUUGAUUGUUUUAUCAUUAUAAUAGCUAUUUUAGGGGGUUUUUGUUCUAUGUCCAUGUACUCGACAAUAGUCAUGUAUUUUUAAAGUUACCCGACUAUUGUCUUGUAUAUCUAAUUGUACUUUACUACAACUUAUUAAAAGAUGAAUAAUUGGUAUUUCAGUGAUGGAUGAUGUACGUAUGUUGUUUUAAAGAUACUUGACUACAGUCGUGCAUCUAUGAAAUCCCAACUGUAGUCGUGUAUCUAUGAAAAUACUCGACUAUAGUCGUGUAGUUAUGAAAAUACCGACUGUAAUCGUGUAUUUAGGCUAAGCAUUCCUUGAAUUAUAUGAUCAUCCUGUUAUAUCAUAUAAAUUGUACAAAACUAUCUUGUUGUCUUUGAAUAUUGCACUUAAAAAAAAAAUAAUUUAACACUACUAGUUGGAAAUACCCAACUAUAAUCUUGUGUCUAUGAAAAUAUCCAACUAUAGUCGUGUACCUAUGAAAAUACCUGACUGUAUUCAUAUAUUUUAGCUGCUCGUUCCUUCAAUAUAUAUGAACACGCUGUUAUAUAACAGACAUUGUACAAAACUAUUUUCUUUCUCAAUAAUAUACUUAACAAAAAAAAAUGAAUACUGAUGUAAAAUCAUCUUUAAUGAUAUCAAAUGUCAACAACAUCCCCAUUGCAACUAUUACAUCUUAUGAUGACUAAUCCAAAAAAUGGCAAAAUCACAACAAUGAAGUUUUUAGGUAUGACACUAUGUAGUUGGUUUCAACGACCUGUGUCCAAAUAAUUUGACAGCCAAUGCUUUUCGAAAUUGUGUAACACCAUCCUGCUGACAAUAUGUGUUGAUGUCAAGGCCAUGGGAUAGGACCUCCAAGUACUACAACAAAAAUGCUUCACAAUCACCACUAAUAAAAUUCAUAUACAUCAAUAAUAAAAUCACCAUUCUUAUUGAAAAAAAAAACAAUAUAUAUGAUGUACUCAAUUGCAUACCCUGAUUUUAUUGUGGGAUAUUACGUACUCACAAGGAUGAUCUUUAUUUAUGUCUUCCACUGCAUCUAGUGAUAAUCGAUUAGAAAUCUUUGCUUUGAAGUAUUCAGAUUCCUGAAUUUUUAGUUCCAUCUGCAUAAACAUAAAUAUUUUAAUUAUAAUAUAAAAUGACUGAAAAGUUGCAUAAUAAUAUAUUCUAGACCAAUAAAAAAAAAUUCACGACACACCAGUCGAGUAAAGCAUUCAUUACACGACUAUAGUCGAGUAAAGCAUUCAUUACACGACUAUAGUCGAGUAAAAUAUUCAUUACACGACUAUAGUCGAGUAAAAUAUUCAUUACACGACUACAGCCGAGUAAAGUAUUCAUUACAUAAUUACAGCCGAGUAAAGCAUUCAUUACACGACUACAACAAGCAUCAAAUAUGUUUUGACUUCUAUAUCUCCUUGGAUUUAAAUCCUUUCAUGAUAAAACAUAAUGCUUACAACAUAAAACUAAAUAAAAGCUAAAUAUGUUUUGACUUCUAUAUCUCAUUGGAUUCUAAUCUCUGUACAGAAUUUUAAGUGAAUGACAGUAUGAAAAAGAAUUUACUUUAAUAUGGCUUGUCAACGAAUAGGGAGAAUGAAAAUUUUGUUUAUUAUAAAAAUAUAUUGACGAACCAUUAAAAAGCCAAAUGGACAUUUAGGCCUCGUUUGGGAUUGAGGUUGAAACUCAAUAAGCUGCUUAUUUUAUAAGUUUUGAUAAAAAUAGUGUUUGGUAAAUUUUGUAAAAGUAGCUUAUUUCAUAAUUUUCUCCAUUUUGUCUGCAACUUUUAAAAGCAGGUAGAGGGUUGCUUUUUAUAAGCAGCUUAUUCAAUAAACUACUACGCCUUUUUAAAAUACCUAUUAUAACCUUAGUAUUUUGAUAAAAAGACAAUUAUAUCAUACUUAUUCAUAAACCUUAAUAUAUAAAUCAUUAGAUAUUAUAUUACUGCCACAAUUUUAUUGCACAAAAUUUAUUGUGAAUGUAAUACAUAUUACUUUUUAUUUUAUUUAGAUUAUAUAAAAGUAUAAAUUUUUAUCAUAUUUUAUGUAAUAGAUUAUGAAGUUCUUCAUAUUUUUUUUAAUUGAGUUUUUUUUAAUUAAUUUUACACAUUUAAGAAAAAAGUAUGUCUGAACAAUUUAUUAAACAUAAAGUAAAAAAACAAUUAAAACGUAUGUCCAUUUUGGUCAUUAUAUAAUAUAACAACACUUUCGUAAUAAGAUUUACCAAACGCGUGUACUCUAUUUUUCAAACUCACAGCAACCGCAACAACACAAUUUACCAAACACCAAGCUACUUUUUUAAUCAGUAGCUUAUUUCAUAUGCACAGCACAAGCAACUUAUUUUAUCAGCCUCCGCAAUCCCAAACUGGCCCUUAAUCAUUAACAUAUUAUUUGAAAUCCAUUCAAUAUGGGUAAGAAAUAACUAGAAUUGUAAAUUGAAAGUUCAUAGACUAGAAUUGUAAAUUGAAGGUUCAUAGCAUAUAAUAGAGAAAACCCAGAUUGCGACAUAAUGAAUGCAUACACAGUUGAAAAAAAUUAAUGUAUAAUUCCCAUGGAUGAAAGUCCAACUACAAACAACAAGUAAAACCAAACACCGAUCUAAUAGAUAAAUCAAUGUAGCCAUAACUGAGUAGUCACAAGGAUAAUAUUUCUUUUAUCCAAUUCCCUCUGAAUAUUUAAUUAGGAACUCCCAUAACCAUUAUAAGGAGAGUGAGCUCCCUUGAAAUCACUCUCUUCAAUUUCAACUCCACAAGUUUAAGAAGCUUCAUUACAUGAAUCAUGAAUUCAUUACAUGAAUCAUGAAGAAACAUUAUCAGCAAGCAUGUAAGUGAAACAAAUAACUCGGCAAAUUACAAUAAUGACCAAAAUCACGUGGGCAAUUUAUUUUUUAAAACCCUAAUGCAUAUAACCCCAACAAUUAUGAAUCCUAAACUCUCUUUAUGAAGUAAAAAUUAAGUGUAAAUGUGGUAAAUAUCCUUUAAUUCGGUGAAUUUCCAGCCUUAGUUUCGUGAAUUUCCAAUGAAAGCAGCGGAUUUGUGGUGUUAGAACCAGAAGCAGAAGAAGCACGAAGUUGCAGCAGAAGAAGCACGGACUUACAGCAGCAUAAGCAUCUUGGGCAUUGUAAUAUCUGUGAUUUUGAAAUAUUAGAUUUUGAAUUAGGGUAAUUCUGUAAUUACAUAUUGAAAAAAGCAUAUAUGAGAAAUUUUAAAUUAUGAGGAUGUAUUUAAGUAAACACCCCACUUUUGGGGUAUGGCGUGGAUAAGUCCCUGAAUUGACGCAGCUUCAGCAACGCCCUUCUGGAGUAAAGGUCCGUUCUUUCUUAUUUCUCAUUUCAUCAGUUUUAUAAUUUAAUUUUCUGCCCUGAUUGUCUUCAGAUUUUUGUGUUUCACAGGAGCAUUAGCUUUUAACAUCUUCCAAUUAGUGAUGGGUGCUUGCAAUUCGCUUUCUUAUUAGUACUCUGAGUUUGUUUAGCGUUCUCUUUCUAUUGGUUUGUUAGUGUUCUCUAUGAUGGGAAAUUGGGGAAUUAUGUUAGUUUGGUGAAUGCUUUAUAUUAAGAAUUCAGCCCAUCGUUGCCAAAAUUUAUGUACUUUAAAGCUUGAACUUACCCUCCGUUUGUUUUCAAACUUGUUCAUUUAUCUGCUCUGUACCAAACGCAUGAUUUCUCUUUGUGCUGUGUAUUUGGUGCUGGUAAUUUUUGUUGACAUUUAACACUGCCACUAUGUGCUUGGUCAGAGGCUUGCUUCCUACAAAAUAUUUUGUAAAGGGCGACCUACAUGGUGGGAUCAGUAAUCAGACAAGUCUAUUUUCAACUGCAUGCACCUACGAUUAAAAUGCUAAUUCAUCUGAAAAGGAGGUUUCUUUGUACAGUCUGGUGGAUACACCCACCAGUUUCAUGCUUUCAUGAGGCUGUGAUGAAGGACAUAGUUUUUUAGAUGCUAAUCAUACUCCAAAUAAUCUAGCUUCAUGGAAGGGAAGGGUAGAUGAUGAUUUGUUUCAAACUCUUAACAACCCUCUGACUCAACUUGAUCAGCAUAUGUUGAGUGGGCAAUUGCUUGGUUUUGUUAACAACUGCCAAACAUCUGACUAUGGAAAUGUGUCACUUCAAAAUCUCGUUUCCGCUAGAUUUUGAUCAUGAAGCAUGGAACCACCUUCAGUGGAUUACUUGUUUGAUUUUUUGGGUUUGGAUUUAAGAAUAAGCUCCUCAACACAAACUGGAAUAAUUUGCUUGCUGAUGGAUAACAUAUGGGUGAAAGUAGUUCAAUGUCUAUGAAUGCUCCUGAUGUGAGUGCAGGUUUCCAUGGACUUCCUUCUCUGGAUAUACCAUGCAUUUUUAAUUAGAAGCUAUGAUCUUUAGGGCUAAUACUGUCUCGAAGCAGAAUUCAGAUGAUAAUGUCUCUUGCAGGACAAUGUUGACACAUAUCAGUUGCUCUUUUAUUCCGACUAUUUCUCCCUCGACUAGCAAGAAACUUAGUGCAUGUUAAGCUAUUUGGCUUUACUAAGUCCUUGGCAAAGGCAGGGGCUACGGUAUCCAAUUCUUUUCUGUCAGGCUAUAGCAAGAAUGAUGGAGAAACUUCACACGCUAUGGAGUCAGAGUCUAUACAAAUGUUAUCAAAAUGCAGCAAGGUCUAUGGUUUUUUCUUUUAAAUUUUUAUAAUAUUCAAACUUUCAUCUAGCAGGCAUGGACUAGGUAAAUCCCCUACAAAUCUUAUUCAUCAAAGCUGUUAUUUAGGAAUAUACUAACUGCAGUACGAACAGGAUUGAAUUUCGCACAACAAAGCAAGAGAACUUAAAAUGAUUGGGUUCAGUCAAUUUCGUCUUUUGGAGAACAGACGGAUGUAACAUUGGUAAAUGCCUUGGAUAACAACAAUCUGGUAGUUCAUCAGUAAUUCUUUUCCCCAAGCCACCUUUGUAGCAGCAACUGGUAGGCCCAGUUGUCCACCUGCUAUUAUUAUACUUUUUAGGGCUGGAUACGUUAAGAGCAAUCUCGGGCUGCAUUGAUUGCCAUAACUGACAUGGUUCUAGUCAACACCCAGGUGGUUCUAACUAACAAGUUCAUCUCCCCCAACCCAAAUUAUGACCAACCUCACUUUUUUUUUUGGAGAGAAAAUUCCAUUUAGGUAGUUGUGUGAGCUCCUUAAGAACUUUCAAAUAUAUGUUUCUUGCAAAGAUGUACAUCUGAAUGGUGUCUAAUGCUUUCUUAAAUUAUUUAGCUGUGGAAGAUGAUUAUCAAAGACGUUAUUGCAAGUGCUAAGUUAACUGGCAGAGGGGGGCAUAAUAGUGGGUUUUGUGGUUCAAUAAUGUAUAGAGCGUCUAGGAUACGAAAUUAAGACAUUUAAGGUGUUUUGUUUUCUUAAUUGGUAUUUUCUUGCAUUUUAGUUCUAUUGCAUUACUACAGCAAUCAUGUUUUUCUUUAUCUCGUAUUUCAUUUUUUUUUUUUUUUUUGGUUAUGCUUCAUAAGAAUUUUUGUUAAGCUUACCAACGUGUACCAUCUAAUGGUUAAGAUAAGAACAUUAUCAGGCUAUUUAGGACGUACAAUAAAAAUUUUGAAGACAUUGUAACAACUUGAAAUUCUUUUGAAGAGAAGCUUUGCUUCUUGUAAUGGAGCACCUCGUCAUCCAAUUGACAGUGUGUUGAUGGGCUUUAAUUGAACUGAGAAGAGAAAUUGAGGGUGCAAGUUUGAAAACAGGCAACGGUUUUGGAGAGACAUAUCACAAACAUUAUUGGGUUAUUAAACCUCAAGCCGUGUGAGGUGAGGAAAGAUUUUAUUCAUAAAAUGAAAAAGAUACAUCUAGUCAACAGGACUUAAAAGCAUUACCCCUUGUGAUAUCGUAAAAACUAGAAAACGAUUUCAAAGGACCAGACCAAUUACGUGGAAAAAUAAGAUAUUCACAAGCCUGACUAAAUCUUCAAUUGACUAGAUCUUCAACAAUUGAGACACUUUCUGCAUCGUUGGUCUAGAUUUAGGACUCUCAUCUAAGCAUGAAAUGGCGACUUCCACGAUUGUUAUCAAUUUUUCUUGAACAUUGCGUGAUGGAGUUGGAAGCCGAGGGUCCAACAUUUCAUCUAGUGCUCUGUUCAAGUUCAAAGAAGAAGAGGAAAUUGAGGAAAUAAAAUCUCCUGGAUGCUUCCCCUUUAUCACUUCCAAUGCCAGCACUCCAAAGCUGUACACGUCGCACUUUUCAGUAACUUUCAUUGUGUAUGCGAGCUCUAAAAGAAAAAAACAAAAAGAAUAAUUGUUAUAUUUUUAUUAUUUUUACAUGAAAUCUAGUAAGCUAAUAUUAAUUAGUAUACUGAACAAGCUUCAAUAAUAAUUUACAUACCUGGUGCAACAUAUCCAUGUGUGCCUGCAAGUUCUGUCCAAUUGGAUGAGUCUGGCUUGAGAAACUUGGCAAUUCCAAAAUCCGAAACAUGGGCUUCAUUCUCAAAAUCUAACAGCACAUUUUUGCUUGAUAGAUCUCGAUGAACAAUUGGUGGGAAACAAUCAUUAUGCAUGUAAGACAAUGCAUCAGCUAUACCUUUUAUCACAUUCAUUCUCUGUGUCCAUUCCAAAUCCUUUGCUGCUGCGUCAUUGCUUAGGAUCACGGCCAAGCUACCCAUUUCAAGAUAUUCAUAAACUAUAAAUGAGUGCCGAGCAUGUGAACAAAAGCCAUAAAACUUCACAAUAUUACGAUGUCGUAUCUCAGUCAAAGCCUUGACUUCAUUCAAGAAUUCUUGCUGAAAUGUCAUCUCACCUGGGAGUGGCGAAUGAAAUUUCUUGACUGCAACGAUUUCUCCAGAAGCUAGCUUAGCUUUGUAAACACUUCCUUGUCCACCCUUUCCAAUGCAGUGCUCAUCAUCAAAGUCAUUUGUUGCUCUAAUAAUUUCUUCAUACACGAUUUUUCCUUCAAAAGUUAACACUGAAAGAAAACUCGGAGUACUUCUAGGGCUACUCUGUUGUGAUUGUGAGUUAUUCUUCCUUCGUUGAAACUUAAAGAACAGUCCACUUAAAGAAAUUAAAAGAGCAACAAUCCCUAAGAGAGGGAACAACACAACAAUCCAGAUCUUUCUCGAAGCUUGUUUGUUUGACUUUAAUGCUUUACAAGAUGGAAGUCCUUUGAAGUCUCCGCAUAAUCCUUUGUUCCCUUCUAAUGCUUCUAUUGGAGCAUCUCUGAAUGCUGUGCUAUUAGGAAUUGGACCUCGUAACUCAUUGUAGGAUAUGUCAAUGCGUUCCAGGCCAUGCAUUUUUUCAAAGCAUCUUGGAAUGAAACUAGAGAGGCUAUUGUGGGAGAGAUUCAGUUUCUCCAAGCUUUGCAUAAUGCAAAUUUGAGAUGGUAUUGCUCUUUCAAGAAAGUUAAGACUCAAAUCUAAUUCUGAAAGAUGAAUUAACUCCCCCAAUGUAAUUGGAAUUUCCCAACUGAACUGAUUAUUGCUCAAAUUUAAGUAAUGCAAUUUGACCAAGUUGCCUAGACUUUCUGGGAUUGUAUUGCUUAAUCUAUUUGAAGACAAGUCAAGGUGCUCUAGUUGAACGAGUAACCCGAGUUUUGGAGAUAGCUGUCCAGAGAGCUGAUUUUGUGCUAAAAUGAGCUUGAUCAAAAAACUAAGCUUGCCAAGUUCUGUUGGAAUCUCACCAACAAUAUGAUUUGAUGAAAGAUCAAGAACUUCUAAUUGAGAUGAGUAUCCAAUUUCAGGAGGUAUAUUGCCAGUAAUAUUAUUUAUAGAAAAAUCUAUAGUGCCUAACUUUGGGCAUCUUCCCCAGUGAGACGAGAUUUCACCAUAAAAGUAAUUGUGGCUGAGAUCUAUGAAAGUUAAGUUUGGAUAAAUACUGAAACAUUCAGAUAUAUUUCCAGUGAGAUGGUUUUCAUUGAGACGUACUCUUACAAGGCUUGUCAAAUUUUGCAAAUUGGGAAUUGGACCUUGAAAUUGGUUAUUACUUAAAAGUAGCUUAGUCAACUUCACAAGGUUUCGAUAUUCUUCGGGGAUGGCACCAGAAAGUGAAUUCUUAUAUAAACUCAAGUAAGCCAAGUUGGUCAAGUUACUCAAAGAAAUAGGGAUUGAGCCACUAAGUUCAUUGAACCCUGAAUCUAGAAUGGAAAGAGACUUCAAGUUUCCUAAUUCACUUGGAAUUGAGCCAGAAAGUGAAUUUUUAUAAAUAUAUAACGUAGCUAAGUUGCUCAAAUUGCCCAAAGAUUGAGGGAUUGAGCCACUGAGUUUAUUACCGCUCAACGAUAGAUCGGAAAGAGACUUCAGGUUUCCUAAUUCACUUGGAAUUGAGCCAGAAAGUGAAUUGUUAUAAAUAUACAAGGUAACCAAGUUGGUUAAGUUUCCCAAAGAAUGGGGAAUCGAGCCACUGAGUUUAUUAUUGUCUAAUCGUAGAGCGGAAAGAGACUUCAGGUUUCCUAAUUCACUUGGAAUUGAGCCAGAAAGUGAAUUGUUAAGAAUAUACAAGGUAACCAAGUUGGUUAAGUUACCUAAAGAAUGAGGGAUCGAGCCACUGAGUUUAUUGCUGUACAAUUCUAGAACGGAAAGAGACUUCAGGUUUCCUAAUUCACUUGGAAUUGAGCCAGAAAGUGAAUUGUUAUGAAUAUACAAGGUAACCAAGUUGGUUAAGUUACCCAAAGAAUGAGGGAUCAAGCCACUGAGUUUAUUGUUGUACAAUUCUAGAACGGAAAGAGACUUCAGGUUUCCUAAUUCACUUGGAAUUGAGCCAGAAAGUGAAUUGUUAUGAAUAUAUAACGUAGCUAAGUUGCUCAAAUUGUCCAAAGAUUGAGGGAUUGAGCCACUGAGUUCAUUACUGCUCAACGCUAGAUUAGAAAGAGACUUCAGGUUUCCUAUUUCACUUGGAA
RNAcentral lists this long non-coding RNA (139033 nucleotides) under Citrus maxima (pomelo). RNAcentral's name for it is "long non-coding RNA (CMAX_LNC003439)". Lineage: Eukaryota; Viridiplantae; Streptophyta; Magnoliopsida; Sapindales; Rutaceae. The record is from RNAcentral.